Molecule: long non-coding RNA, 131171 nt
Filed under: Coffea arabica (coffee)
Lineage: Eukaryota; Viridiplantae; Streptophyta; Magnoliopsida; Gentianales; Rubiaceae
Description: long non-coding RNA (CARA_LNC003010)
Source: RNAcentral
CAAGUGGUGCUGCAUCUUCUUCAAAAUCAGACUUGGAUGAUGCUGCUUUACCCAUUCCUCCUCCACCUCCACCUCCACCUCUGCCUCGUACUGGUGACAUGGACUCUGGUGAUGCCUCCGAAUUGCCUGCAUCUUUGCCAUUGCCACCUCCCCCACCUGUACCACCAAAGCCUCCAGUAACAGACUCCGGUACUUUGUUGCCGCCUCCACCUUUGCCACCACCACCACCUCCUCCUGGACCCCCUCCAAAGGACCAAAUGGCUAUCCGUUCAUCACUCCCUCCACCCCCAUCUCUCCAUCAAUCUGCUCAACCUCCACCUCCUGGAACUGGUGGAAGUGAGACGGAGAAAAGCCAGUUUGCAAAAUCUGAUGAUCAAGCUUCACGGGAUCCAUUUCAGGUAUGUUCUCUCUCAAUCUCUCAGAAUAUGUAUUGGGGAAGUAUUAGAAACAUAAUCAAACCAUUAUCUUUGAAAUUUGUGAAAAGCAUUGAUAAAGAGUUUUGGCGUGCUUGUCCGAUUUCAUUGAGAAACGUGAAAUGGAAGAAAAAUUUGUAAAUUGUAAUCUUUUACUUGAACUUUUGUCACACUGGACAUUACAUUCAUUUUCCUGAUAGCUGAUGUUCAUGGACUGCUUUCUUGUGGUUUAUGUCUAUUGACUUGAAGUAUUUGUUUCCUUUUGCAGGCAACAGCAACACUUCCCCCACCUCCCCCUCCUCCACCAAUGGGUUUGGCACCAAAGAUGGUCAAUAAUCAGUUGGAAGGCAUAUCUUCUGAAUCUGAUGCUAAUAAUCCUGGUUACGAUCUGUCAAAAAUGAUUCCACCUCCACCUCCACCUCUGAGGCAACAGCCUCCACUGCCAGGACCUGCCAUGGCUCCACCAUUGCAGCCUGAUGUUUUACCUCCAGGAAUUUCACGAUUUCCCCCACCCCCACCUCCAACAGAUAUGAGGCCUGCAUUGCCUGGCAGCGGAAUUGUUGGGCAACCUGCUCCACCUGGUGUUAUGGUCCCAGUUAUUGCAAGACCCUCUUUUGGACCUCCACCAAUGAUGAGACCACCACUUCCACCUGGUCCCUCACCUAUUCCACAAGAUGACCCUGGUGCUGGACUACCUGCUCCACAGAAACCAUCAUAUGUUAAAUCUGCUGCAUCAACUGUUGUUAAAAGACCCCUAGCACAGCACACACCAGAGCUGACAGCCAUGGUAAGUUAACAUCUUUGCUUGUGUUGUGCAUUUGCAUCUGCAGCAUUUGCUUUGAAGUAAUUAUUGAUCGCUGGUGAUAUGUCACUCCAUUUAUUUAUCUAUUAAUAUUUGAAUAAGUAUGUAAUUUUGCCUGAUGCAAAUUGGUUGAAGAAUCCAUGUUUGGAAGAACUAUCUUUAAUUGAGCUGUCUGAUACAACAACAGCUACAGAGGUUGAAAUACAACGAAAUUCUAGAUUGUAAGAAUAACCAAUCAUAUCGUAUCCAUAAAGUGGCAAUCACUCAUUUGGCACAAUCUGUAGAACUAUCUUUAAUUGAGCUGUCUGAUACAACAACUCACAUCUCCCUCUUAUGUGGCUCCAAAAUACUUGAAAUUUGUUACUGAGCCAACUUCUUUUAAGCCAUUGCAUUUUUAGGCCAGAAGUUUCCCUUGUAUUACUUUGUCAAAGCUGUCCAGGCUCUUGCUUUCCUGUUUCUUGUUAUUAGCAGUCUGUUUUAUGUCAUCCCAUAGAUGAUGUAUUUGGUCGAAAUUCAACAUGCUAAACUAUCUAGUCCACUUGUGCCGUUUUAUGCUUGCUUUUGCAUUUUGUUGCUUUUAACUCUCUCUUAUGUGUUUGCUUCUUUUCCUGUAUUCCAGAGAUCGAUCUCAAUUUUGGCUAAGCUUUUUUUCCCCCCUUCCUAAUGCAAAAAUGUGUGGUGACGCUAUUGCUGGUAAUUUGAUUUGUCGACAUUGGUCAAUUGAAUGUGGAUCAGUCUGCUCCUGCACAUCAUCUAAUUAACUUGAUUUAAGAUAUAAAUGGGUGUUCAUGGUCUGACUUUCCUUGUCAUACAGCUUCAUAUGUAACAGGGUAGUUUGGUGCUGUAAACACAAUUUUGAGUUGAUAUCAUAUAAUCUAGCCCUUGUCGGUUAAUCAGUGGAGUGCCUACGUUCCCCCACAAAAAAAAAAACAUCCUUGUUGUAUAUGAAAUAUGAUAUUCUUGCAGUCUUCAGUGGAAGAAUAUGCCAUCUUGUUCCUGAUGAUGUUUAGCAACCCCACUUACAUCAAUUGCCAACUUUUCUUCCAUUUUCCUUUAUCUCAGAAUGUUCCUGCGUUCUACUUGCAGGUUCCUGCUUCUGUUCGCGUCAGAAGAGAAUCUGCAGCACCAAAAGCAAAGCCAAAGCCAUCAAAUACGACACCAGUGAACCACGCAGUGGCAGCUCCAGCUGAGACAAAGCAAGAAUCAAGUGGCUCAUCAUCCGCACCGAAACCACAGAGCAUUGACGACUCCUACAUGGCAUUCCUGGAAGACAUGAAAGCACUGGGUGCUCUAGAUAGUUGAGCUGAUUCAGCCAUUUAAGGGAUCAAAAGGAAAGAAGACAAACUAGAGUAGACAAACAUGGGCUGUUAAUUCAGUCAACGAUAAACUAGCAUUAAUGGAGGCAUAUUUUUUUUUCUUUUUUCCUUCCCCUACCCCUCUCCCCCCCUAAUCCCUCCCUCUCCCCAAAUUCGGCGCGUUUAGGUUUGAACCUUGGUCUGUCAAGUGAGACAUCAAGUUACUCGUCUAUAGCCCUAACGACUAUUGGUCAAUUAUAUUAACUUGCGCUUCUUAAUUUAAUUAGUAUGAAAAAGAUGUCUAUACUCACGGGAUGGAGGAGUAUUUCAUUCGUUGAGCAUGCUACCCAUAGCAAUAAAAAAAGUUUUAUUUUAUUUUCUAAGUAUUUCAGUGGCACGAGACAAUCCAAGGUUGGAAAAUAAAAAUGAAGCGAAGUUGCAUAUUCAAAAUUUUUUAUCCUAAAAAAAAAUUAAGUUUCUGUCAACAAAAUAAAAACAUGGUACUUGUGAAUUGUAUAUUUAACUAAAGGGUAUAUUAGAUAAUUUACAAAUAAGAUCGAUGGAGUUAAUUUCGAAGUUAGUAGACCCAGACGGUCAAAAGGGCAAAUUCCCAAAUAAAUUUGUUUGAGGGGGUGAGGUGCAAAUUGACUCCACGUAUCCUGUAUGAAUAUGUUUUAUUCACUUAAAAUUCGUAACGGAUCUUCUGUCCCAUACCCUGUGCCACUCUCGGUCCCACUUUUUAUUAUAUUGCUAUUUCUCCUACAUAAACAUCAUGUUUUAGUUUUUUUUUUGUUUCCUUAAGAUUCAAUAACUAUUAAUUGAAUAAAAAAUAAAUACAGCAGCUUAAAAUAAGCAAUAUAUAAUAGAAAAUUAAAAAAUACAGUAGAAAAUUCAUAAAAAAUCUCAUUUUUUAUGCAUUUUGAUUUUUUGAGUUUGUUAAAUUUUGUGUAUAACUCAAUUAAUAGUUAUUGAAUCUUAAGGAAACAAAAAAAAAACUAAAACAUGAUGUUUAUGUAGGAGAAAUAGCAAUAUAAUAAAAAGUGGGAUAGAGAGUGGCACAGGAUGUGGGACAGAAGAUCCGUUGCUCUUAAAAUCUACAAUGAACAAUUUAAUAGUAAGGAUUCCCUUUGUAAGAAACAAAUAUAAGCAUAUACUAAGGAGUCCAAACUCCAAUAAGUAAACAUAUAUUCUAUUUUUUUUUUACAAUACUUAAUUUGUCUAUGACUUCUUCAAAUUUUAUGGGUUUUUUUUUUUUUUAAUUCUUUCUGGUUGGCAUACCGGGACCUCGAUUGGAUUCCCUUCCAUCUAGUCUUCAUUUAUCUGUUUAUUAAAUUAUAUCCUACUUAUUGAAGCUUUAAAAACAGGUAGGUCCAGACAACAUCUCCUGCCUUAAUCUAUUUGUUACUAAUUACACUUGUGAAAAACUUUGGAGUUGGUGAGAACAUGCGGCCAUCAGCUUUAUAUUGGUCAGCAGAUUGUCAUACUUGUUGUGUUCAAAAAUCAAUUUCACUCGGAAAUUUCGGGUUGGACCUGAAACAUAAUUUCAAUUUACUAUUGUAGUUUCUGAUAGAACCAAUUUCGUACAAGGCUAAUUGCAUAAUCAAGUAAUAAAAAUCUCGAUAAAAUAAUCCCAAAUUAGAUCUGAAAUAAAUUAAAACACUGUAAAAGUAUUUUAUCCCAAACCAGAUCUAAAAUAAAUUAAGAUACUAUAAAAAUAGAAAAUAAUGUAAUAUAUCUUUUGUCCAAAUAUAAUAAUUCCAACUUCACACAAGUUAAACAAAUUCAUUUAUGAUUAAGUGGUUAAUGCCUUUGGGGAAAAAAAUAACUUAGUUUAGUUAGAUAAAAUAUUUUUAUAUUUAUUAAAUUAUUUUUAAUUCAUAAACGAAUUAUCGGGUCAACCUCUCGGUGACCUGAAUUCAACUUUCUUUUUUUUUUUUCGGGUUCAUUAGGUUUGACUCGAUUCUGACCCCAACUCGUGUUAUCUCAACCCAAAUCCAUUAAUUUCGUGUUAAGUUUGUGUCAUGUUUUCAAAUUAUGUCGAAAAUUGCCGCCUCUACUUGCACCACAAAGUAAACUUCUUGCCUCAUUGAUGAGCAUGUCAUGACCUGUCGUCUAUUUGUCUCUUACCCAACACUAGUUCCCGUGUGGACAUAAAAUCUGGAUAAAGCGCAUAGGUAUGAUAUAUACUGACUUAAUAAUAGAAACGACAAUUGGAAUUAAGUGCGACUAACUAACUAACUGAACGUUCGAUUGUUGUGCUUUUUAUUGAAUAUAAUGUACAUUUAUAUAAUUAUAAAUUUGAUCGUACUCAUGAAUUUUAUUAAUGUACAUGUCAUUUCACGAGAACACACGUUCCACCGUUCACGUGUCGCUCCGAGUGCCGCCGGGCACUCUUCGCUUCUCAAUCCAAUAGCCACUAUUCAUGCUGGUAGGGCCGCGCUCUUCCGAGUGGCCAGUGGCCUUCGGCCACGUGGCAAAAAAAUACAGCAGUCCACCAGGAUGAACAGUGGCUAUUGGGUUGAGCAGUAAACAAUGUCCGGCGAUGCUCGGACCGACACGUGGACGGUGAAAGGAGAAGAUCAGUUGUAUAUAGAAAAAGUAGACUGAUGAGAAUGAUUCCAACUCCACCGGGAAGCGGUAGAUAUAUAUAUAUAUAUAUGAUUGGUCUGUAAAUGCAAACGAAAUUGCGAAGAAAUACAAUAACUAAUCAAAAAAAAAUUGCACUAAACUCAACUAGACCCCGACUUGUACGAUUGUAGUAAUUCCCUGUAACAUAUGCAUUUCUUUGUUGGAUACAUUAUUAUCCCCACUUCUGCUUCUCUGCUAGUAGCAAGUCCAAGUGCCCAAUUUAUUUAUCAUGAUAUGCAGAAUGUUUUUCAAUGCAUUCAAUCAAAUCUCACGAUAUUGCAGUUAAUGAAUGAAUGUAGGCUCUCAACUUGUCUAGCACGUAGCUCUUCAAUCAACCAAGAAGGAUGCAUCCAGCCUGGUUUGUCUAGACAGGCAGGCUGAGCUUAAUGCAUCUUCUCCUCUUCUCAACUACCCAAAUCAGUAAGUAGGAUAACUAUAACCUUCAUUUUCAGGUUGACAAAAUGAUUUCAAAAAGUCAACUUUGCAUGUAGGAAUGUCCUUUCAAUGCCUACUUCUCAAUUUUGACCAACGAAAGGGUCAAUUGCGCCUGCUGUCCCAGAGAAAAUGACAGGUUCAGGGAGGGAGAGACCCUUAUCCCUUCCGGAAGCUGUCUAGGUCCUACAAAGUACAAAGAGAUCGACAGCUACAUUAGGCCAAUAGCAAUACGGGGGCUGCAAAGAGGGAGACAAGAAAGUUCGAUAUUUUGGCAGAAUAUGCAGAUUCCAGACACAAACAAAAAUCCCAUCUUUAGAGAAGGUUCUCAUUUAGCAGCGAAACAGAUUUGCAGCUGUUCAAGGAAGAGUUAAAAGAUUAAUUUCUUGUUUUUUGGACGCAUCACACAUGGGAGUCUGCAGGAACUUGAGUUUCCUACUCCUUUUUCUGAGCUUGCUGCAGUUUCUUCAUCAUUCAUCCUCACAUCCUUUAUGCAUAGAUUCAAGUAUGUCAUGCUAGUAAUUCACUCUUCUGUUGAGCUGGAUUGAGUUUGUUCAGUUCUAAGAUGAUUUUGUUUGUUUCUUCUUCUGGUGUGGAAUGGAAUAGGUGCGCCCCUUCCUCAGAAGGUUCCUCUGUCAUUCUGCUCUUACAAUGGAACAUCAUGCUGCAAUUCUACUGAUGAUUCGCAAAUAAAGAAUCAAUUCAAAGCAAUGAACAUUUCUGACUCUAGCUGUGCUUCCCUUCUCAAAUCCAUCCUUUGUGCGGUAAGAACAUGUAUUAUUGCUCUUAGGAAUUUAAGCCAAUGCCUUGCUAUCAUUUACUUCCUCUCAAAAGCGGGAUUUCUUAUCAUAUUGAAUUGACCAACCACAUCGAGAUUUAAGAUUCUGUUCUUAAACCAAAAAUACUGCUAUUGCUCGAAGCCAAGAGUUCGAACCUCAUAGGCUAUGCGAGCUGUUUCAGUAACAGUAAAUCGAUGAGUCUCUACAUUUAUUCUGUACUUUGUUUUUCUUGUUAUUGCUGAUCUUACAAGGAACAAUUUCUCGGGAUUGCAGCAGCUGAUUGAUAUGUUUUAGUUUGAGUCUUGUCUGUAAAUUUCUAUUAAAUAAUCUUGAAAUUUUUAGAGUUGCCAUUCUUUGAAGUUGUCUUGUUUAUCAUACUUGAUGCAGUUCAUGGAGAGAUAUUGUUGUCUUAUCUUAAUUUGCAUGCUUUUUCCCCUUAAAAGCCUUUAAGUCUUGUUCGCAGACAAAUUAGGACAAAAACACAAAUUUCCAGUUAAAGCGAUAUGCAAAUAAUAAGAAUAGGUUCAUCUUAGAAUUCCCAAGUUCUAUAUGCUUACCUUUUUCAUUAACGUUCUUCUAUACUCGGUAAAUUGUGGUAUCUCCAUCAUUUACAGAGAUGUGAUCAAUUUUCAGCAGAGUUAUUUAGGAUCAACUCCAGGCCUCAACAAGUUCCUGUGCUUUGCAACUCCACGGUCUUACCAAAUUCUACCCAAACAAGCCAAGCAGCAAAUAACUAUUGCUCUAAACUAUGGACUACAUGUCAGAAUGUGUCCAUGGUGAAUUCACCCUUUUCUGCCUCUGUACAAGGUCAAGCUGGAGGUGGAGUAAUGUCCAACUCUACAAAGUUGACUGAUAUUUGGAAGUCGCAAUCAGACUUCUGCAAUGCUUUUGGUAGAGCUUCUGAUGAAAAUUCAGUAUGCUUUGCUGGUGAACCUGUAAACCUUAAUAGUACCGGAACGUCAAUCCCUCCAAGUGGUUUGUGCCUUGAAAAAAUUGGAAAUGGUUCAUAUCUAAACAUGGUUGCUCAUCCAGACGGCUCCAACCGUGCUUUUUUCUCAAACCAACCAGGCAUGAUUUGGUUGGCCACCAUACCCAAACAGGGUUCAGGAGGUGUAAUGCAGCUUGAUGAGGCCAAUCCCUUUCUAGAUUUAACUGACGAAGUUACCUUUGAUACUGCAUUUGGGAUGAUGGGCAUUGCAGUUCAUCCAAACUUCUUAACAAAUGGACGAUUCUUUGCUUCGUUCAAUUGUGAUAAGACAAAGUGGCCUGCUUGUGGAGGGAGAUGUGCUUGUAACUCGGAUGUGAACUGUGAUGCUUCACAACUACCUCCUGAUAGUGGCUCCUUUCCAUGCCAAUAUCAAAGUGUAGUAGCAGAGUUUACAGUUAAUGGUACCGCAUCCCAGCCCUCCUUGGUAUGUCUCAAACAGAACUAUGCUUUCUGCCCAUUACACAUCUCCUCCAUAAUUUAACUAGAUUUCAUGCUUCUUAUUUUUUACAGGCAAAAACUGCCCAACCAUCAGAAGUUAGAAGGAUAUUUACCAUGGGUCUUCCCUUUACGGCCCAUCAUGCAGGCCAGAUUCUUUUUGGGCCAACAGAUGGAUAUUUGUACUUCAUGAUGGGGGAUGGUGGAAAUUCAGGCGAUCCAUACAAUUUUUCACAAAACAAGAAAUCCCUACUCGGGAAAAUCAUGCGGCUUGAUGUUGAUAACAUACCAAGUAAGUUGUUAUGAUACAAUUUCCACAUGUUACUUAGUUCAUCAAGAUCAACCAUUAGGAUAUCCUGCAUUGGAGUUUUCUUCAGACAAGAUAAAUCAGUUUUUCACAGUUGCACAUGCUCCAUAUCUAAAUUGCUAGCCAAAGAGCAUCUACCAUGUCAAUUGGUCCAAUUACAACAACUUAAGAGGAUCAAUCAUUUUCUUACUGCGAAGUGCUAGUCCCAGGUCUGAUACUAAUGUCUUAAUAGCAGACUUGUUAUGUUUGGUUGUUACCAGAAGUUUUAUCUGCUAUGUUCUUCCCUAUACAUUUGCAGAAACAACAUGGUACCACUAGUCAUGAUUAUUUUUUAACUUUUGCUUCUUCUUCUUCCCUCAUAAUCAAUUAUUAACAUUUACUGGCUGUGCAAGCUUAAACAAUAUGCCUACAUCCGUAGCAUGUACAGGUAAUGAGCACACCCACCAGUCAAAAUUUUCAUAAGCCCUCUUGUAACUUAGAAAUUACUAAUGCAUGCUUCAAUAGCACACCUUAACAUCUACAGCAUGUUUGCCUACCAGUCAGAAUUUAGACCCCGAAGCUUUUCCUUCCUAUUUGGCUGUUUUUUGGCAUUCUCAGGUUGUAUAGAUUUUUUUUUCAAUUAAUUCAUUUGCCUUCAAAAGCAUCACAAUCUUUUUAAUUUAAGUUGCUAUUUAGUAUUCUUCUAUACUCAGCCUUUGAUGCUUCAAUAAGAACAUUUAGAAUAGAAGGCAAUACCUGAUUACUGCCUCCCUUCAAUCAUAUCCUUUUGCUGUGCAUCAGGUGCCGCAGAAAUCAGUCAGCUUUCUCUAUGGGGAAACUACUCAAUCCCCAAAGAUAAUCCUUACACUGAAGAUAAAGAAUUGCAACCAGAAAUUUGGGCCCUAGGCUUCAGAAAUCCUUGGCGUUGUAGUUUUGAUUCUGUGAGGCCUUCUUAUUUCAUGUGUGCUGAUGUAGGCCAGGUAUUGUCGAUUCUCAGAAGAAAAAAUCUGGAAUUCUAUGUUUGCUCUACAUUGUCAAGGGUACCUACAAAUCCUGUUUGUGCUAUGUGAUGCACAAUGGUGCAUCUUUCCAAACUUCUUAUUCAACCUUGAGUGAAGAAUAAUAUGAAAACUUUUUUCCACCAUACUGAUGUUAAUCAACAUCUAACUGAUUAAACUUACCCUUAUGUCACUUGGAUUUAUACUUUCCCGUUAUAAAAAUUUUUGUAUAUUAGAACCUACGACACUAAGUAAGAAACCAAGAAGCUAAGAUUGCUGCAGGGUGUUAUCAUUUCUGACUUCUAUCAGGUAAAGCAUUUCUUUUAUUUUCAUUGAAUCUAUGCUUAUUCAACUGCUGAUGCCUUCUGCAAAUUGAUUAAGAGAUCAUAUCGAAAAAACUUGGUGGAAACAUAUUGAUGAGCUAUCAGUCAUAUUCUAUAUCAACGUAUCACGUAAUGAUCCUGGUUUUGAGCCGGUCAACUUUGAAUUGAUAUUUAUACGUUCUUCAAUGCUUGAGAUAUUAACAGCUUGGUGUUUGGAUAUAAAGCAUUGGAAGCUUAUUACUAUACAUUACUUCUUUCAUAUCAGGAUACGUAUGAAGAAGUGGAUCUGGUCAUGAAGAACGGAAACUAUGGAUGGCAUGUGUAUGAGGGCCCUAAUCUUUUCAAUCCUCCAAAAUCACCUGGAGGAAAUACAUCAGCAAAAUCUAUGAACCCCAUUUUCCCCGUGAUGGGAUACAACCACUCAGCUGUGAACAAGAAUGAGGGCUCAGCAUCAAUCACAGGAGGAUAUUUCUACCGAGCAGAGACUGAUCCUUGCACAUACGGAAUGUAAGUAUGUCAAAUUUGUCUUGGAAAGAUGAAUAUAUAUUUGAAAUCAGCACAUUGAGAGAGUAAAAGGAACAAAGAGUUCAGUAUGACAUGGUUGAUGCAGAAUUUGCAAUCACAGAGGGGAGUUUGAAUUGUUGUUAGUACAAUCUCCUCAUGGAAUACUCUCUUAUCAAUUGGCUUCUUAUGAUGAUUUUGAUGUUACUGCAGGUAUCUGUAUGCAGAUCUUUAUGCAGGAGCUCUGUGGGCUGGCAUUGAAAGCCCUGAAAACAGUGGGAACUUUACCUCCAACCUGAUCCCCUUUACUUGUGCUCAUGAUUCACCUAUAAGUUGCACCUUUGUACCUGGAAGUACACUUCCGGCAUUGGGAUACAUCUAUUCCUUUGGUGAGGAUAACAGCAAGGAUGUUUAUAUCCUUGCAAGCAGUGGUGUCUACAGGGUUGUUCCUCCAAGUCGGUGUAAGUACACUUGUUCAAAAGAAAAUACCACAGCUGAGGUGACUACUGGUCCUGCUCCAUCCCCUCCUUCGGGUGCAACCAAGUUAACCAAUCCAUAUGUGAAUUUGGUGUCCUUACUUGUAUCCCUUUGGUUGCUUUGCUUAUUAUAGCAUAUUUGCAGUCAUCUUUUGUGUUACGUGGAGAGAUGAGUUGGGCUGCUUUUUGGUUUGAGAGGACUUGUGAUUCUUCUUUGAUUAAUCUGUGUUCUUGCUUUUGGGAUGAUUCAUUUUUCUGAGUUUGAUUGGAAUUAAGUUAUUCUAUGAGGUUCAAAGCCCAAUCCUUUCAAGAGUAAAGAUUCAUUAUAGUAAAGGUUCUAGUCACUUAAAACAAAAUUUUCAUGUAAUGGUUCUAGUAGAAUAAAUUGUUGAAGAUUCACAAAGCUGGAUAUCCAGAACUAAUAUCUUGAGACGCAUAUGUUCAAGAUGUUAUAGUGUAUAAAAAAAAAUCCUUACAAUAUCAAUCAACACAAUGUGUUGCCAAAACCUUGUUUUACUUGUUCUAACUUCUAAUGAGCAAUUCAACCGGUGAGAGUCCUCCCCCGCCCCAAUUCCUGUGCUGCCUCAGAUGAGGCUAGAAGCCUCAAACUUGCAUGGUAUCAUUGUCAAUUUUUUCCUCCAUUAGCAAGGCAGUAAGAGGGACGAAUUAAACCAAUCAAACAAAAACAAGAAGAAUGAGCAACAAAGUAAUCUUGUCAUUUCUCCAACAGAGUUAUCAAAAUUGACAGAAGAAACAGUCUUUUCAGAUAGACCUGCAGAGUUGUAUGGAGCUGUCAAAAAAAAAAAAGCAAGAAAAAGAAAACUACUGAAGAAGUACCUGAAGUAGCAUAUGCGCGUACUUGUUUACCAAGUGCUGACAAAGAUUAAAAAAAUAAGAAAGGGAAUUGCGGAUUCACCUUUGAGAAGCAAAUUGCAACCUACAUUAGUGCUAUUACGACAAGAGUUGUCAGGCCAUGAUGACAUUGAAGUUGCAGUUUCUAGUGUUGCAGAGAGAUGAUACCUGCUUUGGUAGCUUGCUUAAAUUGAAUUUACUAGCAGCUAGCAAAAUAGGUGCCAUCUCUUCUGCGACAUCAGAACUCAAACUCUUCCUUACCUCAUCUAGAUUUCCCUCAAGUAGAAACAGUACUGCUAAACAGCUACAAAUUGGAUUAUGCUCCCUUCCCUCUUCCCUUCUGGUGUACCUUUAUAAUUUCCUUGUUCUGCUUCUUUUGUUUCUGCAUCUUCCGUUUUAGGACAUAAGCAACCUCUUGUCCUUGUCCUGAAGGCUGAAACACGAACGACAGCUGGCUAGCCCAACCUGGUAAAGAGAAACUUUUUCAAUUUGAAUAUUGAAAAGGGGGGCAAAUCAAUUGAGCAUGCUGGCUGGCUACAGUGUCAACACUUUUGUACGGAACGAUACCCAUGCAGGAAAUCUUGUUUUAACUACUACUUCACAAAAAAAGAAAAUUAGGAAAGAUAUGUUUCAGGAGAGGCAUCUGAAGCAAUACAAGACUAAAGUUACUGCAAUGAUCAUAUGCAGAAUGGAGUACAGAGAGAGGUAGCUUUUGAGUUGAGAAUGAUGGAACGAAAAUGGCACUUGGAAAAAGUUAGGAGCCACUAAAAAUGUGGGUUGCUUUAACUGAAGCAUGCUAAUCAUACUCAUGCAACAGUUCCAACCAGAUAAAAGUAGUACCACGUAUCCCAAAAGAACAAUUAUUAUUAUUGUCUGUUCACUGUUUGCAAUUUGCAUAAAGAGAAUAUUGCACCUUUAUGAGUUCUUGCCUGAAUUUUUUUCUUUUUCAACUUAUGUAUUAUCGGCUUCUAAUUUUUGUUUCUUUUUUAUUCUUUUAUAAGGUUCUCAGAAGUGUAUAAACUCCUGUAUGAUGUUCCCAAGUUCAAUGUAAAACAGCAUGAACAGAUGGAGGGAAUGAUGAGGAAAUCAUGUUGUAUAGUACAUAACAGGUUAUACCAUAAAUAGACAAGAAAUCUUUCACGCCCAACAGGCAACAAACCAUGCAACCCAAAUUUGGCAAUUUGCCUCGCAUCCAACUUGUGAAAUACACUAGUCAGCCAGUCAUGGCUCUCUUAAGCAUCCAACAAUAAUGGGAAGUUCCAGGGUCCUAAUAUCUUGAAGGGUUUGACUAAUUAAUAACUUUUACACUUCACAAACUUGGAUAAGAACUCCAUGAGAUGAAAUUUUCUCCAAGCAAGCAAAUAGUAGUGAAUCAUUCAUCUCAAUUUGUCAUUCAUUCAAAGCCCACGUAUUAACUUCUUCUAGGGUUAUUAUAGACACAAAAGGUAGGAAAUGAUAUAUCUUUUAUUUGUGAAAUCGUACAAGUAUAUCUACAUGUAAAAAUUUAUUAUGAUCUUCUACACUUUUACAUAAUUAAACCUAUUACUCUAAUGGCUCAGCUACACUAACCCCAUUCAGAUAAUCGAGAGUUUGUCUCACAAAACUAACAGCAACCACUACAAUUAAUUUUUCACCGAGGAUUAAUAAAAGGCUUUUCUAAUGGUUUAACUUAGCAUAUUAUGUUAAUAGUUGAUUUAUCACUAUGUGGUUAAAGACUUGAGAGACUGAGAAUGUCAGUGGGAGCUUUAAGUCGGCAAGAUUCGGACUGUUGCAUAAUAUAUAUAUAUAUAUAUAUAUAUAGAGAGAGAGAGAGAGAGAGAGAGAGAGCAAUGCUACUCUAACUGAAAUGGGCUCCAAUUGUUGGCCAUCUUAGUUAUGCAAGGCUUUUGUUGUUUCUUGUGAAGUGACCCAACAACUUGCACAGAGUCUUGAAUUUGUGUCGAGCUUGGAGCGUAGUGGGACGUUUCUACAUAUCUAGCAGAUGCCCUACUCCUACUUAGGAUGAAAUUGGGCGUUGCCCAACCGUGGGCCUUUACUGGAAACUCUCAUUGCUUCAAUCUUCGAAAAAAUGACAGGAAAUAGUUAGUUUACUACAUGUUAACAGUCCAAAUCGUGCCGUAUCAUUUCAAACAAUUCAAGUCGUUCAUUUUAAUUCCUUUAAUUUUGAUGUAAAUAAUCUAGGUAGACCGAGUCGCUUGGUUUCUUUCAAGAUUGACACUAUUGGACGAUUGCACCUGCAAUCACACAUGCCUCCUAUACUUCAUCAAGCAAAAACAUUUUUGUAGUUGUUAUCAACUAACUAUGAUCCCGUUUGAAACCUAAGUUUUUCAGAAGUUUGUCUAAAAUUUUACUGUAGUGCACUAUAGAAGUUUUUGAAAAAAUUUUUUAAGAUGAAAAACUUUUUUUUCUUUCUUUCCUUUUUCUUUUCUUUUCUUUCCUCUUCUUCUUCUUUUUCUUCUUCCUUCCCUCUAUCCCUUCCCUCCCCCGUUAACCUUUGCCUCCGACGAACCAGCAACCAGGGUCCUACCAUAUUUUUUUCUUUCGUUUUCUCUUUCUCUUUCUUUUUCUUUCUUUUCUUUCCUUCUCUUUUUCUUCCUCCUUCCCCCUGGCCUUUCCCUCCUCCGUUACCUCUGCCUCCGAUGAACCAGCAGCCUUGUUCAAAAUUUUUUUUUUCUUUUUCUCUUUCUCUCUGCUCCCCUCUCCCCCUCUACUCCGCUUCACCUUCCUCCUCUCCCACUCGAAGUUAGAGAACCAGCAGCCAUGGCACGCACAAUUUUUUUUUCUCUCCCCAUCUUCUCCUCCUCUUUUCCAUCUCCCUUUUUGUGCAAUGGGUUAUUAGAUUGGGUUCAGGACCGUCGGCGAAAGUUAGUUGCCGCGGGUUGCGUCGGCGGUACGUGGCUACCGUGGGUUGCGUCGGCAAUCGUGGCUGCUGUGGGUUGCGAGGAAGAGAGAAUGGAGGAAGCGAUGGGUGGCAUGCGGUGAGGGUUGGACAACGAGUGUUGGUGGCCGAGGGUUGGCGGCGACUGUUCAACGUUGGUGGGGAGGGUGGCCAGGAAGGGGAAGGGGAGAAGAGGGGGAGAGGGGAGGGAAGGAGAGGAAGAGGGGGAGAGGGAGAGGGAGAAAGGAAGAAAAAAAAAAAGAGGAAUGCCGGCACCAGAAUAGGUGGCGGCGGCGAUGGCCGGCGGCGGAGGUGGUGGCCGGCGAUGAUGGUGUGGUGGAUUGGGACAGGGGAGAAAGAAGAAGGAAAUAGAAAGUUUUUUGUGUAUUAGAUAUUUUGAAGUGUGUAGGUUAAAAAAUUUGAUAAGUUUUUUUGAGUUUCUGUAGCAAAAGUUGUUAAAAACUAGUAGCAAAAAAACUUGGUAAAAAACUAGACUUCCAAACAGGCCCUAUUGUUUGGAUAGUCUAUAUUGGCAACACAUUUUUUUUGCUAAAACAUACAUCUACCAGUAAUCCUUCCUAAACACCUCAAAAUAAUUUGAAAUACAAAAAAAGUCACACACACAAAAACUACACCUACAACACCCUCAUUACCAACCACCCUUAUCAUCCUCCACUUUUUCCUAUCACUCUUCAUUUUUCUUCUCACCCAACCGCUCCUUUUUUUUUGCCAAAAAUGGUAAUUGUCAUUUCACUAAAAAACUUGUUACAAAAUUCAGAUCAACUGCUUUGUCCUGUCUUUCUUGGCUGACAUAUUGAGCCAAGUUGGGAAGUCUCUUUCCCAGGUUACAUUAGUGAUCAAGUUCAUGGCGAAUUUUGCCAACAUAUGACUAACUACAUUGCCUAUUCUUCUAAUGAAAGAAAAAUGACAAACAUCAAACUCGUUCCAUAGCUUUAUAAUAUCCUCCAAAACUGUAGCACAGUUGACAUCCUCAACUGAGUCUUCUUGUAGCUUCCCUAUUAUAGUUUUGCAAUUUGACUGGAUCUCUAUUUCCUUCCAUCCUUUCUGUUUUGCUUUUAUCAAAGCCAUUUGUAUGGCUAGUGCUUUCUCCACCACUAGUACUGAGAGAUAUUUGUUUGGCAUUGCCCAUGCCAUGAUGAGCUUUCUCUCAAAAUUUCUAGCUACUAUACCCCAUCCAACUUUUUCUUUUGAUUUUUGUACUAUUGCAUCAAUGUUAAUUCUUGUGCAUCUUUCCCUUGAUGGUAUCCACCUUUUAUCUUCUUCCUUUAUUUCACUACACUCUUCUUGAUCCAUUGUAUCUGAUUGCACUUCCUUAUACUCUAGCCAUUCUGAUAAAGCUUUAUUGAUUUGAGCUAUUGGUUGCUUCUUUAGUGUGUUAAACUGGAACUCAUUUUUUGCCUUCCAAAUCUGCCAUGGUAUGUUGAUUGUUAAGGCAAUAUGAUCAUACCCAUCUUUUCUCUGAGUUACCGCUAUAAGUUCAUUCCACCAGUGCCAGAAGUUGUCUCUGUGCUUUUCCAGUCCAUCCCAUCUUAUUGGAGUACAUUUUUAUAUUGCCUCUGCAUUUUCACAGUAGAAAAGCAUGUGCUCCAAUGUUUCCACUUGGUUGCCACAACAUUUGCACAUUGGUUCUCCUCUUCCUGUUCUGGUCUUGAUUACUCCAUUUAUAGGUAGGAUUCCUUUUAGGCAUUUCCAUAUAAAGUGGUUCAACUUGUGUUUUACAUUCAUUCCCCCACAGAGUUUUCCAUAUUCCUGUUUGAUUCUCAUUUCUACUGUUGUCCCCACUUCUGGUAUUUCUUUUCCCCUUAUUUCUCUUUAGUUCCUUGGCCACCAUAUAUACUAUGUAUACUCAAAUUGUUGAGUGAGCCCAAUAGAUCUCAUCUUUUUUUCUCCCUUGCUCAUCUAGAUCAGAUUGGGACUAGGGGUGUGCAAAAUCGAAAAAUUCUGAUUUACCGAUCGAAUUCGAAUUGAAUUCAAAAUUUUCGAAAUCGGUAAAUCGAAAAUCGGAAUCGAAUUCGGGUUUUCCGAAUUCAUAUAUUGCAAAUUUGGUUCUUAUUCGGUAAUGGAGUUUUUCAAAUCGGAAUUUCCGAUUUCAAAUUCACAAUUCGAAAUCGGAAUUCGAAUUUCGAUUUCGAUUUCAAAUUCGUUUUUAAUAUAUAAAUAUUUUUUUUAUACACGUAAUAUAAAAUUUAUACUAUAUAAUAUUAUAUAAAAUUUAUAUAAUAUUAUAAAUUUUAUCUUAUAUGAUAAAUUUUGUAUUAUAUAAUAAUAUAGAAAUUUUUUCGAAUUCGGUGAAAUCGGAAUUUACCGAAUUCGAAAUCGAAUUCGGUCGAAUUAUCAGACACUAAAAUUUCAAAAAAUUUUGAAUUCAAACUUUCGAAUUAUCAAUUUCGAAUUCGAUGCACACUUGUAAUUGGGACUAGGCAGAGGGAGAUCAGGAUAGAGGGAAGAGAGAAAGGGAAGAGAUAAGAGGGAAAGAAGAGCAGAGCAAGGGAAAAUAUAAGAAAAAGAAGAAGGAUGUAGUGGAAAAUAGAGAGGAAGAGGAGGUGAGGAAUGAAUGAAGAAAAUUGGUAGAUGAAAAGAGAAAAAGAAAGAUGGCAGGGAAGAAAAGAGGGGGCGAGAGAGAGAGAGAGAGAGGUGGAGGGCAUAAAAGUCAUUUUCUAUCAUUUCUGAAAACACACUCUAAAAGCAUGUUAAAAAAACUCCUAAAAAAUAAGAGUAAAUUUUAUAUGCACUGACGGUGUAUAUACACUAUCACAGUUGAAUAUAUAACACAUAUGCAAAAUUUGAAUUUCAAAUUCAAAUUCAGAUUAUGUGUCAUGCAUCUAAUAGUAAAAGCGUAUAUACUGUUAGUAUGUAAAAGAUUAAUCCAAAAAAUAAAGUCAAAAAUUUUAUUAAAACACACAUCUAUCCUUAAAGUUUAAUAAGAACGUCCUUAAAACACUUAAUUUAAACGGGCCUUAUGUUUUUUAAUAUGGGAAAAAUAUAUGUUUGGCUUUCAAACUAUUAAGUUUGUCAAACUUUUAGUAGUCCAACUAUUAUUUACAAAUUUUUAUUCCUUCAAUUUCUAAAAAUGUGUACUUCUAACCCUUCUAUUCAUUUGAACUGUUAAAACCCAUGAAAACUGUAUUACGCACAAUACACCAGCAAAAAAAUUGAAAGUCUAGUAAAUUAACAUAGUAAAAGGAAUGGUCCAAAAUUGAGUGGUUUUUAAUUCAAUGUAAAUAUGAUCAAAUAAAUUAUAUUUUGCAAUAACCAUGGUAUAAGAAGUUGAAUAGUAUAAAAUAUUAUAGAAUUUGACACCAAAUGAAUCUUAAGAUGGCCAAAAUGAUCGUGAGAGUGCUAAGUUAUGUUGAGAAAAAUUUUGAGGAUUUUGUGUCAAAAUUUUGUCAAUUUGAACUCUUAUCACUCCAGGAAAUAUUUUGAUAUAAAGUUUGAAAGAUUUGAUAAAGGACUUGUGGAGUAGUGGUAAAACUACAUUUGAUUUUAGAUCUACUCAUUUCUAUCAAGAUUUAGAGAAAACCAAACCCAGAUUUGGAACGUAUGCCAAAAAAUAUAGUCUAAAGAUAUAAUUUCAUUUAUAAAUUUUGACAAUAGUAAAAUAGUUGUCAAACAUUGGUUAAUGACAAUCAAUGACUAUUGACCAACAACUGGUAAUUGUAACUGUGACCGGACAUGAUUGGUCAAAAAAUGAUUCAAACUAUGUCUGUGUUAUAAGUUGGAAGACUAAAAAUAUACAAAUAAUAAUUGGACUAAAAGUGUAUAAAUUUAAUAGUUUGAGAACCAACAGAUAUUUUGCCCUAUUAAUAUAUAUAUAUAUAUAUAUAUAUUUCUAUAGUAACAAAACCUAAAAAUAUCUUACAACACUUUCAAAAUAUUUCAAAAACGAUUAGGGAUAACUAUGGCUCUGAUGGAUUCUAAGUUUUUGGAAAAUCUUAUAUUUCAAAUACAAUUCUACAAUAACAUUAAUUCAAAAACACUCCAAAAUAACCUAAAAACUCCCAGGUACAACUCACUUUAUAUUGAUAAAAAGAAUAAAAAUAAAAAUAAUAUAUCACCACCCAUUUCUUCCUCCACCACUACUCUCAUCUCUUACCGCUACUACUCUCAACUUUUCACUACCAUCACCCACAUUUUACCAUUUUCCUCAAUUACCACUUCUUUUCCUCUUCUCACUCAUCCCCCUCUUCCGUACCUCUCCUCUCCCCAUAUGCGAGUAUAUUUGAUUGUAGAGAGGGAGCGAAAGAGAUGCGGUGAGAGAAAGGGAGGAAGAAGGGAUGGAAAGGAAAAGAGGAAGAAAAAUGAAAGGAAGAAGGGAGAGAGAGAAAGAGUAAGCAAAGAGAGGGGCAAGAAAAAGAGGAAAGAAAGAAGAUAAUGAGGGUAAGAGUACGGGAGAGGAAAAUAAGGGAAAAGAGAAAGAGGGAAAGAGAAGAGAAAGAUGGAAAAUAAUAGAGAAAGAAAGAUAGAAAUGGGAAAGAUAUGUGACAACCUCACCUUCCCCUGAGGCGAACCAAAGGGGUUAGCGGACUGCCUGCCCAACUCUCGCCAGGACUAACGGAUCAGUUUACGUCGAUCUAAUACGUUCCGGAACAUACUAACGCGCGCAAACAAGUACAAAAUCACAAAAUAAAAAAACGAAAAUCGAAACCGACAAUGAACAGUACCGGCCACGUCAGAAUCCGGCCGGAAUCUGGCCGGAUUUCCGGCCGGAUACUGGGCCGAGAGCAACCAAGAAAAUUUCUUUUUUCCCCCGCAAUCCGGCCGGCAAUCCGGCCUGUUUCUGGCCGGAUUCCUGGCCGGAUUGGGCCCUGUUCAUUCCGGCCAAAAUUUUUUCCUUUGCCAUUUGAAAUACGAAUUGAUCCGGAGUUCAACCAAACAUCCACCAAACAUAUAUAUACAUUGAAAUUUAACAUUUACAACCAAAUGGCAUGCCAAAAACCAUUCAUCAUGGAUAUACAUGUUCGGUUUGCCAAUCAAAAGAAAAUGAACCCAAUACACAUUAGGGUUUCAUUCAACAAGCUAAACAAAAGCCAUUUACACUAGCUCAACUUGGCAAUCGACUAUCCAAUCCAAUCCCAAAAGUAAUUAUAUCCCUGUAAGGAAAACAAAUGGAACGGGAUGAGCUUAAGCCCAGUGAUGUACUACCACAUAAGCAACAAAGAUCACUUAAGCAUAUCCUUUCAUUUCAAGUACACAAUUAAGGAAUAAAACAAAUCAGUAAAAGGAUACGGACGGCUCUCAAGAGCCCAUUUCCACGCUUACAUUCUUGAUCCAACCUCAUUGACCCUCCGUCAAUGUUUAAGAAUACCAACCGUAGAACCCACUUCACUUCCAUUCCUUCUACCCAACAUACCCCAACCGGGCCCGCACUCCAGACAGUAGCUUUUGGUGAUACUCGAGUACACCGGAAACAAGGGUCUCAUUACCACAAGAUUCCCAUUUCAGUCCCCGUGGCUAGUCAAUUUUCACGACCAAACCCUCGCUGGCUCGAUUCAAUUGACUACCAACGAGGUCGAACUCAGUAAUACAGUAGGGCCGUUGGAUACUUGUCCAGCCGACACCCAAACAGUUUCCCAUGAAUGGCAUUCAAUAUCUCAUAUAGCAAGUGCAGUAUUACAGUGAAACGAUAAGCAGUCAUUAACAGGAUAAAAGGGAUGAGGGCGGUCAAGUACACCCUCACCUUAAUCAUAUCCAAUAGCCAAAUAAGCCUUCAAGGCAUCACAAUCACAUAUAGCAAAGCCACAUUAUAAACAUUCAAGUGAGUAGUAUACUCACCAAUCAAGUAAAUGAUGUUUCAUGCACCGUCGUCAAAGGUACGUCGUGAACCACCGUCACGCCCUAGAACACAUAAAUGAGUACAAUGAGACUCGAUAACGAGUCAUAAAGCAAUACCAAUCACAACCCCAAUAGGGUUUCAUAAGCAUAUAUAAGCAUUAUAAGAAACCAGAAAAUCAGGAAAUGGGACUAACUAGCCCUGAAUAAAACAGUGUUUGACCUCAUUUUUGCGGGAAUGGCACUAAGGUCACUACGGUUGUCGGAUGAAAGUGUAAGACCCACCGUUUCGAAGCUAAGAAACAGGGCUACAACAAUGUAGAAGGUCACUCAGUCCAAUUCCUAGCAUAACUAGGUCAAAUACGCAAGAAACUAAACCAGAACCGCAAUAACAGGUUUGCAAACUACAUUCUGCUGUAAUCAGUACAACUCAGUAUAUACAGGUCCAAAUUCAGAAAUUCUAAAGGCAUAUGGUAGCUAGGACAUCCAGCUACAUUUAAUCAGAAGACCUCAACAACCAAAUCCAAAGCAAUUCCAGCCAAAACAACUAAUUUCAGACGCAGUUCUUACAUUCGGAUGAAUCCAGAACAUCAAUAGUAAUUUUGACUUUUCUCACUCUACACUACUCCGAUUGACUUGAAAUUUUACAAGCACCUCUAACACAUCAAUACCUACAACUUUCAUGUUUUAAGUUAAGGCCAAUUCAGCCUCUAACCAUGAGAUAUAAAACUGGUCAGAAAUGAGGGGUAUGAAACCCUAACUUUCCAAAUUUCCUUCCAAACCCAAAGUUGCUUGCAAUUAACAAUCAUUUACACCUACUAGCCUCAUUCUAGGCCAUUGCCAAUUAUCAUACAAGGCCACACCAUCACAUUCAUAUAUAAACAGAAAAAUCACCAAUAAAUGGAAAAGGUCACCAAUUCAUCCAAAAUCAGGAAAUAAACCACAAAAUUCAUCACUUUAACUAUCACUAGGCACAAAUUAAGCUUCAUUAAGUGAAGGAGGUAGUUCAAUCACCACUCACCUAGCAAACAAGAGAGGGAGAGUUGCUUGACACCUUAGCUUCCCCAAACACUUCACCAAACAACUUACUAACACCAAAUAAAGAGGUUUUAUGAAGUAGAAACAAGUUUAGAUGGUUGAGUUAUUGGAUUGGAGCAAGAGGAAUUCAAGAAGUUGAAGAGGUUUUCUUCCUUUCUUCCUUAAGGUUGGCCGGCCACAAGAGCUUGAAAAUGAAGCAAAUUUUGGUAAAUUUUGAGAUAUUUAAUCAAAUGGUAAAACAUAGAAUAGUAAGUCAAAAGUUACAUCCACUCACAAGGUGACACUUGUCUCUUCCAUAAAUGCAUCUCUAUCCUUUUAUUUCCUCUCACAUCAAUCACAUCUCAACCUCUACUUAUCUCUUAACACCAGAUAAAUUUCACACAUUAUCCGAAACUUAACCUAAUCGGCCGAAUUUUUUCGAACUUUUCGCACUAGCGGGUCUCACGUCCGUUAUUUAUUCUUAAUUUUUCAAAAACUAUCCAAUACUAGAAAAAUCAUCUGAAAACUAUAAUUACUCAUAAAAUUCACCAGGAAAAUUUUCUUAAGCAAGAAAAUACAGAAAACAUGCCAUUAAAGGAGAAAAAUCCUAGGAAAAUUAUUAUGAGGAAUUACGGGUUCUCACAAGAUAGAUAAGAGAAGAGAAGCUGUUGGGAGACAGGUGAACAAAAGAUAUGGGUGGCUGUGAUAAGAAAGACAAUUUUUUUUUAAAAAAAAGUCGAUAAAAUUUUGAAUGUUAAAAACACUCUCAAAUAUAUCUACUGUGAAAGUCUUUAACAUACAAAAUUACAUUAAAACUUAUGAAAAACACCUGUAAAAAUAUCUAGUGCAUACGAAUCUCAUAGUUUUAUUGCUUAUCUACUUGAAUAAUUAACUAUGUCAUUGUUUUCAAUAAUAAAAAACACACUAUUUUUUAUAUUAUUAGGAAUUUAUUCUGUUAUUGUGUAAAGUGUGAUCGUGUUUUCUAAUAAAAAUGAGAUUGUAUAAUUAGAUACUACCAUUUUUAGGUAUUUUUGUACAUACAAAAUGAGGUAUGAAUAUAGUUUGGAUGGCAAUAGGGCAGAGUACUCUUCGCGUCUCUGUCCCGCUUAAAAAAUUCAACUUCCAUCUAUCAUUCUCUCUCCUUAAAGCUUUUAAUGAAUAAAUUGUUCAUGAUUAGGUUCAAUUUUGAAAAAAGUUCAAUCAUAUAAUAAAUGAAUCGAGUUUGAACACAAGAUUAAACUCAUUUAAUAAUUGAGUCAAACAUGACCUAUACAUUAACUGCUCAAAUAGAUUCAUGAACACAUAUAUAAUUAUAAAGAAUAAAUAAAUAUGAGCGUAAAUGCCUUAUAUAUUAUUAAAUAUAGGGAAAUAUAUCUUGUAUUUUUUUCCUCAAAAAUAACUAUACAUGAAACUUGUGUAUUAUUUAUACUUCUAAAACAAAAUAAUUAAAUUAAAUUUAUUCUAAAUCAUGUAUUAUUUUAAAAAAUAUAAUUAUAUCAUUUUCAAACUCAAAUUUGAACUUGAACUCGAGCUGGGAAUUCAGCUCGUUUAGUUUGAACUCAAAUAUUUAUACAAAUUAACGAAUUAAAUUCGAACACCACUUAUUGUAAUGCCCAAAACCCAUGAGUUGGCCCAAGUAACUUUUGAAUUGAAAUCACGAGAACAAAAUGGUUAAUCCAAGUUAUUAGUAACCUAAUGGAUCAAAGAUUAUAUUUCAUUCCUUUUCUUCCUUCAUUUCAGAUGUGGGACAUUUCACUCACCCCAUCUUUGGAACUUUACAUUCUUGCAAAGUUUGGUUGUAAUUCAAAUUGUCUAUUUAGUUGUGUAUGAACUCUAGAUGUGGCUCAUAUGGGUUAUAAAGAUAACCCCAUUGAACGUGACACUUAGCUGUAUGCCACACUUAAUUUCUUGCACUUCUUUACGUAAUCAAAACCAUAACAUAACACCACUUGGUCCCAAGUUCAUUAUAUACAGAGACCAUGCGAGUUUUACUCUGAUAUCAUUGGUGGUGCUCCACGCCUAUUGGUCCAAUAACUUUUUGAAGUGGUGAUUUUAGUUCAAAAAGUUAUUGAACCAUGCCAAUGGGCCCAAGACAUUACACUUGUAGUUCAUAUAAUAUUCAAUCAAAAUUGAUCCUUGUUUAUAUAAUAUACUAAUGGAGUGUAAACAUUAAAAUUUCGUCUUGAUUUGACUCGUUAAAAAUUUUAUUCCCACCUACUUAAUUCCCAUAUUUGCUAUGCUCUUAUUUGACAUGUCUUAUAUUAUGAUUGAGUGCUUGCUUUGGGUUUUUAUAUCUCAUAAAAUUCAUUUAUCAAUAGUAAGUAUUUUUUUAAAUGACAAAAUCCCUGCAUCUUCUCCCUCCUUCCCUACGAUUAGAUCUGAUUGUGAGGAGGGAGGGGAGGGAUGUGGAGAGGGGAAAGGAAGAAGGAGAAGAAGGGUGCGGAGAAAAGAAUAAGGAGGGAGGUGAGGGAAAAAGGGAAGGGAAAAGGGAGAUAAAGAAGAAAGAGAGAAGGAGAGAAGAGGGAGGGGAAGGAGAAAUAUAUAUAAAGGAGAUAGGGAUAGAAGAGAAAGCUGCGGGAAAGGGGAGGGAGAAAGAAUAGGGGAGAAAAGAGGAAGCAAGAAGGGGGAGAAGGAAAAAGGAGAGGGAGAGAGAAAGAGAAAGGAGAGAAGGAACUACUGAUGGCAUGGAUGAAAGACGAAUUUUUUUAAAAAUAUCUCAACAAAAUUUUAAAUUUGAAAAACACUUCCAAAUAUAUCUACAAUGAAAGUUUUUAAGAUCUAAAGUUAUAAUAAAAAAUUUUCAAAAACACCUCUAAAAAUACCUAUUCCAUUCAAACCUUAUAGUUCUAUUACUUAUCUGCCUUGAACAAUUACCUACAUAAUUGCUUUUAAUAAUAAAUAACUCUAUUUUUCAUAUCACUAAGGAGGCAUUUAUUUUUUCAUUUGAGUGAAGUGCAAUUGUGUUUCCUACUAAAACAUAAGAUGGUAGCAUCUACAUUGUUAGGUUUUCUUUGCAUACAAAUUGAGGGACAAAUCAUAGUUAUGAAUGGCAAUAAGGUGGGAUGCCCUUAGUGUCUCCGUCCCACUUAAAAAAUUCAACUUCCAUCUCUCAUUCUCUUCACUUAAAGCUUUUAAUGAACAAAAUUGUUUGCAAUUAGGUUCGAGGUCGAAAAACUUUGAUUAUAUAAAAUACGAAUCAAACUUGAACACAAGAUUAGGUUCAUUUAAUAAUUGAGUCGAAUACGAAUUAGUUUGCAAACUGUUCAAAUAGGAUCACGAACACAUAUAUAAUUAAAAAGAAUAAGCAAAUACAAGCAUACGUACCUUGUAUAUUAUUAAAUAAAUAUAGGUAUAUAUAUCUUGUAUUUUCCUAAAAAAACAACCAUGCAAAAGUAUUCAAAAACUCAUUCAUGAAUAAUCCGAGUUGGGUGCUUACUUUGCCGUCAUCUGACACCCCUUAUAAUCCGAGUUGGGUGCUUGUUUGUCAUAAAAUCAUUCAUCCAUAGUAAGUAUUUUCUUUGAUGACACUUAACUAUUGACAUAACUUCAAAUUCAUUCCAAAACUUGUUUAGAGUGGAUUACUGUAAUAUGUCUUAAGAUGCCAUAUGCAAAAGUAUUAAAAAAAAAAAAAAAAAAAAACAUAUCCGUGAUACACAAAUAUUUUAACACCAUAUCGAUUAUUGAAAAUUUGUUAAACUUACCCUCUAGAUUUGGGAUUACAUUAAUUAAGACUUUCCAAUCAUCAUGAGUACCUAUGUUGCCUAGGUUGUGUCUGUCCUUACUACAUCCACAUAGUUAUAUCAGUUUACAUCUCUCAUGUGGGAAGAUGGCUGUAUGUAUUACUUCCUGUAGUACUACAUGCCAUUAGAUGUCAUGACCACUCCUGGUUGACUGAAGGAAUUGCUGACCCAAGUUUGUCUGACUCCCAAAGGUCCAAAUUCUCCUAAAGUAAUUCCGGUACUACUAAAACUACCCCUCCAUCCACUAAUACGACCUCGUUUACUUGUAUGCAGGAGUCCUUCCAAGUCCAUCUUUUGUUCAUCCACACCUUGGCCCUUCCCUUGCAGUCCCUAAUCCUGUUCCCAUUCUUCACUCUCUUUCUUUUCAGUUUUCACCUUGUCUUUCUGUGUCUUUCUCACCUCCUUAAUCCUUAAUCAUCCACAUUUCUCACCACCAAGGAAUCUGAUAUCAAUUCACAGUUCAGAAACACCCCAGCCCCCACCCACAAAAAUGAAAAAACCCCCAUAGAGGACACAACACAGCACCCUUUCCCCCAAGACACACACAACACGCACUAAAUUCCAUUUUUACCCCCUGCAUACUUGAAAUUUACUUACCCUUUACCCUUCCCUAAGUUCCCUUUACCCUUAAAACAAGAAAAAAAACCAAAAGGAGAAGAAACUGACAAAAAAUCCCAAUUGCCCUCUUCAAUUUUUUUCCACCCUUGCCUUUGCCUUGAUGCCUUUGUCUCUUCCCCCUUUUCCAAUUUUUCCUCUCUUUUCUUCUCUCUCUGAUAUAUAGACACAACUCAGGAGAAAACCCCCCUCCCCUCCCCACCCAGUAUUACAAAAAUUUAGUUUAUCCCCUUCCUUUAAUCCAUUCUCAUUAAUUUUUCUAUUUAGCACUUUUUAUGUCUGAUGGUCAUUAGUACUUUUUAGCUUCUCCUCCGCCUUCUUCUUCAUCAACAUAUAUCAACAGUGACUUGGUAUUAUUUUGGGAUUUCUUUCUUUCUUUUUUUUUUACUGAUACAGAUAUCUUUCUUGAUGUUACAAUCUUUCUUUGAAAACCCCAAGUGUUUGGUUCAAUGCAAGUCCAUGAUCUCCCAUGUAACUCCUCCGUAGCUAAUCCCCUCUCCGAUCCCCACUUCUCCGCCACCGCCUCAGUCGUAGCCAUGGCCUCCGACCCGCAACCCUCCUCCCCUUCUCCGAUCCAUUCCCCAAAGCACCACAAAAUUUCCCAAAAUAACGGCAAAAAAACCCAAAGUAAUAAGAGCCCACCUCCUCACCACAAUGAUACAGUUGUUAACUCUUCUGCAACUCCCAACGCCAGUAACAACAAUAAUACCAGUAAUACUAGUAACAACAAUAACGGUAAUAGUAAUAGUGUUGUAUUUAGGAGAGAAAGGCCCUCCAGGGCAUGUACGCAGCGGGCGGCCGCCAGGAUGCAGGCUGCGGCCGCUGCUGAGGCUGCUGCGGCCGAGGCAGAGAAGAAGCAGAAGAAGGCAGCUUUGAGGAAGGAGCGACUGGCGGCCCGGUUGCUGAGGGAGGAAGUGGAGGAGCAGGAGGAGGAGGUGGAGCAGCAUGGAGAGGAAGAGGAGGAAGGCGAUGAUACCCCUCUGGGAUCAUCGAGGAAUCAGCAAUGUAGUAAAAUUGUGACCCCUUUAGUGGGGGAACCGGAGCCCUCGCAAUUGCCGCGGUGGAACAUUCGUGGGAUGUGGCAGUUGGCUUCUAUCUUGAAUUUUUUGAAUGUAUGUCAGCUUGCAUAAAGUUGAAGUUUUUCUGAAAGAAGAUUGGAAUUUUCUUUUUUCCAGAAGUGAAGCUUUCGUGCCUUCAAGGCUAAUGGGUUCUGGCUUCUCUUAGUGACAAUUGUCUGUUCUUUUUCUUUUUCUUGGCGUAGGUUUUUAGGCCUUUAUUGAAUAUUAAAGUGGAGUUUUCAGCAGAGGAGUUCGAAACAGCUCUCAUUACGCCGAAUAAUACUCUUGGAGAGAUUCAUAUUCCGUUAUUGAAGGUUGGUGCAUUUUGUUGUUUGGAUGAAAAGCUUGUGCCUUUUAUCCAACUUGAGUUUUUGCGUGAAUUUCUGGUAAUUCUGGCCCUUGUGGCGAACUUAUUUUGCAUAAAAAUUGCUAGCCUCUUUUUUUCGUUGGAACUCUGGUAACAUUUAAUAGUAUAAAUUCGUCCAGUGGUGUCUUUGGGAUACUUCAUUUAGUUUCAGAAAUGCAUUACCCUACCUGUAUUUUGGUCGAAUGAAAAUCUUUUCCUUGGUGGAAUGCAAUGUUGCAAGAUGGGUAGCAACUAGUCAAAUUGAUUGUAGGAGCUUUAUAUCUAUGGCUUAUAAGCAAUCAAGUCUCAGAAUUAUGUGUGGGCAUAAAUAAUGCGAGGUAUUUCAGUUGCUUCUUUAAGUACCACAAUUCCGGUAAAUCAUGCCAUCUGAAUAACAAAGUUUGUUGCUUUUUUGAAGUUUUAAAUUUGUGGAGGUCAUAGGUAUGGUGAAGAGUUUCUUAGCAUGUAGCUGUAAUGUGGAGAAUCAGAUUGGAAUUACCUCUCAUGGUUAGGUCUACUAUGGGGCAAACUAAAAAAAAAAUUCCAGCCAGUUACACAGACAAUGGAAUGCACAUUUGAUAGGAAAGUUAGUUUUUCUUUUAGGACAUUGUGGUGAAUAAUAUUGAGAAUCUGCUCCAUAACCUGUUACAGAGCUUAACAACAUAGGACGGAAAUCUACAGAAUACCUUUAUUGACUGGUAAAAAUGGAAAACAAUAACCUGAUAAAUUAUCAGCUCAUUACAAUUGGGGUGUGAACUAAAGGUGCUUUGUUCAUUUUCCUCCAGUUGUAGGUUUGGAUUCUUAGAAACUAAUUUAUUCCACUAGGAGUUGGAUACUUUUUAAUGCAGGAUAUUCCUACGUUUCAGUUAGAGCUUGAUUGUUUUACAUUUUAGCAGUGGACCUGGCUAUAUGUGUAUGCAGAAACCAGAGUCUAGAAAUAUAUAUAGUAUGGAACUAGUGUAGAGAUUGGAAGAGGAAGUCUAAGAAGGAGGAGAAUAGGAAGAGAAAGGGAGAAGAGAACCUUAGGUUUCUCAUGUAAUAUAGGGGGAGUCGUUUUGAAACUCCGUGUUUCAAGAUGCUGUUACUUAUAGGGCAAUCCUGUGGCAAGUAGGUAGCUUUUUAAACACAUGGUGGCCAAGGUGGUCCACAGAGCAUCUUCUAUGGUGCCUGACCAUUGGACUUCCACCAAUUGCUGAUCAUUUGACUUCCUGCAUGGCUGUACCUUGAACUCUCAUGGCUGCCCCUUAAAAUCAUUUGCUUUCUUAGCCACCAGAUUCACUGUAUUUAAUUUAAAAAAAAAAAAUCAUUUGGUGUCCAUUCAUGGCUGACCUGUGUUUUUCACCUUUGGUUGCUACUGUGGUGUACUUUUGAAAACUAGGCAGCGAAAAAUUUUCACCAACCAAGGCUGCUACAAACAGGCACGCAACUUGUGUGCUACCACUGCAAUCAGCAAACUACCAUGAAAUUAAAGUCCUAAAUCUUUUACAGGCUAAAAUGUAGGCAAACUUGAGUUUCUUUUGUUAAGUUGUUUUUAUUGUUUUGCUGUCCUACCUCCUGCCUGAAAUAGUUGGUUGAUGUUUAUGCUCAUAAGAGAUUUAAAUGGGCUCAGUUGUCCUCAGAUUGAUUGGUUAUAGUUGACUUUUGUCCUGCUUGCUAUUCAUUUUGACCGAACUUUUUGGUUUCUUUUGUGGUGUAUAGAUCUUUAGUAUUAUGGGCAUUGGAUCAUCUAUCUACUUCUAUCUUGUUUUUAACAACAGUUUGCCUGUUCUAAUUCAUCCUCCUGCAGCAUCAGGAUAAGAACUGCGAAUAUACCAUCUUUAAAUAUUUGUGUAGGAAGUAAGUGCCACUGGUUAGGAUAAGUAGUGGAUGACCUGGAUAAGUCUAUAUCUCAACUUAUUUAUAGAAUUCUAGAAUGUUAUUAUCAGAAUAAUUUCACUUGAAAGAAGCUAUGUAAGUCAUUGAUGAUUUGAGAAGCAAUAAGGGUAUUGCGAGGAUCAAAUAGCUAGCUAACAGAUGCAAAUACAAAACAAGGAAGUGAAUAAAGAAUUGGUGCUUUAAUUUGGACUUCAUUACCGGCUACUCACUUGUUUAUGUUCUCGUUGUUCAUUUGGUUUUUUUUCUUGAGCAGUAUGUAGAUUGUUAUUGCCCUUGUGGGCAUUGAGAAUUUAUGUUGUUGAAGAUGAUUAUACCUAGAGAGACAUUAGAUUAAUGUCAUAUCUGCUGUGUCUUCUUAUAAUAUACUAGGAAUCUAGCAUCAGAACAUAGUUUAUCACAGCUUGAGAUGGAACUGUUGUUCAGUUUAAAUACUAACAAGUACAUAAUGCUACAAAUUGCUAAUAUCCCUAAAUGUUGUGGUGGUUUGUCUUUUGAGUAGUUGUUCUUGGUUAAAUAUCAAUGGCUUCUGACUCUUCUGGCAUGACUUUUCUUGUUAUUUUUGUUCUUUUUUAAUAUUAACUUGAUGAUUUUCUUCUUCCUUUUCCGGCGCAGCAUCCAGCCUUGACUCCUAAAGUGUCCUAAAAACCUCCAUGAUGUCAAAUGCAUUUAUUGUCCAAUAAGUAUUCAUGGGCGUGGAUAAAGUACUUUUCAAAGUCAAAAGUAUAUGUGGUCACAACAAAGUUUUACUUGUUAACAUGAAAUGCUUUGAUAAUCUUGGUGAAAUAAUGGCAUUAACUCAUAUAUUAUACUUUCUUAAUUUAUUUCCUCAGGCAAUUCCUCCUAUCACUCGAAUGGCCCUUGGACACAAUACAUGGGUUACAGUAUUGUGCAGAAAAUUACGUGAUUGGUGGCUUUGGGUAAUCUGGUUUUAGUUGCUUGAGCUGACUCAAAUACUGAAGUUGUUAAUUCCUCCCUUUUUCUGACAUCUUGGAGUGCAUUAUUUCAUCUCAGGUUGCAGAAGGAGAGCUACCUAUUGUUGCAUCUCAUGGGUAAGAAACUAUACAUCUGUAAAAAUCUUUGGUUAGAAGGAGUUUCUGCCUUUUUUUUUGUGGAAGAAGCACGAAUUUGCAUGUGUUUAGAUGUAAUCUUCACUGGUUUCAGGGCUGAAGUUGAAGCAUAUAAUGCUCUAGAUCCUGCGGUUCGUGUAGUAAUAUUGAAAGCACUAUGUGAUAUUCGUGUUGAGGUAACAUUUAUGAUGGUUGACAUUCUAUUUCUUAUUUCUAUAGCUUCUGUUCCUGAGGUACUGGCUUUGAAAAAUUUACAGCAGGCUUUUUUUUCCCCUUUGUAAUUGAUGUACAUAUGCAUAAAAAUUCAGUCAUCCCUGUUACUGCUCCCUUGAGGGAGAAUGUUCUAGUGUUAAUUUUUUGGUCAACAUCUUGUGUUUCUAUAGCUAAUUGGCUGACAAUUUCAACCACACCCAUCAGACUGUAAGACUUAAAUUCUUAUGGUCUUUUAGAAAAGAAGAUAGAACAGUUAUGAACGGUAAGUUUGCAUAAGAAUUUUGGUGUUCGGAUGUCAUGGAGGCUGAUUGCUCCCUCAAAACCUAAGGAACAGUGCUGAGAUGCAAGAAGCACGUUAACACUUUGUCAUCUGCAUAUCUUUUUGUUCAAGUUUAAUGUUUUCUGUUAUGGAUAAUUGUAAGUAAUUGUUGUUUUAUUUUCAGCAAGAAGACAUCCGAAACCAUAUAGACAACUCUGUAAAGCAUGGUGUCCAUAUUUCAGCAUUUCGCAAAGAAAGAGUUGGUGGUGAUUCUCAUGGAAUCUCUUAUUGGUAAUGCAUCUUAUCUUUGCAUUUCCUGGUUACAUGUGCAUAACAGAGUACCACAAACUUUCUCUCAGUUUUAAGGAGUGAUACUUGGUUUUUUUUUUUUUGGUUGUACCUUUUGUUCAUUUCCUUGUAUCAGAGUCUUAUUAGCUGCACUUUUCUUAUAUAGGUAUGAAGAUGAUGCUAUGGUUGGUCAUCGACUAUAUCGAGAGAUUAGAAAAGUUGAGGUGAAGAAAGGAAAGGGGAGAAACAUACCGCCCAUUCCUAAUUCAUCUUACCAGUGGGAGACAGUUGCAACUAAUUUUGAUGAAUUUCAAGAUGUGUCUGUGAGUUAUUUGUUACCGUUUAAUCUCGUCUAGUGUCUGCUAAAUAAAUUCCUAAGACCUGCACCUUGAUAUUAACAUUUUGGAUUAUAAUGCAGAAUAUUUUGCUCAUUUUAAGCACGUGUUUGUUGGUUCUUAUAUUGCUAGUUGUACAAAAGAAUACUUGCCCGUAUUUUAUUCUCUUUAUCUUUCUACAUUUGUUUUUGGGUUUAGAAGAGUCAUUUUGUGUACAGCUGAUUCCAAAAUGCAGAAUAUUUUGCUCAUUUUAAGGAUGUGUUUGUUGGUUCUUAUAUUGCUAGUUGUACAAAAGAAUACUUGCCCGUAAUUUAUUCUCUUUAUCUUUCUACAUUUGUUUUUGGGUUUAGAAGAGUCAUUUUGUGUACAGCUGAUUCCAAAAUUCCAAGAGAAGAUUGAUAAUUUUUCAGUAACAAUAAUAAUAUGCUAGCUUGCUGUUCUGUUCUGUUAUUCAGUUUUUUACUUGUUUUCUUCUGUGCAAACUGUAAGGAAGAAGGUUCUAGAAUAUUUUUUGGCCAUUUUAUCCCUUAGAAUAAGUUUCCAUCAGUUCUUAGGGAAUGCAUCUGCUGGUAGUUUAUAUAAAUGGGAUGGGCUUUUAGGGAGGUGAGGUCAAUAUCUGAAUUUAGAAGGGAGGUUUCUACAAUUAAGGUAAAUACCAAGGAGGUCACUCUAAUCUCCACAUGAUUUACAAGUUAAAUGACAUAUGUAUCCUAAAUGAGCUACUUAGGCUAUUUAGUAUUAUGCUUCUUGUUUUAUCAUGGAAGGAGACUCCAAAUGAUAGAUGAGGGGAUGGAAUACUGAAAUAUAGCAUUCAUCACAUUAAUUGAAAAAGAGAAAAUAAUUGCUUCCACCAAAUUAAUUCAAAAAGAGAAAUGUGUGGAAAAAGAAAAUUGUACAGGCAUUGAAAAUAUAAUUAAAUAGAGUUAGAGAUGUAUCGGAGGUAAAUCCUAAGCUCGAGCGAGGGAUAUGAAGCAUUUUGGCGAUGAAUAAACUCAUUUCAAAAUUGUGAUUUGUGUAGGGUAUGCAUACGGUAAUCUUAUUCAUGCAAGAAAGCUUUUAUUUUGGUUGGCCUUCUUAUUAUGCUAAUUCCGUUCUCAAUUAGAAACUCCUGAGAGGGUCCAGAGUUCCUGUCCUCUUACGAUUGCUUGAGUGUUCAAUAACUUCCAUACGGUCUUGGGACAAAGGGAAUGCAAAUAACUUUAAGAAGUGAUUAGAUGCAAGAACUUCUGAAAACCUUGCAGCCUUAAAAAAAUUUGUGCUUGUGUGUAUGUUUUUUCCCUGUCCUAGGCUCAGAGCCAAGUUUGAUCUGGAAUCUUUUGGUUAAUUCUGUUUUAGGAAUUUGAUUAAUAGUCUGGUCAAGUUUUCAAAUAUGCAUUCAAUCAAUGGGCUUCUUCAGUAUUCUGGUAGUUAGGUUUCUAUUCUGGCACUUCAGGAGUAUGAUAUGCACCGGAUGGUGAAGCUGGUCUUACACACUACGCCUGUGGGAUAACAUCUUUCUUUAUUUAGAUCUUUAGCAAUUGCGGUGUGUGUGUUUUUUUGUUCUUUUAUUUAUUAUUUUUAAUUUUUUGGCAUAUAUAUAUAUAUAUAUAUAUAUAUAUAUAUAUAUGUGUUGUGGGAUUGAACUUUUGUCUCUGGGAAUACUUGGGAUCUUGUAUAAGUCAAGAAGAGCAUGCAACAUUUUGAUUGUUGAACUUCUAUCUUUUGAGGGGUUUGUAUAAUGGAAGAAAAGAAGGGAACAUUUGGGGUUGACCAGUAGUAUACCUUGGGAAGAUCUAUUGUGUUUUGUGGCAAACCAGUAUUCUCAUUGUUUUUGCAAGAUCUGUAUGGUAAUCUUAUAUGCUUUUGAAAAUGGUCACAAUGUAAAAAUCUGUUUCCUACAAAGCUGUAGAAGGGGGAGCAGAAGGGUAUGAGAUUGGAAAUAGCUAGAGAUGUCUAUGCACAUAUGUAGCAAUGUAAAAUGCAGAAAUAAGUUAGGAAAUAUGUAACUCAUACUUUUCAUGGAUCCAUUGACCAUAAAUCACAGAAUUACAUGAUGUGAAAAAACAACAAAGUUGUGUAUCAGAAUACGUACCAAAUUUCAUCCAAUUUAAUUGGGCAUGUUGACUUUGAAUCUGAUGGAUGCUAAUCUGGCUAAUUUAAUUGUGUGAUGACUUUGAGGAAGGGCUGCAAUGGAUUGUUUGAGAAAGGGAUCUGAUGGAUGCUAACAUGCCCAACAAAUUCUACCCCACAGAUGUUGAUGGUGAAGGGGAGGAGAGGAAGAUGAGGAGGAGGGUUGGGUUCUUUGUGGUCCUUGCUUACUGAUUUUUGAGAAUAGAGUGAAACUUCAUAAAGGAAUGACGGUUUUUGCAUCACUGGAGAAGAUUCCCAUGCAGCGAAUAGUCUAUGCGUCAAUGGUGUUUUGAACACAAAAAGAAUUAAAGAAAGGGAUGAGACAGGCUCCUGGUGUAGUGAGUGAGGUUAAAAGUGAAGAUUACACAAUUUAGAGGAGUAAAUAGACAGUGACUAAGGCUAGAUAAGCAUUUCAAACACUAGGGAUAAGGACAGUGUGUUUAGUCCAGUUAGACCACCUCUCCGUGAUAUUUAAAGCAUAACAAAAAUUGUUAAUGCUAUCAUAUAUGUGGACAAAUUUCUAUUUCUGAUUGUUACCUCAGAGUCAUUUUGCAAGUCUAUCUUAGCAUCAAACUGAACUUGUUUCUAAUUCGUUGAGAAAAUAUAAAUGGAGUUCUGUGUACAAAGCCUUUGUUUAGAAAAUUUUGCAUUAUCUUCGCAAGAAUUUAGUAACUACAUUUUUGAUAAUUUAUGACCAAGAAUGCUGUUAAUAUAUACUCCGUCCGUCCCAAAAUUUUCAUCACUAUUGGGGACACUUGUUUUUUUUUUUUUUCCCAACAGCGAAGAAAUUUAUCUGUCUUUUUCCUUCAUUACCCUAUGUUUAUAGCUCUGAACAAGUGUGUGGGGCAAGGCUAUUAGUGUUUUAAAUUUUCAAAUCUGCAAAAGCUCAUGUUGUGGGGCCAAAGGAACUUUGCAUGUCAGUGGACAACCACUUGAAAACUAAAGUGUAAGUACACUCUCAGUUGUAUAUUACUAGUUGUGGGAUACAUGCACUUAUAUUAGAGUCCACUAGCAAUUGUCAUAAAUCAAGUUGGUGGGCUUGCAACAAAGGUUAGAUGGUGAAAGUGUAGGAAAAUUUUUUUGUCGAAUAUAGAAAGUGACACAAAUUUUGGUACAUAGCAAAAAGGAAAGUAUGACACUUUUAAUGGGACGGAGGGAGUAUUAAAGAACUAAUAUAGCAAUGCACAUUUAUAUUAAAUUGCAUUUCCCUGUGCUGAAGUUCAAAUCUCCGGCAGGUUGCCUUAUCCUAAUUUUGAACAAUGAAUUAUGACAUUUAGACGCACAUCUGACUCUUGACUGGUUUGCAUAAUUAUAAAUUAGGAGAAUUGGUAGUCGUAAAGUGAACUUUUUAACAACCAUAAGGUAUCGCCCAAUUCUAGUUUUAGAAAAAUAUUAAUUCUUUUUACCCGAUUUUGUUGAACGCAUAUAAGUGGGAGACUUGCAUGAAUCUCUUUAAAACCAUAAGAAUGUCUUGGAUGCAUAUGAGACGGGAAAGUAUAAUAAACCCAGUUACAUAUUUGCAUGAUGGUUUGUACUCCCUCUGUCUUUCUUCUUUCUCAUGGUCAAAACUGUAAAAAGGGCUUAAGCAAAUUUAAAUUUGACCUAGAUCUUCAUUUUACAAUAUAAAGCUUCUUUCUUCCCUUGAUUGACUUAGUUAUAGCUUUAAUGGUUUGAUGUCCGCUUAAGGUUCUUUCUUUGGAAAUUCUGUAGGAGGGUUGGAAUGGCAGAUUAAUUUUUACUUCUUUGACUAUAUAAAUCAUGGCAAAAACUUUGUGACAGAUACAAUAGUAAUCAUGACAUAGGAAAAAAGGGUACCGAACACUACCAUUUAAACUUUGGAAGAGUGCACUUGAAAAAAUAAAUGCACUAUGAUCUACCUUAUAACUGCAUGCAUUAAUUGUGCUUUUGCUAAAAAAAUUUCAUUUUUAAUUGUGUGUUUCAUUCAUAUACGCGUCCAACAAAAGUAUUGAAAAAAUUACUCUGUAGAAGACUUCUCGAUGGACUUCAAUUUACCCUUUGUACUUUGGAAAUUUUUUCAUUUAGUUCACAUUGAAUCAUUUGUUAUCUUAAACAGUAGUGCAAUUUGUUAUCAGGUAGAGUAGUGUAGUUCUUAUCAAAUAUGGUUCAGACACAUGACAAAGCAAAUGGGCGAACACGAGUCCCAAAUUCAUAAAAGAGCCGCUCAAUGUAGCAUUUUUUAUUUGCCUUCUUUUUUUUUUUUGGGGGGGGGGGGAGUUGCUGCUAGCCACAAAAUCAUCCUGCUUUAGUACAUAUUAAAUCAACUGGCCAUUGACAUGGUUAUACUGAUCAUAACUGAGGCAAAAAGAACAAGUGGGAAUUUUUCUUGGAAAAAAGUCUAUUAAAUAUUUUCUUUUCUUUACCACAUGGAAAUUUUCAAACAAACGUCCAUGAGGUAGUUGGAAAAAUUCUCCCAGCAAUUCAAACCCAGUCUUUGGAUAUUAACUAUAGCAUCUAUAUUAAGACUUAAUGAGACAGGUUAAGGAGUUUACUUUUUGCUUGCUUUGCAGUCUUCUCUAUUCCAUAGACUUCCUAUGGCAAUUAAGCACAAUUAGAAUGGUCUAAGCGUGUAUACGUAUACAGUCUUCGCUUUUAGUGUUUGAAUGAUCAGGGUGGAAAAGUAACAGACACUAUCAUAUGAACUUGUGUUGCUUACAUUUGUAGUUGUGCUCAUGUUAAUAGCUGCCUUUCUUUUGGAUAUGAAGAACUUGAAUGUUUCAAUGCAGGAAAAACUAUUUUCAAGUAAAAAUAGAACGGAGGCUUCUCUUGGAAAGAAGUUGAAAAACGAUAUGCUUCCUGAGAUUGAGAAAGUCCACAAGGUAUUGCCAUUUAUUGACUGAGCAGGACCUGCACUUUAUUUUUUUCAGACAUUUUCUGUAUCUGUUCAGAUGUUUUGCUUUUGUGAAUUAUUUGUGUAUUUCCCCUCCAAAAAGCUGUAUCUUUCUUUCCUGGUAAGAGAUAAAAUGGCAAACAAUGAUCAAGAAUGAUAUAGAUAGUCAUAAUAAUGAAGGCAAAUGCUGUCAGAUAGAUAUAGUGGCUAUUAAUACUUUGGAGGAUUGACGCUGAAAUUAUUUUCUGUGCAGAGAAAAGAGAAGCUGCUGAAGAAGCAACACAGACAAGCUCUCAUGCUUGAUAAUAUGAUGAAUAUGGAUGGCCUUGCUGCUGGACGUUCUCUUCGUGAUAGGAAACCUGUCACAUACACUUUUGGUAAAGUUUCCAUGGGGUGCCUUGCUUAUUAUCUAUCUAUUUAUUUUGGCUCUAUGUGUUGUGGCUAAUACUACUGACAAGAUAUUACAGAGAGUGUCACGUUCUUUCCCUUGGUAUUAGAAAAGGAAUCUGUUCCUUUUGACUUGAAAUGUGUCAAGAAUUGUCAUUCUGAUGGUUCUACAAGAUGCAUAGAUUGUGUGUAUUGGGUUGGUAGUUGUGUGGAAAGAUUAUGUUGUGUCAUAAUAAAUUUGAAAAGUCUGUUUUUGGGUGGGUAAUCUAGUUAUCUUUGGGGCAGAAUCAAAAUGGUUACAAAAACUGAGCACCCUGGAUAGACUUGGAAAUCCUUUCGUCCUGAAGAAGUUUGCUCAAUUUUCUACUCUUGGAUUUAUGAUAAUGUAGCAUAAGUCCCAAGUGCAAGGUACUUUCCAGGUGAGGAUAAUGAUUUCAAGAAGUAUGUAUAGCCAAAGAGUCAAGAACGUAAUCAUGGGGACUUUUUGGCUUUACUCCCCAUUUUGCAUGGGGGGAAUAUCCAAAUUUUCUUUCACAACUUUGUACAAGCAUUUGUUGUCAAAUCAUGAAUCUGAACUUGUAAUUGUCUAGUAUUUUGGUGGUCAAUUUUGAAAAUUUCCUGCACAAAUAUGAUCUUAACUUAAUACGGCUCUAAUUUCAUUGAUAAAUAGCCGAUAUUAGAUGCUUUGCCUGCUUUCUGUAGGUUAUAUUCUCAAGAUGUACUUGACGCCUGAAGUGAUUUCUAAACUGUUGAUGCGUUAGAUUCCUAGGCUAAGUAUCUUGGUUAUUCAAUGAUCCCCAAGUGGUCAACUUCAGAAGACAUGUAACAGUCCUUGAAGGACAUGUAAGAUGGUCUUUACCUUGGGUUUAGUUUAUGUAUGUAUGCGUAGAAAGCUACUGUUGGUAGAGAUUGAAUAGGCAGUAGAGAGACAGUAGACAUCUUUCCCCCUGCAGUGUCCCCCCCCCCCUUCUCCUUCCCCUCUCUUUUGUUUCUUUUUCAUUUUCUUUUAUGCUUGUGAUUUGCCUCUUUUUCGUACUCCUUACUCUCAAGAAAAGAUACUUCAUACUUUCUCCCCUGCUCCUGUGAAAUGCAAGAUGCAUAAUAAAGCUCUGCCUGAGCAAUCCUUUGAAGGAAAGUAAAACAUGGAUGACAAAUAGUUUAGGAAGGUAGAUUCUGUAUGUAUGCAGCUAGAAUGGAAUCAGGGAGAUGCAAUAUGUCAUGGAAGGUAAAAGGAAGGGCAGACUGAUACAGAACCAAACAAUCAGAUCUUAGACCUGUUUACCUGAGUAGGAAUAAAAUCCUCCAAUUGCUUUCUAUCAUUAGAAUUUCGGAUGAUGAGGAAAGGCAUUCCAAUUAAGGAGCUUGUUUUUAUUGGUAGACUUUUUUUUUUUGGGGAGGGGGGGUGUGUGUGUGUGUGGUUGCAGAGCUUUAAAGGGAGAAACGUUUUAAGCAAAUGGAAGCAGCAAGUAAAAUUAGAUAUGCCUAGUUUACUGUAUUAUCUAUUGACGUGAAAGGAGUCUGGCAAGGUCUCUACUUGUUUAUCUCUGAAAGUUUUUGCUUUUUUUCUUUAAUUUAAUUUAAUUUUUUUCCCUUGUGCCAAUACUUUAUAUAGUUGUGGUUAUAUGGUUGGUGUUAGGUCAAUUUGUGUUUUUGAAUUUGUUCUUUCUGGAACUGGUGCUCCUGCAUAAUCCUGUUCCUGGGUGGUUCAAAUAUUUUCAGUUGUGACCCUAGUAUAGCUUUAAAAGUUCUCCUGCAAGGUAAAAUUCUGAUUUUCUGAUUGUUGUACGGGUGAAUUUUGCAGAUGAUUAUGAUAGAUCAAUCAAUGAGGCUAUCAAGAUAACCAAGUAUGAGAUUUGCCUGUUUGAAAAUCUUUAUAUGCUUUACUUCUUCAUCUAACACAAUCUAAAGCUAAGUUUUGUUUUGCCCUCACAUCAGGAAGCAGCAAGCUUCUUCCCCGGAGCCAACCGCCACAAGGAGAGAAGCUGGUGUCAGAGUGGAAGCUCUUACAAAUGGUAGAUGGGGUGGUCCUUCGCAACCUUUCAAUGCACUUUCUCCAAAAUCACCUGAUUAUGAUGGAUUCUAUGAUGAUAAUAGAGCAGAUCAAACGGAUCGGAGGUAUUCUCUUCUCUGCUUUGAUUUCUUUGUUUGUCUAUUCUCGUACAACAGCACACCACGCAUACAUACUUUUGUAGUUCGUUGCUGAUAAUCUUGCGGUGUAUAGCAAUCGCCGAAGGCAGAGACCUCAGCGGUAUUCUGCACAAGAGUUCGUUGAAGCAGUUUCAGAUAAUGAAGCGGACUUUGAUAGUGAUGACGAUAUAGUUGGUGAGGUGAUCUAUGAUGAUGAAUAUUUAAGAAGACGGAAACAAAGGAGGAAGAUAUCUAGCAGCUCAGAAGGAGAUGACGAGUACCAUUGGGAUGAUGAGAAUCCUGAAGAGGAAGAAGAGGAGGAGGAGGAGGAGGAGGACGAUGAUGAUGAUUCGCUAAGUGCAAGUGAGGAGAGUGAUGGGCCCCGAAAAUUUAAGAAAUUGCCAGGCCGCACUAGAAGGGAAACUAAACUGAGAUCAGUUGAUGAGCUCCAGUUAGGUUUACGGCGUAGUAAAAGGGCGACCAGGAACCGUAUAAAUUAUCGACAGUAUGAACUAUCAGAAUCAGAAAAUGAGUCGAUGAAACCCGGGAAGUCAAAUGUGUCGGAGCACUCAAAUGACAGUGAAAAUGCAGAAGAGUUCUCAAUGGUGAGUCAAGAUUCUGAGGAAAAUAACACAGAUAACCAGGAAAUUAAGGCGGAUCAACCUGUGAAGGAUGAGGAGCCUGAGACAGUCAAGAAAGAGGAUAACGAUAUGCUGGAGAAAGCAAAUAGCCCACGGCAAGAUGAAGGUGAGGGUGUUCGAAAAAGGCGUUUUCUUGAUCUAAAUGAGCUUGCCCCAGGUUCUGGCUUUGAUGAUGGUCCCAACUCGAUGAUGAAAGAUGAAGAUACCGAUGACUUCUGAAGUUACUGUCUCCACCAGAGAGGAGGGUCUUGGUGUUCACCUGGAAAAGUUGAUUGUAUGAUAUAGAUAACUCAUAGAUUACAUGGCAAGUCGACUCCAUGACGGAAGCAACAAUUAGAGGUGCUUCCUCGGGAAUUUUUAAGCAAUUGCCACCCGAAUGCAGUUAUUUAUGUAUUCCUGCUGGGAACAACAUGAUGCUGAGAAAAGUCAUGUAGAUUCAGUAGUCAAAUUUUUUCAGAACGCCUACAUUCCAGAAAACGAAUAGGAUGUGGAUGAGAAGCUUGUCGGAAGUUCUGUACUAUUUCUUAUCCAGUCUGUGUACAAUAACUUUUCGAACUAAUAUUUGUAAUGGAAGAGUUUGGCAUAUAGGUAGGAUAGCCUGUUUCCAUUAUCUUUUUGUGCUCCCAAGUUCUCUUCAAAAUGGACCCUUCGGUCUGGUCUGCUCUCUAGGCUUCACUUCCCAUAUAAAUCUUCCGGAGAUGGUUCUUUUUUUUUUUUUUUUUUCCCCUUUUUUUGGGUGGUCUAUGCGAAAUCUAAGAUUGGAGACGUUGUUGCUAGUGAACAUAAUCGUGCAGUCCUGUCGUACAUGGUGGAUUGAUGGAUUGAUUCUUUCGGAAGCAGCUACGUUGUAAUAUACUCUAAUAACGAUCUGCCUUUUCUCUGUUAUCUAGUGCAAGUUAGACAGUGUAUGCAGAAUAUGUUUCAACCAUUUCCAUCGGCCAAGUAAAGAAAAUAUAUAGUUAAAAACCAAAUGGUGUUUCAACUUUGUAUAAGCAACAGGACUGUGCUUGGUGCAGACUUUGUUGGCGUGGCUACGCGAAGAUUAUAUUAAAGGGGAACUUUAAUAUGUGCGAAUUACUACUUCCUUAAAAGAGCAACGACAUAAAGCCUAUGAAGUUGCAGAUGAUCCGAAGGGGCUAAGGCAAGAUGUGGCUACUUCCACCUAAAAACAGUCGAGAGGAAUAACAUUCAAUUCAACCUACAAAGCAACAGGACACGAUGCUGAUUCCUCGAGUGGUGACUUCAUAACUCUAAAUUCAGCUUAAUUCUGCUGGUACUUUCAAAUCAUUUAGUUCCUAUAGGGUUGUCUUGUCAUCGUCCUGGUUGGUACCUUGCUCUUUGAUUCUUUGCCCUCAUUCUCUCUGGACACCGAUAGCUGGAUCCAGGUGGAACACUGUAUAGGGAGUCAAGUACUUGCUAAGCAAGACCCACAGAGACACCUUAUCGCACUCAUUCUCCUUCACUUCUUUCUUCGCUUCCUGUUUUUCCUCGGCUUCCUGUUUUUCCUUGGCUUCUUGAAGAGCUUGUAUCAGAAUCCGUAGGCUCCUCUCAGCAUCUUGGUCUGGAGACUUUGGCAUGAGGCUCUCCGCAACGUCUGCUGGCGUAAUCUCGGUCACUUCCAUCAAGUUCCGAAUCGAUUGGAACAAGGGAUGGUCCUCAAGUUGCAGGUAGUUCUUUGCAAGAACCUUAAAUGCCUCAAAACUGCAGUAGGAAAGCUUAAUAUGCAUGUCCAUUCUACCCCUUCUUGUGAGAGCGGGAUCCAGCUUAUCAACAUGAUUGGUUGUGAAGACGAUGAUUCGCUCCCCACAACAAGCAGACCAGAGCCCAUCAAUGAAAUUCAGCAGCCCUGAGAGGGUGACUUUGCUUCCAGUUCCACUUCCACUACUCUCUCCCUUGUCUCCAGAUUUACUGCUCUUUCCCAUAUCUUUUUUCACAUCUGGAGGAUUCUUGCCUGCAACUUUCUUCCUUUGUCCCGUAAGAUCAAGCGAGCAAUCAAUAUCUUCUAUGACAAUUAUGGACUUACCUGUCGUCUCUGUGAGAAGCCUCCUGAGUUCCGUGUUGCCGGCAACAGAAGUAAGCUCAAGAUCAUAUAUAUCAUACUCCAGUAAGUUGGCCAUUGCAGCGAUCAUGGUUGAUUUUCCAGUUCCUGGAGGACCAUAAAGAAGAUAUCCCCUUUUCCAUGCCUUACCAAUUCUGGCAUAAAAGUCCUUGCUUUCUUUAAAUGUCAGAAGAUCCUUGAUGAUUUUUGUCUUCUUCUCGGGCUCCAUAGCCAACGUCUCAAACGUAGCUGGAUGAUCAAACAAGAUGUAGCUCCAACUUGAUCUGUGAUGGCCGUUGGUGAAAAGCUUCCUCUGCCUGUUCCUCUGGCAGAUUUCUUUACCUGUCUUGAUGACAUGCUCCAAAUAUGGUCCAAACACGAGCUCCCGAUAACGCUUGUGGAAGACCAGCCUGUAAUGUCUUCUUUCCGGCUCCGGGUUGCCGGAGUAUAGCGUUCCAGGCCCUCCUUGACCUUGAGGGGUUCUAGUUUUGCUGGAAAUCCACGUCAUUUGGACUCCUUGAAACUCAUCAAUCACUCUCUCAUUUUCAUCCAUGGUGAACACUAACUUGCGGCGAUCCUUCACCAUCUCAGCUUUGAGCUUCUUGACGGUUUUGGAGGAAUUGACGCUGAGGUAUGCUUCAACAGCAGGAUAGGCUUCGUGGGGCCUGAGGUUGCUGCCAGUGAACUCAUGGAUGGAAACCCGGAUGCUAGGAUAGAAGUAUCUGUCCAGCUCUAGUAAGAAAGUCGUGAGACGGCGAUAGAGCUCCCGUGGGCACCACCGGCGGAUCAUGUCCAAAAUGAAGAAGAAACUGAGGAUGGUGGAAGCAGCACCUGCCCACUGCUCUGGAACCCUCAUUGGAGGUAUCAUUUUGGAGCUGUUCAUUCUUCCCUAAUUCUUCUCUAAUGGCUUCUUUUUUUUUUUUGGGUCUUCUUGGGGUCUAGAUAAUAUAUACGGCAGCGAUGCAAGAAAAAAGAGGGUGAGUUGAGCGAAGAUGACUAAAUCCGUAACCAAGGGGGGAAAAAUGCAAUGAAUGAAUAAAGGAAAUGGUGAGCUGCCGAAGGAGACAAGACUGAUGACGCCAUCUCGUGGAUCAGAGUUGUGUUGCGUAUCGGUACAAAAAAGUUUGGAUUAAUUACAUUUAUCUCCCCUGAGGUUUGAUCAUAUUACCAAUCAAUCCCUGUAAUUUGUCCAAAUAACGGUCUCACCUUUUGAAUGAUCAAACAUUUAACAAAAACCCCCCUUAAUGCCGAAAAUGCUCUUUUUGAGGCCAUAUUGCAUUAAAAAAGAAUAUAUUUUUAUUUAUUAACCUUCGAGUAAUCCAAAAAAUAGAAAAACGUUUUUACUUAUUAUUUUAUAAAAAUCAUAUCUUUGCUUUCAUAAAUAGUUUUGAAUCAAUAAUUAUUUUAAAUCUUAAAAAUGAAUAUUCAAAAUUAGAUAAAUUGAAAGAAAAAUAAAAAAGAAUCAAUUAUUUUAAAUCCUCAAGUAUGGCUCGAAUUUGUGGUUCAAGGCAUGUUGCGGAGAGCACAAGGCAUGUCUUCCUCAAUUUGAACCAUACUUCAGGAAUUAAAAUAAUUUCUUCUUUUUUUAUUUUAUCUAAUUUUUAAGAUUUAAAAUAAUUAUUGAUUCAAAACUAUUUAUGGAAGCAAAGAUAUGGUUUUUAUAAAAUAAUAAGCAAAAAUUUUUUUCUAUUUUUUUGGAUUGCUUCAGGGUUAAAAAAAUAAAAAUAUGUUCUUUUUUUAAUGUAACAUGGCCUCAAAAAGGGCAUUUUCGGCAUUAAGGGGGUUUUUGUUAAAUGUUUGAUCAUUCAAAGGGUGAGACCGUUAUUUGGACAAAUUACAGGGAUUAAUUGAUAAUAUGAUCAAAUCUCAGGGGAGGUUUCUGCAAUUAUCCCAAAAAGUUUUGAAGACUCUUCAGCAUAUGACCGACCGGCCCUUUAAAUCAGGACAAUGCAACUGCAACUUUUAGCCACCAUGUCCGUGCGUGUUUUUGACCAAUGCUUUCAUAUUUUAGGGUAUCAUCUACUCACUUUUGAAUCACAAUUCCACGAUUAGACAAAAUGUCAUUGUCCUCUAUGAAUUAAUUGGGACAAGAUAGUGUAAUGAAGGCAAAAAAUUCAUCUUUCCUUCAAUAAAAUGUCGUUUUCUCCCACAAUAACAAGAUAGUGACUUUUGCUAACGAAUCACCUCUCCAUGUUGGCUCAUGUUAGUGCUCUUGUAGUAGUAACUCUUAAGGUUUCUGACCAUACAUCCACACCGGCGAGGUGCGGUAGUGCAUCUGUCUGGUCUGUUAGUGAUUCAGUUCCCUCCUCCUUUAGUGAUUCAGUUCUCUCCUCCUUAGGUUCGCCCCUUCCUCCUAAUGUAGGAUAGAUUAUACUUCACCAGUGCCACUGGACAGAGAAGAAUAAAUAUGAUAAAUAGAUGGAGUCAUAAUUGUUAUCGUUUGAAAAAAAAAAAAAAAAAAGUAGAUGGGCUCCUUUUUUCUGUAUUCUAAACGUAUCUUUUUCUCCGUUAUGACUGGACAAAAGUUCUGUCCACCUCAAGAACAUCGUCCAUGGCCACCCCACGUUGACAUUUUCGACUUGUUUUCUCCUUCUUGUGAGUAACACCAACAAGCAAGCUCAUUAACAAGCAGAAUGAAUUUCGUUCCAUUUGAUACACCCACCAACAUCAUCCCAUACAUCCACAUUCCCACCCUCCCAGUCCCAGGAAGCCUGCCAGUGAUGAACUGAUCACCGCUGACAAAAUACUCGUCUUUUAGCUCAAAAGGAAAAUUCCAAAAGAGAAGCCGCCGUUUUGAUGGCUACAGCGAAGGAAUCUGGUUGCGAUUCUAACUAAUUCUAUGGUAUCGUAAAUUACAGUAGAAGGCGUAUGGUAUAUGUCAACCUGAGAUACCUGCAUCAUCUAUGCAACAACAGCCUCCUUUGCAGCCCAUCUAUGCAAUCCAUCCUCGGAUGGAACUAUAUUUUGGGAGGGGUGGGGGAGAAAGAAAGAAAGAGAUAUAGGAAAAAAAUUAACGAAUAUAGAUGGGCUUCUAGACAUUUCUAAAGCAUGCCUCCCAAAAUUUACAAAACAUCAUCAUAUGACUGCAAAACUUGUUUCAUCAUCUCAGUUCAUCGCGAGAUUCUCCACUGCACAUGUCAUCCGAAACGAAAACUCAGAGUUUCAUCAUCUCAUGUUGCAGCACUGAGGCUUCCCGAACUCUUGCAAUUUGUGCCACAUGCAGAUCAUCUGCCUUGGAGACUGGUAGUGAGCUGUAUAGUAAUCUUCUAUGCAUCCAAAUUGGCAAAACUUUAAGCUGUGCACAUAGUCCACUGUCCUGGAGCUAUUGAAUUUCUCAACCCACAUCCCCAUACUCACAUCCUCCAUCUUGAACAACUGCACAUCAAGCAACUAGCUAAACACAUCUGCUAUAACUCAAUAAAAGUAAUGCAAUUCAUCAGCUCGAUAUCUGCUUUUGUAAGCAUGUGGUUUGGGCGUCUCUGUGUCUGUUGUGGCAAGUGAAAAAUGUGGCGUGUGUGGAGAGAGAGAGGGGGGGAGGGGUGGGGGGGAAGAGAAAGAGGAAUGACAGUAGUAUUUUACCCUUAAUUUUUGUUUCUCGAAACCAGAUACAAUGAAGUUAGCAAUGUCUGAUGACAAAAUGUAGCCUGGACCAUUAGCAUAAGGUGGAUAAACUUCUUCUGGCCACUCCUACACAAUCCCAAGAGACAAAAAUGGUAAUAAAAGCGUCCUAAUUGUAUAGAUGAAAACUUGACAAAUUGACACUUCCAACGCAGAUCUCAAAGAACCAAGGCGAACUAAGACUUCACCGAAAUUUGAUAGAAGUAACCAGGUUUAACAGAUCAUGAUUAUCAUCUGCAAUUUCUAGGCAGAGAUUUAACUUUUUAACAUGAUUAUAAACACCACUAGAUAUCCAAUUAGUCACAUCAUUAUUUACAGCAUCUCCACAAAAACGGUGUUUCCAACUUGUAGAUGGCAUGCCCUUUAAUGCAAUUCUACACCAAUUAAUGAAAUAAAAUUGCUUCAUUAAAUUAGACAAAGAAAAUUUCAGAUUUCAUAGUCGUUAGUCAACCACUGGAUCAAUCUAAGGCUACACAAAACCACAAGGGCUUUAAUUUGCAAUUAGAAUUAACUAUAGCUGAAUGAAUUCCAAAAUUUUCCCUCAUCCAAUAACAAGGAGUUAUGACACUGAAUAAGAACCACACGUAUGGAAAAUAAAACCAGAUGUUGAAACACACCUCGUAUGUUACUGCCCAUUUCCCACUCCGCAGGGGCUUAUGGUAGUAGUUGAUGUUGCCAAUAUACAAACUCCUAUUCUCCGGCAUCUUAUUUGCUUCCUUAAGAACUGUUUCCACUCGCACAAAUGUGUCAUCAUCACACUUCAUGAUAUACUUUGCAGCAACUUUGCGAACCUAAAUAGGCAACUGAUACGCUUACAGCAAAGUAAAAAAUGGAACUUGAAAGCUUAAGGCUUCCACAAAAUGCUACUCACCCCGUAUUCACAGAUGGCAACUGUUUUCAGUACGACGAGGUCAUAAUGAUCCAUGUAAGGAACCAUGACCAUGUCACCAAAAAACUCAGCUUCCUUCAUUAACUCCACAUUCACUUCCUUUCUUGGAUGCUGUCCAGACAUCAUAAAACAAACAAAUACCAUCAGGCUAAGCUAGCUUCACUACACUAUGAAUUGGAUUUACAACACAUACUACAAUUAAUUGACAUACCAGAGCCACGAAAAACCGAGCGACAACAUUUGCAGAUUUAAUAAGCCUAUGCUGCAUCCAAGACUUCCUCACAGCCAUGCGCUCGGCAAAAUGGUUGCCUGCAGAAAGUAUACCAACAAACAGGUCGACAGGUCUAUCUGGAAGAGGUGGAGCCUUCCAUAUUGGUGACAUAUCUAGAUGCCUCUGUGGAGCAAAGCUAGGAUGCGAUGUGGGCAAGGAAGCAGCAACAAUAGAAUGUAUGUCAAUGUCCCCAUUCAAAGUCAAUCCAGUUGCAUCCUCGAGCGCAAAACCCUAUUAAGAACCUUAUAAAUGGUCGCCAUUUACCACAAAACCUAUACACAAAUGUCACUAACAUGCAACUUACAGUUCGAUAAGGAAAUGAUGUUACAUGCCUCCCAUCCACACUGACAUGAUAACCCUCCAAGCCAGCACUUACAGUUAAAACAAACAGCUUGUCCUCUGCAAAUGGGAAAGGCCAAUCGAAAGAGACCUUCUUUGUUCUUCCUAUCAACCGGUUUAACCACCAAGAUGCUUUUGUUUCCUCAGAGUGAUUGUCAUUGUCUCUAAUCCACUUUUCACAUUUCACCUGACCAUCAACUGCAAAAAGAUGUCCAAAUAGUACCUAUGUUUAAUAUCACUGAAUUAAUACAUUCACUCAAUUGAUAAAGAUAUAUUAGCAAAUCCCAAGAACGACGCAAAUAUGCCUUUUUUUCUAUUGACCUUACGGCUUCUAGGAAAACAGAGAAAACGGAAUAUAGACACUCAGAACACGACUGAUCACCAAACCAAAAUCCAAUCAGUCGAAUGAGUUCCCCAACCUCAUAGAGCUAAUCAAGAUCAGUCGGCUAUAAUCAGGUAACAAUUUUAAAAAUCAAAUACUAGAAAAAGCAGCAAUCUAAAUAUACUCAGAAAUGUUGGGGGAAAGGGGUGGGGGUGGGGGGGGGGAAGGUGGGAUUUCAAAAAUUACUGACCAGUCUCCUCAUCAACCCUGGACUUCCAUCCUUCACAGCGUUGGGAGGUCCCCCACUGCAUCCUGUAACAAGUAUUCUGCUCAAUCACGGACUUUCCACUCCAAUCUCCUUUCAACCUGGGAUUGAAAUGCAAAAUUCGGGGAGGGUCCUCUCCAUCCACAGCCUUUAAACCCUGCAAUUCCAUCAUAAACUGCGAAACCAUCACAUACUGCCCAUCUCUGAGCAACGAAAUCCUAGUCUCGUGCUCGGCAUGAGCCUUUUUGGGCUUGCCCACAAUGGUUAUAUGUGAUCCCAGGGUGAGCCCGCAGGGCAGCACCAUCAGUCUCCCCUUUUUCUCCCAAAAUUCAUCCCCUGCCAUCCAUAUCGAAUGCGGGCAGGAGGAGGAGGAGGCUUCUUCUUUGGUCCUGUUCUUCUUGUCCAAAGCAGCUGCCGAAUUCAGACUAUUACCAUCCUCCCACGAUUUGAAGGAGAGAUCGUCCCAGAGCUGUCUGCCCAGCGAAUAAGCCUCUUUUGCAGACUUGAGUAUCUGGGUGGAGUUUGCAGCACCGUCAAAAUUGAAGGCGGACAAGGGAUGAGUGAAUUUUUGAAUCCUCCUUUCGGGUUUGGAAUCGUCGUUAGUAGUAGUACUAGUAUUACUGGGAAGCCGACGAAAAUCCAGAGCGGGGCGAAUUGGAGAUUCUUGUUCUUCUUCCAAGUUCAAUUCUUCAUUUUGGGGUAUGAAUUGAGGUCCUCCGCCAAUUCCCUCUUGGGACACAGUCUUGAAAACAAAAGGGACCUCCAAGCUCACAAGAACUAUAUACAGAAUCGCUAUGAAAAUCAAAAUCUGCACCGACUUCUGCCGACUCAAGGACAUGAACAAGUCCAACUUUGCUCUCUUCAUCCUAUCUUUUCUUCUACUUCUUUCUAAUUAUUUUUAAUCUCUGGGUUGAAGUGAUGAAGAAAGCAAAGUUUUUUGCUUUUCCUUAAUGGGUUAUCAACGGCAUGGGGGAUCACGAAUGCGGAGAAAACCCAGAAAACCAGGCUUCCAAAGAGCAGAAACCAAUAAAUGGCGGAAGCAAGGAAAAUUUUUGCCAAAAAAAGAAAAAAAAAACUCUUUCAAGUUUGGAAAGCAACAGAAGAAAUUAAAUAGGCCAGGCCAGAGGGAGAGAGAGAGAGAGAGCGAGGUUGCCCGUUGUGGGGUGGGGCAAGGGGAGAGGGGAGAGCGGUAGGUUAUCAACACAAAAUUACAAAACUGGAGUUUAGAGAGAGAAAGGAAGUGAACAAGGGAAGGAGAAGAAGAGCAUGAGAGGGAGAGAGAGAAUUCCCGGGUGGGACAAAAAAGCUGCGUUUGUGUGUGUAGCGCUGGAGGCUUUCGAGGGCGGUGGGACUACAGUAACGAGGAAACUGGCCAACUUUAUCUUUUACUCUUUAAACCCAUUCAAAUUGGAAUGGCUUCUUCUUCCUCUCUUCUUCCUACUUCUAAUGGUUUAAAGAAGGGAAUCACUUACUUUAUAAAUGGCUAUUAUUGACAAUCUCACACUAAGUACUAUUUGUGAAUGUUAGCCAAGAAAUGGUAAUCACCAAAAAUCUUGAAAUUAUUCACCACAAUUCUCUUAUUUACGUUUUUUUUUAAAGUAAUCGAAUAUAUAUCCACCCUAUUUAUCAUCUGUAUUCCCUUCUGAACCUGAACUUCACGUAAUCUUGCUCGAAUUUCAAAUUUAUAGUUUUGGUGAUAAACUCUUUGAGCAGUGCUUGUUACCAUGGACGUAAAUGAAUCAAAUCGAAUCGAAUUUUAAUUUAAUCGAGACGUGUCUCGAGUAAAUUUCAACAAGUUCGAGCUCAACGAGCUUUAAAUGUAAAGUUCGACCUCGAGUUUAAAAAAUUUAAAAAUAAUUAUUUUAUUUUUAAAAAAUAAAUAAAUAAUAAUUUUUUAAAAAAUAAUAAAAUAUUAAAAAUAAACAUGUAAUUUCACUAUUAAUAUAUAUAUGUAUAUAUAUAUCGAGUCGGCUCGUGAGCUAAUAAAUUAAGUAUUUUUAAACUCGACUUAAUUAGUUCGAACUCGACUCGAUUUCAGUGUUAACUGAAUUCGAGUCGAGCUUUGAUUCAAAUUGCUCGUCAGCGGUUCAAUUCAUACGCAACCCACCGUUACACAUCAUACUCUUUUAAAUGUAUGUUGUUGUAGUGUGUGUGUUGUUGAUGUGUUUGCAUUUGCGGUGCGCAAACAUCACCCUCCCUACAAUGAUCAAAAAGUGCUGUAUAUCACUGACUUAAAAAAAAAAAAAGGCCCAGAAAGAAAAGUUUGGUACACACAAUUGAGAUCAUUUGACAACAAGUCAACUCUACUCUUAGGAUACUUUAAAUUAUCAGGUUUUAAGUCUGUUUAGUCAACAAAUAAAAUAGCUGUUAAAAAUAGAAAACACCUUUGUUCAUUUCAUUUUUUACUAUUUAAAGAUUUUUAGAAAAGCAAUAAAUUAUUAAACUUCAAUUCAAAAGUUAACCAUUUGCCGAUCAUCAAUUACAAACCGGCAAUUUUAAAAAAAAUUUCUUAAUAUUCGAUAAUAAGGUUUGAACACACAAUUCAUAAAUUAAAAACCAGCAAUUUUUUAAAAAAAUAAUUCUUAGUAUCUGAUAAUAAAAUUCAUUCGAACACACAAUAGUAGCAACCGCUAAAUCACAAUACUCUUUUGUGUUAAUGGAUCAUUCUAUUUAUUCUAUAGUAUUCGUAAUGAUGUCAUGUGCUUUAUUAUGGGAUUUAAUUUUUUUGAGCAAUACUUGUUACACAUCAUACUCUUAUGUGUUUGGUUUAUAAGAACAAAAUGUAUUGUGUUCGUAUUUGUAGCGCAUAAAACAUUCAUUUUGCUGUCGUCCCUUCUAUGAUCAAAAGUGUAUAUCACUAACUUUUUUUUUUUUUUUAAAGAAAAAGGAAAGUAUAGUACAUGCAAUUGAAAACUUUUAACAAGAAGUUAAGUCCUUGUCAUCAACUUAUGUUCUGCUGCUGCUGCUUUCAGGAUACUUAGACCUUGCUUGGAUUGCUUGUUUCCGUCGGAAAAUAUUAUCGUUUUCCGUGAUCACAUUUCCCUAUCACCUUUUUCUCUCACAUAUAUCAAAUCGCUAUAGUAAUUUUUCCAUGAAAAAUGACGAAAAAUGCAAUCCAAACACAACCUUAACUUAUCAGAUUUAGAGGAGGGCUUGAGGUUUUUCCUAUUAUAAGAUUUAGAGUUCGAAUCUUAUACCCUGACAAAUAGGAGUGGAAAGGGCAUAAGGAAGGGAUGAGAAGAUCGAAAAAACAAACUUAUCAACGUAUAAGACUAAGCACCAAAGGGGUGUUACUGUUCUCCCGUGCGUUUUCUCGGUUCUUUUCUUCUCCUUCAAAACUAGGGCAAACACAAAAUACCCUCGAUGCCUCCGCGGGCUCUCUCUCUCUCUCUCCUUUCUUCCUCUUGCUCUCCAUUUCUAACAUAUCUGAACUAUUUUUUUUCCCUAAGAGUCUCUUAAAGCUUUAGAACCUACGAAUGAUUAAAGAUUCACCACAAAUGCACACUCGCAGUUGGAAAGCGUACUUCUCGUGAAGUGGCGGAGUCUCUUUAUUUGAUUUAAGGUCAUCAUCGAAUCUAAUUUGGUUGUUCUUAACGUUUGCCAGUGAUUUUCCCUUUCCUCUUGAUUUUAUUUUUCUUUUUGAUAUGUAAAGAUCACUCUUUUCUCUUGAUUUUAUUUUAUUUUACAUGUGUACCAAUAGUAUAUAUUUGUUCCAAACAUCUGUACUUAUAUUGUUUCGUUAUCGCUCUUUCAAGAGUAAUUUCUCGAAUCAAUUUUGCAAAGAGGGGCUUCCAAAUUAGUUGUUCCGUUCUUCUAGAGUGAGUACGAUUUUGGAUGCUUUGUACUAAUUUUAUGAUUUCUCUUCUCUAGAGUCUCUCUCUCCCAUAUGGAUUAAGUUUCACCGCUCCUUCAAGAUGACCCGUUGUCGUAAAUAUUGGAGCCAUUUUCUCAUUUGACUCCACUAUUGAUUAGAUUUGCUAAUGUUGCAACUAAGGAGGCUGUUAGAGAUGCUAACUCCAACUUCACUUUCAUUGCAAGGACCAAACUUCUUUCAAGAGGCGUUGUGAAGGUCUUUACAGGUUGAUUGAUAGCUACGUUAGGCAGUGGAGAGAAUGUCAUAUAAAAUUGUGUCAAAAAAUGCAAAUUGUUUUAGUUUUGUGGGUCGUUAUCCGAUAAAUUCACAAUAGUGUAUUAGUAACAUAUGCUGGUCUAUGCUCAUAACUUACAUUUAGUAUCUUAUCCAUUGGUGUUAGCUUCAGGUUUCUUUUAUUCAUUUGCUAUGCUCGAAGAUGAUUUCUCAGUACACCAAACAUCUACUCUUUGACAAGUGCAUACUGCUGAACCGGUCAACUUGAUUCAACCGAUCAACUUGCACCAUAAACCCACUGAACCGGUCCAUUGCCGGAUUGGUGGCGGGGUUGGGUUCAACAAAUGAGAAAAAAGGAGGUGCAACCUAAGUCUUUAUGAGGUUUUCAAAAAAAUACAUCAAUAUUUAUAGCAAAUAAAUAUCGACAGAACAGAUUGCAGAGUUAAUUGGACAAUGAAGUAAACGAACUUUUCCUUCAAUUCGAGUGUUAUGUAAGGAAUAUGAGCUAUUGUACGAAACUCAAUCUGCAUCCCUAAAAUUUAAAACGGUAGAAUACAAAUAGUAUUUUAUUGGAGCCGUGAAAGUCUCAAAUAAUAAUACAAAACAACGCUUAAUUUUUUUUUUUUUGUGGUUGAAACAAUGCUUAAUUGAUUUUUUUCAAAAUUUUUUCUCUCAGGGAAAGGGUGAAAUUUAGGAAGCGGGGAAGAAGCAUGGAUAUUUGAACUCAAAACCUCUACGUUUUAGGGUGCAAUCUUAACAAUUAGACAGAGACCUUCUUAGCAACACUUAUAGCUAGUUUGGAAGAGCAGAUUUGGUGAGAAAAGAAAAGAUUACAAAGGAAAGUUGAAUCUUUCUCACAUUUGGGACUUUGGAUAGGAAAGAAUUGAAAAGAAACGGAAGGAUGUCAGCUCCCUUCCACGUCAGAAAAACUUUCUGUCCAAAAUCGGCGGAAAACGUGAGAAAGUGGAGUGAGUUAAAUGAAUUAUACCAUAUGCCAUUAUUACCCUUAAAAAAAUUAAAAUAUAACUAUAUAACCUAAUAAAAUUCUCAUGGUAACUUAAGAUUUAAGGAUUUUUAUGUAAAAUUGAAUUUUGUCUUUUCAAUUCUCUCCCUUCCAAACAAAAGAAAGUUAUUUCAUCUCCUUUCUUCUCCAAAAUUCCCAAAUAACAUGAAAAUAUAUUAUAAUCUUUUCUUUUCUUUUCUAACUUAAGGUUUCUGUUCUUUUCUUUUCUUUCCUAAACUCCCACACUAGCUAUUAAGGAUGGCAAUGCGUGGCCACCCGCCCCGCGGGGAACUAAUGGGGCGGGGGGUGGGGGGAAAAAAUUUCCCCCUGCUUUAAAAAAUAAAUAUAUAAAAAAUAUAUAUGUAUAUAAUUAUAUAUAAUAUAUAAUUUAAUUAAUUACAAACUUAUGAUAAUGAUAUUAUUAGUUAUAUGUAUUAUAUAAUGUAUAUUAGCAUAUGUAAUAUAAUUGAUAUUAUCAAUUAUACUAAUACUUAUAUACGUGUACUGAUACAAAUUAUUAAUUAGUUAUACUAAAUUUACUAAUACAUUUAUACUAAAUCCCUAAUUACACUUAAUACAAUAAUAUUUUUUUCUCAAAAACAAAGCACAAACACAAUAAUGAAUUAGUGAUUGUAUUUGUGCCAAAAGUAAAAACUUGACUAUUUUAGUUGUAUUUAUUUCAUCAGAUUGGAUUGUAUUCAAAUAACUUUUGUUUGAUUGUUUUUAUAAGUUUCAAUUAUGAAAUAACAAUGAAUAAUAAUUUGGUAAUGUGUUGAUAUUUUAGUACUUGAUUAUUUGUUAAAAUUUAACAAUAAUAAAAUUAUAUAACAAAUUUUUAUUAACCCCGCGGAGGAAGUGGGGAUAAGGCGGGGGCAGCUGGGGACGGGGACGGGGGUGGGGAUGGGGGAAUUUGUAGGCAGUGGUCCCCUGCCCCAACCCCGCCCCGUUGCCAUCUUUAGCAACACUUCAUUGAUUAUUGAAUAAGUUCGGGGCAUCAAUGUCACAUUGAUAUAGAAAGUGUUUGAAUUCAGGACGAAAGGACAUGCAUUUUGUUUUGUCAAUAAUACAUGUGAAGUGUCUUUUAUCAGCGGCCUUAUGUCACCGAAUAGAAAGGGAAAAACGACAAGUAUGGUAAUAUAUGUUGCAUUAACUUGUAAUGACUUUUGGUCCAAAAGAUAUAAUUUCCCUUUAUAUAUGGCAUUGUUAUGGAAUGAAUCGAUUGCUUUGCAUUUUUCUUAUUCCAAAAAUUGGUAAUAGCAUUUGAUUGAUGUUUGACCACAGACUUCAGUUCAUGGUCACCAUAGAUUAAUAAAAGCUUGCGGUUAGUUGAUCAUAGUCAGCAGUCAGCACACGUUAAUGAAAACUUGCAUCUGUGGAGAGUGGCAAACGGGAAUGAACGUUAUUAUUACUCUAACCCAAGAUUAUAUAUAUAUAUAUAUAUAUAUAUAUAAUAUUUAUAUAUACUAGGAGGAAUGUCAUGGGUGUUUGGCACGUGUGGUUAAAGCAGAUUUUUUAUGUGCUUGUGGUGAGCAAGUAAAUGAAGAUAAACAUAAGAUAACAACGCAUAUUAAGUAAUACUAAGGAAAUAUAACUUCUACUGAAAACCAUUAUGAAAUGCUGAGUGUAAAGGCUGAAAAAAUAAAGCAGUUCUGGAAGCCGAAAGGGGAAAACCAAAGAAUGUGAAGGAGGCAGAAUUAAAAGAGUCAUAACUGAUGCUCAGACAAUAACUCACCAGCAUACCCACAUUUAUUGGUUAUUUAAUUGGGAUGUAAAUAGUGUUUUAUUGCUGAUAGAGAAAUUGUUUUAAACGGCUGAGCUUCAGACAUAGGAAAGCAAAGCAGGUGUUAAUAUAAUUAUGAGUGUUUCAGAUAAUUGAAAUGGAGUUAUACAGCAAUUACAGCAUUGAUUCCCAUUUCAUUAAUUGCAUAAAAAAACACGCUUAUAUGAAUUGAACCAAAUGCACAAAUGAUCGACAAAUAAGCCCACAUUCUACAAAUACCCAGAUAUGUCUAUAUAUACAAGUUUUAAAUGUACAAACAUGGGAGUUUUAAUGUAAAAACACCCAAACACAUGUUGCAAUCAGUUGAAUCAAAACUUUGAAAAAAGUAACACAUUUUUCAAAAUUUCUAAAAUGCCUCCGCCCAUGCGGUUGAAAUUCAACUCCCUCUUUGAUCAAAACUCAAUCCUAUAUAGUCUAUAAAUACAAGUUUUAAAUGUACAAACAUGGGAGUUUUAAUGUAAAAACACCCAAACACAUGUUGUAAUCAGUUGAAUCAAAACUUUGAAAAAAGUAACACAUUUUCAAAUUUCUAAAAUGCCUCCGCCCAUGUGGUUGAAAUUCAACUCCCUCUUUGAUCAAAACUCAAUCUUAUAUAGUAUAAGGAUAUAUAUAUAUAUAUAUAUAUAUAUAUAUAUAUAUAUAUAUAUAUAUAUAUAUUAGGAAGAUUAUAUUAUAUGGGUUAAUUGCACUAUAUACGGGGAAAUGUUGAACUUUGCCCAUCCAAACUUUUGUUUAUGCCGACUUUGCACAAGAAUGGCAUUCAAGUGUGGAUGCUCUUUUUGUUUUUUGUUUUUUAAUUCCACAGUAUUUCUUUUUACAUAUUCUUCUUCUUUGUACUUUGGACUCCUUGAUUUUUUUAUGACCUAAUACUAGGUGUUUUGCUAAUAUCUGGUGUUUAGUUUUAUUUUAUUUUAUUUUUAUUUUUGAGAUGGGUUCAAGGAAAAUUAAGGGUUUGGUGGAAGGGGAAGUGUGUAGAAACGAAGAGUAGAAGGAGAAGGAAUAGAGAAUGAAAAUUUUGUAGGGGAAUAAAAAAAAUAAUAUGUUUCUAAAAUUUGGGUAUAUGUUGAUCAAGAAUCAUUAAAAUUAGAGCAAUGUUUUCAUUUUAAAAAGUUGUAUGAGCAUAGUGCAAUUGCUUCAAAAGUUUAAAGGCAUUUUACUCUUUUAGGAAUAGAGUAAUUUUUUUUUUAUAUAUACUAACAGAUUUAGAUCAUGUCAUAUAAUACGAAUUCAAAUUUAAAAGUUAAAUCAUGUAUGUGUAGCAUAUAUUCGUAGCCGCUGAUGUAAAAAACAAACACUGUACUAUAUCAGUGUAUAAAAAAAGUUAAUACUAAGCAAUUUAUAUAAAAAAUGGUUUUCAAAAUUAUGCUCCUAUUUCGGAUCUUUUUGCAAGUCACAAUAUGAGGAUCCUCAAAUCGUAAGAUUCUAACAAAAGCUAAAAAUAGAUACACUUGUUUUCAAGUUAAUAAUAGUUCAUCCAAAAAAGUAUAAACCGUUGUAGGAAUACAAUAUUAACCUGAAUUAAAGAGUUUUAGUAAUGGAAUAUUCCGACAAAACAAUGAGGGGGCAAAAAAGUAAGGAUCACGUAUUCUUUCUGGAUGCAUUUUGUAAUUACCAUACAAACUAAAGUCACUUGAGCAUCUGUACUAGAGAUUCUUCCAAAUGCUUCAUGAAGAAAAAUGUAGUAGUAGUAUAGUACUACAUCAAGAAUUCAAGAAUUGGGUUAUCAAGAAUUCAAGAUCAAAAGAAAAAUAGAGCCACUAAAAAAUAUCGUUGCUGACAAUUUUGUGUAUACUAUUUAAUUGGUCUGUAGACAUUUAGAAAUUAAGAAUUGAAUUCUCUGCAGAUUGAUUUCUCUUUGUAAAAGAAAUUGACCAGAAUAGAAAAUUCUACGAGUACAAUUUUUUUUUUUUUUUUGGAAUUAUUGCUAAUUCCCAUCUCAAAUCUCGCAUUACAAUCAAAGCCAACUCAAAAUUACAGCCGAAGGAGUUGGACAGCUGCGCAAUAUUUUCUUAAGAUACAAGCCAAAACGUAUGCAAAAGUUAAAUUUGAGAUUCAACUUUUUUUUUUUUGUUGUAUAUAUGUCGUGAAUUCAAAGAUAACAGUUGAAAUCACGUCAAUGCUAGACAUUUCAAUCUCUUGUUGCCUUGAACUGGAGAAACUUGUCGACUUUUAGUAAGCUCAAUGCUUUCUCUAGAUUUUAGAUUUCUUUUUUGGAUCAUGAACAAAAUUAUAGUUCCUCUAUAUUUUGUAACAUACAUACAUACAUACAUAUAUAUAUAUAUAUAUAUAUACAUAUAUAAAAAGCACUUUGCAGUUGACGGUUGAAAAUUUUUCAUCUGUCAAGUGGAGGGGUAUAUUUGGAUGUAGAAAAGUACAAUGCAAAUGAUGAAGCGCAAAGUACAAUAUUGUUAUGCUUGCUUCCAUAGUUGUUGACUAUAGUACCCUUUCAAGUGGGAUUGUGGCAAACGGUUGGGAAAUUUGCAUGUGCUGUGUCUAGGGGUAAUUUGGGGCCAGGAAACGUACAAUGGAAAUGAUCUAGCGAUGAGUACAAUGGUGUGAUGCCUCCUCUAGCAGUGUUUCCCUAUCCAUUAAGUUUGUCAUUAAUACAAAUACAGGAAAGAAGUUCGAUAGAUGAGAAACCAGGUGAAACAAAAGACAUGCAAUUCAAUUUGAAUAAAGAAUGGGAAGAACUCGAAUGAUAAUUUAGCUUUAUUUAAGAGAGUUUUAAUGCGUAUUAGAUGAAAAAUCAUUCAGGUAACUCAUUAAGAUUGUAAAUGCAGCACCUUUCCUCUUCUUUUGCAGUUCAUGGAAUUUUAGAUGAUGGAAUGAAACUAAUUCAAGAGUGUAGUUAUUGAAGUCACUAAUUGAUUUAUCUUAAAGAGAGUUUUAGUCUGGAUUAGGUGAAGAAUCAUUUCUAUUUAGUUACCAGAAUAAUUGCAAUGCCUUUGAGCUUCCUGGCAAUAAUGUAGGCUUUGGGUAUUGAUGCAGGUGUUUGUAUUCCGUAUCUUUUUAAAGGCGUUUGCCUAGGUUUCUUUAUUCUUUGUGUCUUUUUUUUUAUACUUUUUUUUGUAUUCAACUGGUUCAUUAGAUACUGUAAAUUUUUUACUGCAAUUUUUCUCUUUAGCUAUUAUAUGAAUUUGAGAAUUUCAUUAUGAAGUAGAUAAUACCUCUGAACAUUGAAAAUCUGAUUUUUCUUCUAACUGUUCUUGGAAAUCUGAUUUUCUUAGGUGUAGGUGGUUGAAUUGUGAGGAAAAGUUAUUUGUAUACUGUAACUUUGACUUGAAGGUAUGAUUUAAAUCUUCACUCACAAUUGCUAUGUGUGAAUUGUUGACUCUCAUUUUGAUAUUAAUUCUCAUCUUGGUGUAGGUUUGAAUCUAUAUACUUAGCUUUAAAUAUAACUUGCACAAAAAGGCUUGAACCGUGUUGAGAUUUAAGCUUUAGUAGAUGAGUUUAGGAGAGACUAUUUCACUAUUUGUUAAAUGGUUGUUUCUCUAUUCAUUGUGCAGAAUAUCAAUAUCUCGUUUGCUGCAUACAAGAUGAUUAAUGAGAUACAUAUGUUGUGAUUUGCAUAUAUGGCUUAUAUGCCUGUCCCUUAGUUAUUGUUAUUACUGGAUUAGUGCAGCUGACAAAGUUAGUGAUUUGCUUGUUUGGUUUCUCUCUAUUUAUUUGACCUUGCAUUUGUUUAUUGGAAUUAUUGUUGCUUAGAGAUUGUUUAAACUCCAAGACCAUUAGGGAGUUGUUUUAGUUAUAAUAGCAGAUUUAAAAGUUACCUUAAUUGCAUCAAAUUUUAGAAUGGAUAGAUGUAACGAUAAACUAAAUGCUAAAAAUUAACUUUGAAAUGAGAGAGGAAAAAAAGAUAUAUGCAUCAUUAUGUAUUGAACAAAAAGAAAAAAAUCCAUGAGAAAUAACGUCAAACUUCUAAUAAGAGGACCAUUAGGUAGUUGUUUUAGUAAUGAUAGCAGAUUUAAAAGUUACCUUAAUUGCAUCAAAUUUUAGAAUGGAUAGAUGUAACGAUAAACUAAAUGCUAAAAAUUAACUUUUAAAUGAGAGAGGAAAAAAAGAUAUAUGCAUCAUUAUGUAUUGAACAAAAAGAAAAAAAUCCAUGAGAAAUAACGUCAAGCUUAUGAUAAGUAUAAAAAGGUGAAAAAACCACUAGAUCUGCUUUUCAAACCGUCAUGAAAAAUAAUGGUAAGUAUAUCUCAUGCCAGAGGUUUAGUUUAGAAAAAUAGUUGAUAUCGAUUAAAUACUACCAUCAUAUAAUAGCACUAUGCUAUUUAUAAAAGUAUGGUGCCAUUUCCUCAUAAUUUUAUUUUAUUUUUUAUAAAUUUACUCAUUUCACCACACAGGUUACCAUUCCCGCGCUGAGCGCUGGCUUAUCCCCUAGUGUAUAUAUAUAUAUGAAUGGCAAGAUGAGUCUCCAGUUUCCAACCAUCUAUAACGUGGCUGAAAAUACAUAACAAGAAGAAAAAAAAAAUUGAUGAACAUGAUCAAACUUGAUUUAUAAAAUUUCUAGCUGGCGAAGAGGUCCUUGUCAGUUAAUUAACAACACAAUAAUGUUGGUCGAGCCGAAUAAUAAAUAAAUAAAGGUACCGGGCUAACGUAUUUUGUGUAAUGAUGCAUUUGGGAGGAUUCAAAUACUACGUCCUAGGUUAUAGGAUUAUUACCCCAAAUCCAAUUGCUACUUGCAACAAAUGCAGAUGAAAACCAUGCUCUCAACAGAAGAUACAAAAACAGCCAACUAAAAGAAAGUCUAGACACUCCCAAAUGGAGGAUCGAUGUUUCCAUUAAGCAAACUUCCUCCUAUUAUUCUGGCAUCGUUUUUUUUUUUUAAAUGGAACUCUUGUCUUGUGGGGAUAUUAGUUUGCAUUCGUUGAAAUAUUGUUAAGUUCACGAGUAAAGAAUUAUGUUCUACGUUGGUUUAAGAGAUGAAAAAAGAGCAGUUAAUAUAUAUCAAUCAGUAAGUGUCCGAAAUCUAAUAGUUUAAGUUUUUGAAUCAGAGUUGAGUUUCUGACUUAUAUAUUGGAUUCUUUGAUGGGUUUUCUGGAAUUGUUUCUCCCUAACAAAUACUAUGACCAUAAACUUAUCCCUCAAUGAAACAACAUUCAUCUUAUCUCAUCAAAUAGGGGGGUUUUUUUUUUAAAAUAUAUAUUAGUAUUGGAUAAAUUAUUGAGUUACUAACUUACUAUUAACACCUAUUAAUUGCAGGCACAGACACUACAAGGGCAUGCAAGGGGGUGGCGAUAUUGCCAGAGCAAUUUUUUCAUAAAAAACAAUUUCACCCAAGUCUAGUCAAAUGGUUGAAAUCUAAUUCCUAACUUCUUGGAGACUGCCCAGGAAUAUAAACUCAGGCACUGCCUCCUUAACCUUGCCUCCCCAAAACAUCUCUUGAUCUCACCAUCUCCGGUGACAACUGACAAAAUACAGCUUGCAGUGGCAUUUGGUAAUGGAUUUGGCAACCCGGCCUGCAUCAAGACUUUUUGUUAAAACAUGCAGAAAAUUAUAUAUAUAUAUAUAUAUAUAUAUAUAUAUAUAUAUAUAUUGUGAUUAUACUUAGUUGAGUUGUAAUCGUGCGUGCGUAGAUGUUUCCUAUGCUUGUGUAUACCUAAUAUUAGAUGGAUUACUCUAACUUUGAUGGUCAUACAUACGCGUCAUUCAAUUCUCAGUGCAGAACGACAACAGCACUUGCUUCCGCAUGAAAUGAAAGGGAGAAUUUGUAUCAAGGUUGACCAUGCAUGACUUCUUCUUAUGGUUCAUACUUCAUAGAAUAGAAUAGAAGUAGUCAGUCUCAGCUCUGUAGGAGGGUCAAUUUUGGUGUCAAAGGCCGAGUGCUGGAUUUCUUGAAAAGAAGACUGGUGCAACAAGUAUGUCACCGCUGGGUGCCACAUGUUCUCUAUUCUCCUGCGUUUUGACCUGUCUCAUGGCCUAUUUGCUGCUCACACCCCGCUUCGAUUCCUUUCUUCUUCUCUAUUCUAUUGUUGAAUGUUGUCGUAUGGACUUUUAUUGGAAAAGAGAACAAUUCUUUGGGCCCAUCUCAAGUUCAGACUUUUGCAGCAGAUGAAUUGAUGAUGAAUCGUCGUACGUAUCCACGGCUACUAGGCUCAAGAAGACCGGAUCAGCUAGUCAAUUCUCCAUUAUUUCCUUCCGGUUUCCAAUCUGCUGCGUUGCUUUAACCAACGUGUCGUCGUAGGGUUGUAAUUGAAUCAAGUUGCUCUCGAGAGCAGUUCAGCGAAAAAUUCAACUUGGACUUGAGUUGAUCAAGUUCGAAUCGAAUUUAAAUUGCUCGAUAGGUCUAACAAAUCGAGUUCGAAUAUCUAAUGACAAGAUUCGAAGGCUCGUCGAGCCUUAUCGAAUUUUUUAAUUUUGAUUCUUUAAUAUAUUAUUAUUAUUAUGAAAUUACCCUUAUGCUCACACAAAAAAAAAUAAUAAUAAAAUUCUUUGGACUCGUCUUCGAAUUUUUAAGCAAAUGAUUAAUCAUCUGCUAGGAAUGGCAAACGCAGGCUGGAGGGGUGGAUCCCUCCCAGCCCUAUUUCAGCCUGCCCGCAUUUCCUGUCGCACCUCCUCCAAUUGCCAUUUCUAGUACUUGCUAGGCUCAAAAAGACCGGAUCAAACUAGUCAAUUUUCCAUUGUUUGCCUUUUUCCUUCCGGUUUCCAAUCUACUGCAUUGCUUUAACCAAAGGUCCUAGGGUUACAAUCGAACCAAGUUGCUCAAGAGCAGUUCAGUGAAAAAUUUGACUUGGACUCGAGUUGAUCAAGUUCGAGUUGAAUUCGAGUAGUUCAAUGGGCCUACCAAAUCGGGUUCGAGUAUCCAAUGACAAGAUUAGAAAAUUCGUCGAGCCUUAUUAAAUUUUUUAAUUUUAAUUCGAAAGUUCAAUGGACUUGAGUAUAUGUGCUUGAAGUGCGGUGGUUUGGCAUUUGGUUGGACUUCAAUCGCGUCAGUUCAGUUAAACGGUAUCCAACAAACUUAAAGCUAACCUAGCCAGGCCGCGGGGAUACAAUUCUAGUGGCAACCUCCAUCAAAACAAACAAAAUUACUCUUUAAUUUGUGUUUGGCUCUUACCAGUUAUGGACCUUUCAUAAUUACUACUAAUUAUUCAGAAGAUCAUUUACCAACCCAACAAAAAAAGAAAAAGAAAGAUAAAACACAUCUGUGAUUUUGGAUUGGAGCAUCAUCCUUUGCCCAUUUUUAGCUGAGGAUGAUGGAUCGUGGUCGUGGUCGUGGACGCGAAACACUUUUGAUUGCAGAGGUAGGAUCGACCCUUAAUUUUUGGGCCAAAUUUUUCUGCUCUAUAUCAUCAUGUUCAUAGUUCAUAGUUCAGACCCACACCGUGUGGUAUCAACACUCGGGAUCUAGUACUUCUAUUUCCACACACUUGGGAGUUUACGUCGUAUGGAAAUAUUCUUACAUACAUAUUUGAGGUCCAUCGUGGCGGGUUCAGCUAUAAAUGGGGUGCAACAAAGCAUGAAUGGUUAUUGAUUAGGUAGCUAGGCUAGUUUUCCAGCAUCACGCCGCGUAGAGAUGUCAAAAUGGCGUGAGAUUGCGCAGCGGAUUUUCCGUCCCACUCUUUGUGUCAUUUUUUUUUAUUAUAUUGCUAUUUCUCUUACACAAACAUCACGUUUUAGUUUUUUUUUUUUAUUUUCUUAAGAUUCAAUGACUAUUAAUUGAGUAAAAUAUAAAUACAGUAGCUUCAAAAAAGCAAUAUAUAAUAGAAAAUUAAAAAAUACAGCAGAAAAUUCAGAUUGGUUAUAAUUAGAUGAUGGGUAUAAUUGGAUCAACUCAUUUACACUCUUUUAAUAAAUAGAUCAAAAUGAGUCACCCAUUUAUUUCAAUGAGUAUGGAUGUAUCUAAUUACACAACAUUUAUGACUGACUUCAAAUUUUUUUUUUUUUUUUUUUUUUUUGCAUGUCGUAUGAUAAGAAAUAAUGACAUUUUAUUGUUAUCAGAUUGAUAGAAAAUUCAAAAUUUUCUGUUUAACAUCCACUAAAAAUCGAGUUUAAAUAUUAACUUACUUUUAAAUGUGUACAAAUGGGUAGGUCGAGUCGGACACAUUCGAAACUCAUUGCAUACCUAAAAAUUCACUUAUUAGUGCUAGGGUUUGUGGACGGGUUAACAUAAUUGGAUUAUGGUCGACAGUAGUACCUCUAAUUUCAAGUGCUAGGGCACGAAAAUGUGCUUGACGUUUUGGUGUCAACGGAAAUAAUUUUGAUGAAAAUAUGCCGCCUACAUUAACGUCAUGUGAGCUUCUCUUUGAAUUACUUGUGUUCAAACGUACCAUACUCGUAGGAACGAUCCCAGAGAGUAUAUUCCUAAGUAUUACAAGUCCAUUCUUUAGCUACAGCUUGAAAACCAAGGUCACCUUGACAGAAACUUAAUAUGUUCCUGAACGUAAACUAACAAAACCAGCAGGAAUGAAGGAAGAAAACGAAAGAAGGCUUGGAAGAAACGGAAGUUAAAGAAAGGGGGUGGAAAUUUUUGGGGCCCAAGAAGAGCCUGAUUUACUUUCUGUGUCAACAUGCCAUAGCCAUAUUCUUCCUGUUGUCCAUCUGAGAAAUCAGACUGGUUUCGUCCAAAGAAAUCUGACUGGUAUAUAUACCUUAUUAAAGCCAUUUGCUACAACUGCACCUCACCUUUCUAUUCCAACAACACACCUGCAUAAUCGAAACAGGACCCUGAUAGUUGGAACUGCUUUAUUACCUUAGUAGCAGUACAGAAAUUUGAAACCCCUCACUGCUGCAGAGCAGAGUUUGUCAUUCAAAACUGUACCAAUUAAGAGGAGAAAAACAAAGAAAUCAUAGAAAGAUUGCAACUUGCACUCAUGGAGGGCAUCGAACACAGCGCAAAUAAUCUCCCCAGCAAAAAUAUGGUUAUUAAUUGGCCUCAGUUGCCUGAUACGUAGCCAGUUAUCUAAUAGCAUUGUACAUCAUUCUUGAAGAGUUAGCCGGGAUAAUGGAUAGGUGGAUGUACUUAACUAAUAAAAGCCGUAAUGCUCUUUGAUAUAAUUAGCUUCCAAGGCCGAAGUUAAGAGUAUUGUUAACUUUGCACAGAGCUCCUGCUGUUGAGUACGUACCACACCAAAACGGUGGAUUCUGAGGCUCAUAAAGGCCUUCCCAUGUAGGUAGGUUUGUUUAAUUAACUGGUUGAAUGUGAUUAUAGUAGUAGUAGUAUCAUCAAACUCGUGAGCAUUUUUAAACGGAUGCCAAUGUCCACUUCCUUUCGCGUGAUUGUUUGUGAGGAGCAAUUUAAUCUCAAUUAUAAUUUAGUUCCCAGUUUCAAUCUACAUUUAACCAAAUUAAUCACCCAAAAUGAACCUGAUCUGCAGCUCGUUGGGCGAAGAGUGCAAGGUACGUGUGCAAGUGAGUUAUUUCGAGUCUUGCACUAAUAACAAAUAGAGGAUGCAUCUGAUCAUGCGAAAAUAGCUAGCUCAGUGCGAGUCCCCCCAUGCAUUUCUUGCUUUUCUUGUCAACAGCUAUAUUGAAACGUUUUUAAACCGCUUUCAGGUAUAGCCCAGUGCCAGUCCCCCAUGAAUCCUUCCUGCAAUAUUAUAUAGAUUGCUAGAUGUAAGAUAUGGUGAAGCCUCCUUACUGUGACAAGAUUAAGAUGCAAACGAAAGAGGUUCAUUUGACAGAAGAGGAGGAUACAAAGGCCCAUGCCUAUGCACCAAAGCAAGGCACAGGCAAUUGGGCAGCAGCCAUGCCGAAGAAGUCAGGUACCGUCGUGAUAAAUGAUUAACGUGGCUGUUUAAGAGAACCAAAGGAGAAGGAUCCAAGUCUUCAUGAUGGAAUAAUUAAUUAAUCGAAUUUUGUUUUGUUUCAUGAGUAAUGUACUCCUGUGCAUGAUUGUGUUUACCAGGAGCCAGGAGAUGUGGGAAGAGUUGCAGGAUAAGGUGGAAUGGUAAUCAAAGGCCCGAUCCUGGGCAUGGAAGCUUCACACCCGAGGAAGAAGACUUAAUCAUUAAGCUCCAUGCUGCAAUAGGGAGCAGGUGAGUCCUACACGUAAAAAUUGUCAAUAUUUGCAUUCGCAGGUCAUAGUUUACAUUGAUGAUGCUGAUCAGACUUGGCAAAUGUGUUUAGUAACUUUUCCCAGGAAUGAAGUUUUAGCUGGGAUAUAUGCCUGCCCUGCUGCUAAGUUGUUUCCCUUGACAAUAUAACAGUCUGGAGAAGGGACUGGAUUCUACCAAUCAUCAUUGUUCAUAUAGUAGUAGUAUUUCCUCAGCAUACUGGAUGCUAUCUUCUGAUUGACAUCCAACUUCCAAAAUUUCCUAUGGCUCUACCAAAAAUAUGACUGGCAAUGCAGACUAUGCAUAUUCUGAUUUUGAUAUUUACCUACCCUUGUCAUCUUAGCUAUUGUCAUCUCUGGGUCAUUGUGGUUUAAGCCAAAACUGACAUGACAAGAUUUGGAUAUCUGCAGUUGAACAACUUUCAUCACUAACCGAAUAAGUUCUAGAACAAAAUGGCAGAAUUGUCUCAGCUCCUGCUCAGAGCCGGCUUUAUAAGUUUGCGUAAUAACAAAUGUAUUGGUGAUGACUUGUUUGGCUUCUAGCUGCUACGAUUGCUUUGAUACUUUUGCCUGGUGGAAGGAACAUGAGCGUGUGUGUCUCAUGUAAUUUCUGCAGUGCAGGUGGCCGAUAAUAGCACAACAACUUCCUGGGAGAACCGAUAAUGAUGUGAAGAACGUCUGGAACACUAAGCUGAAGAAGAAGCUCUCUGCAAUAGGAAUUGAUCCAGUAACUCAUAGGCCCUUCUCCCAAAUUCUUGCAGACUAUGGAAACAUCGGCGGCUUCCCAAAAGCUAGAAAUCGAUCUGGCUGUCUCAGCAGAGACAUAAAGAAUGCAUUUGUGCUAAAAUCUGAACAAUCUCGUGGCCUUCCAGAGAGGUCUUCGCACUUUGACAGCCAUUUUGGAACAACAAUUUCACCACUCGCAGUGGAACCAUCCAAACAGCAUUUUAUGAGCAACUGCAACCAUAUCUCUGCUGCCCGCAGUCAGUCCCUUGAACUUCUUUCUCAGCUUCAGGCCAUAACAAUGGUUACAGAAGCCUCAACUUACACCAAUACUGCAGCCCAAAUCCCUGCCGAAUGCUACUCAUCAUCUGCAUCAUCAUCACCGGAAUCUCCGCCCUCAGCUACCAACCAAGCCGCUGCAUCUCCAAGCUUCAGUUGGUGUGAUUUUCUUCUUGAGGACGCUUUUGUACCCACCACAUAUAUUGAGGAGAAAGAAAACGAAAUGAAGCUUCCACCAACUUAUGAUCCGAAGUCAAAAGAAAUGAAACUUUCUGUUGCAGCAGAAGAAGAAGAAGUGGAUAUAUCAGCCAAGACAGUUGAAGCUUCAUCAAUCUCCUGCGGUUCAUUUGUUGAAGCAAUGCUUGAAGGUGAAAAUGGAAUGCUAUCAGAUUUCCACGGCCUCUUGGAAGAUCCAUUUUUCUACUAGCUCAAUGAUACGUCGUACCAUAUUAUAUGUGCCUUGCAAAUUUCCAAGGAGUAGCAUGAAUCGUGUUAGGAUGAUUGAUUUCAAACCCCUUGCUUGCUUUUGAUGAGUCCAUAAGGGGCUAAUAAUAUGAUCUUUCAAUAAUUCUUGGUGACAUCUUUUGAUUUUGAUAUAUAUAUAUAUAUAUAUAUAUAUAUUUUGGAAGGAUCCUGAAAAGCUUUAACAUGAUGUAUAGUUGAGCGUCCCCACCGGGUAGUUCGAGCGGUCCGCUCCCCCUCUUUAGAGUAUGGCGACCUUCCUGGCAACUAGGAUUUGAGUUUCGCUGUUAACGCGUUCGGGGGAUGGGACCUCUCCAUCCGAAUCGAAGUGAAAUUAGUCGGGUCUCGUAAGGAUUGACUCGAACACUCACUCCAUUAGAAAAAAAAAAAAGAAGUAUAGUUGAGCAAGUCAUCAACUGCCAUGCACCUAAUUUAAUACAAAUACUAAACAAUUUUCAUAUUUUGAGCAUUUCUACAUUAACCCCCCACAAAAAAAAAAAAAAUCACAAAAACCAAUAGUACAUAUUACUAUCAAUCUUUGAAAAGAAGGAAAAACAAUUGCCAAAGGUGUUUCAACAAUUUUUUUUUUUAAAAAUAAAUUGGGGAAUAGAAUUAGUCUCUAUAAUACUAUCAACAUAUAUUGUAUAUGCUACUUUUACAAUAAUAAUAAUAUGUCAAUUAUUUCAUGUUUAGUAGUAGUGAUAAAUAAUUGCCACCAAUUCUUGAAAACCAAUUAGUAUUUAGUUCUAGUAACUUUUUAACUGCUACAAACACCUGAUGACCUGAAGAAGAAAGAAAGAAACAAAGAGAGAGUCCGUCGCGAGGGGAAGAAGAAAGAAAUGGUGGCGAUAUCGGCGGUGUACAAAGGGAACCUCCACAAGGUUCCCACCGACGUCCCUCGCAAAUGGCUCAUGCCUUCCCGCCAAAUCUCCCUUAAAGACUUCAAAACCCUUCUCCGACGUCGUUCCCGCGCCGCCCUCUCCCGCCUCCCCCAAUUGUCUCCGACCCCUAACCCUAACCCUGACCCUAAUUUCAGAGGUGCUGCUCAUGACAAUAAUAAUGAUAAUAAUAAUGACAGCGACAAUGAAAUGGUUAAUAAUAACGAUAAAAAUGCUUGCGCUGAGAUUAUUAUAGCUCAAACGAAGGAGGCGCCCAAUGAUAAAGAGGAGGAGGAAGAUGAGAUCAGGGUUGAAGAAGAAGGAUUAGUAGGUGAUCAAAUCGGAUCUGGCGCAUCUGAAACGCUAGUAUUAUCUGAUGAGGUUGCCCUGGAGAAAAAUGACCUGAAUGCUGCUGCUGCUGCUGUGGAACGGGGGCAGCAGCAGCAGCAGCAGCAUGAGGUCACAGAACAAGAGGACGAGAAGAAGAAUGAGCAGCAGCAGGAGGAGGUACCACUGCUGCUCAACCCUACCGCACCUCAGGUAAUUGGGGUUCCUUUUUAUCUAUUUGUGAGCUAGUCGAUCUCGGUUGCAUCUCAUGCUUUUUCAUGCGUUCAGUUAAUUUUGCCUACUCCGCUAUGUUUCAGCAACUUUAACUUAUCGAAGAUAUGAAAAUAUACUUGCAAGUUAUUCCUUUUUUUUUCUUUUUGGAUUAUUUUCUUGUCGAUAUGAUAUGUGUAUGGGCUUCUUUUUCUGUGCUGUGAAAGCAAUAAUGUCCCGUGAAUUAUUCUGAGCAUGUUGUUGUGACGAAAGAAUGCACUUUUGUUCGCUUUCAUAUGACUUGAUUUCUUGAUUCAUGGAUGUUGGUGACCACGGAAAAAAUUUGGUGUUUGAACCCACAUCUGGGUUCACUUCUGUAAAGAGAGAAAAGGAUUGUCUAUUGGCAUCUUGGUCGAGACAAUUGCUUUGGCAAACAGUUAUGCGUCCAAAAUCAUUUCUUUUUAAUGAGUGUUCUGAUUUACAAAAACGGAUUUUUUCACUUAGGGCUCCAAUUGAUUGAGGCUUUUAGUGAGACUAUCAUUUUGAGUUCUACAAUCCUCAUUCACCUUCUCUUUUUGUUGUUCUUCAAUGCUUCAAUAUCUGUUUUUCCUCGUUCUCUAAGUGUCUUAAAUAGCUGUAUUAGAUGCUUACAUCUCCUUAUUCCAAUUCUCAAACAUUGCCGUGUAGGAUUCUAUCUCUAUACUAAUUAAUAACUGAGAACAAAUGUAAUCCAUAGGCACAGAAUACAUGACCAGGAGAUUUUACUUGCAAACUCUAAUAGAUGCAUUACCAUUUUGAUGGGAAAAUCUGCUUCUCUUUGUACUUUUUAAAAUCAGAGGUUUGAAUCAGCUGGUGUAAGAUUGGGAUUGCCUGCAUUCCGUACUUCAAUUUCUCAAGAUUUGCACAUCUUUUUCUGGGAUUACGAGUUCAAGUCUGAUUUAGAAUUUUGAUCAAUGGUGAGAAACCACAAUGGAUAUUGAAGUUUUCUCCAUCUCAUGUACCUGGUUUCAAAUGAUUGUUUAACCUUCCCAUUGCACAUUUAUUAACGAUAUCUGCUUAGUCUGCCUUAGAAUCUCUUGUCUAGAAAAUUUUCAACAAUUUCAAGUAAUUAUGGGAACUUCAGAUUCAAGAUUUUUAAUCUGGUUGUUGAAUCCUGUGCAAGUAGCAGAUUAUUGUACCAUUGCUUGUUAGGGCUAAGUAUGAAUAUUAAUCAUUUGCUCAGAAGGAAAGAAAAUUGGCUAGAUAGUGUAUUUCUUGAAUGUAUUCCGGAGUCUAGCUCAUAAGCUCAAUAAAUGCCUAGUUAGUUAAGGCCCAUAUAUAUGCAUAUAUACACACAUGCACAAACACACACUAUCUUGGCUCUGUAGCUGUGGAGGGGGAAAAAUGUAAUUGACAGAGCUUUAUGGGUGCUGGGAUUUAGUGUUUUUCAAGCAGAUGGACCCUGCUGGUCAAAGGCUGUGCAUGCCAAGAUUUUUGAGUAACUGUUGCAUAUAUGUGCCUCUUAUAGGACCCAGUUAUAAAUGAGCCUUUUAAAGGUCAACUGUGUGACAUGAAGGUGGCCGACAGUUUAUUAGACGUCCUGAUGUGGAUUACACUUCUCUAGUGAUCUUAUUUUUCUCUUAUUUGUGCUUGCCAUUCAUGAUUAACUUUGGCUGAACAUUUUCUUUUUCUCAUUUUUCACAGACGACCAGCAAAGAGGAUGAAGAGAGUGAUAAAUACAAAAGAAAGAAGGAGGUUGAGGAGAAACUGAAGAUUUUGAAAGAAAAAAAGCAUGGUCUGGUGCAGGUGCUAAAACAGGUAAUGCUAGGUUAUUUUCUUCACUUGUAUGAUAUUCUAGAUGGAUUAUCAAACUCUUCAAUUUUAAACUUCUUUUUGAGUAUGACUUUAUAUUUAUCGGAUAUGCUGUUAUCCAUUGUGUUUAAUAGAUCCAAAAUGCAGAAGAAGAACUUAAGAGGCGAAGCAGUGGACAGGGCAUGGCGGUUUGCCCAUCUGUUCCACUUCAAGUAGACAUUCCAACUGAUACCGGGUCAAUGACUAGGCUUAACACUCCUAGAGUUGGCUCAGAUGGAACCCUUGGCGGUGAGGUGGACGGAGGGGAAAAUGAUGGCAUGUUGAACCAUAAUCCCGAUGCUCGCCAUUUGCUUCGUAUGAGCAGCAGCUCCCCUUCCCCUUCUUCAGAUUCUCAACCCAAGAAGCCUGCUUAUAAUGUGGUAAGUUGUCACUACUGUUUCAGAAAGCUUCUGUGAAAUUUUCAAGCCUCUCAUUAUCAGAUUUUAUAUCCAUCAAAGGUUAUUUUAUUGGAGUUCAGUUUCUUCACAUUUAAAAUGUUUACAACAAUUUGGAUCAGGUUCCGAACCCUGCAAGAGCCAGUUUAGGGGUCUCCAGUCCUUCACGCUUUGCGCCAACCGGUCAGCAGGGACUGACUUCAAACUUGCCAACCGUUUCGGUGUCAGGGACCAAUUAUGUUGCCUCCUCUCCCUCUCCUGCUGCAUCAGGCGGAACGUCAGUUUUUAGAGAGAGCAGGGUCCCAAGUCCGUGGAAUUAGAAGCAAUAUUUUGCUAAACUGGAGAGGUAUCGACAGCAUGAAGACAUUAUUUAGAAUAUGCCGUCUUUAAUGUUCUUAGAGCGUGAGUAAGUUACUACGCCUUUGUCAGUGGCAUUUCUGGUAUCCGAGUAGUUUAAUUGAAGGUAUUGCAAUGACCCAGUUUUGGUUCAGAGAGAGGUUGAAAUGAAUGUUUGCACUAUUGUAUAGUUAAGGACUGCGUAUCCAUGCGUGUGCAUCAGAUAAUAAAUAAAAAGUUAACAGCUCUUUAAUAAAGGGUCAUGUAAUGUAAUCUGUCUUUGUGCUACGAAGCAUUCAGCUUGAGUUGUCUGCUAAUUCCCUUUAGACUUUUUCUCUAAUCUGAAACCCAGAUGUGCCUAUGAGCUUUUAUUUAGGGUGCCUGUAAUGCAUUGAUGGUUUCUGUUAGAUCCCCAUGCAGUCGUGCUACAAACUGCUUGAUUGGUUCUUUAAUGAUAACAGUGGAUUGUUGUGGGGGGAGUUGUUAUAUCCACUAAUUUUGAAAGUUGACAUGAUGGUUAGAAGUUGAACAUGGUGAUUGGCUUCAUCAUUUGGCCGGUGGCAUUUCUCUAUCACUCCCCCGUACGGACCUUUGAAUUUCCACUCUAGCAACUAUCGCAGUUUGAAUAUCCGGCGUAGAAUUUUGGGCAUAUCUGUCGUCUUCACCUUUAGUGUCUCGACUCUUGGGGUAGUCUUGACUACUACAGCCUGGCUUUGAAUGAUGCAUCACAAAGGGUUCUUAUGUUCAUAAGCUUUUAAGUUCAUAGAUAUGCGUCCCCCAGAACAAUAGUUGCGAAUUACACCACAUGCUUGCCACAAACAACAGCGGACAAAUAGCAUAGGGGAAAGAGGUGCCACCAGCUGUAGGGUGUUGUGCCAAAACCAAUCAGGUAGACUAAGACCAGACUGUCCGCCUCAUUAUUGAACAAGCAUCAGUUUCAGGAUCAUUUGGAGCGUAUUCAAAGAUCUUCCAAACGUGCAUUGUGGGUUGGGGAAAGACGAAUGAGACGACAGCAACAACCAAACAAUCCCCCAACCCUUCAUCUUUUUCAAAGCUAUUUGUUAUGCUGUUGCCGAAAUUAUUGACUUUUGUUUGUGUGCAUAUCUAUAUUUAGCCUUAUUUGAUGUCUUGUUUAUUCUAAGAAGAAUUCCCUUUUAAGGCAGAAAAAUGGGUUUUCUUGCUGCUAACAAGCGUAAUUUAUCUGAACGACUACAGCUUUCUACUACUUUGGACCUUUGGUGGAUUCAACAAAAGAAGAUAAGAUGUGGAGGAGGAGGCGGAGAAAGUUGCCGGUGGUUCUUCGGUUUUGCUCUGGUAUCAGCAGUGUAGUUAGUAUUGGUGGUGAGUUUGACUAUCUUGUAUUGGAGUUUGGAGUGUGACAUUUUUUUAAAAAAAAAAAAAAAAAGAAGAAGAAGAAGAAGAAGAAAAGAUUUUUUCAAAGCAUGUCAAUCAAAAUUGUGGAAAUUUCAGGAUUGAAUGGAAGUGACUUGAUUGAUGAGUUAGUAGGUAGGGCGAUGGUACGUUUGCAAAAAGGGCUAUAAUAUUAAGAGCAAAUUAUCUGGCUGGCCAUUAAACUUUUGCCAUCGUUGAGUUUUGGUCACUCAACUAUUAAAAGUCUGAUUUUGGCCACUCAAAUAUAUAAAGUUAAGAUAUGAGGCCAUUCUGUUAGAUUUAGCCGUUAAAUUCGUCGAUAUAUCCGUUCGCGCGAUUUCCAAGACAAAAGGUAGGGUUAAUUUAGGAAUUCAAUAUAGCAUUCAAUGCUUCUCUCAAAAAUUAUCGUUCUUCUUCCUGCCCCUCUUCAAAUCUUCGUCAGACCCUUUUCAUCCACCGCAGGCAUCACUCCUGCAACGCCACCACCGGUAUAAAGCUUGAAAUUAGUUUCCUGUCUGGAAAAUGCUUGUUGAAAAUUAGGAUAAUUCAGGAAGAAUAAAAUGAAGGAUUUGGCCAGAAUUGUGAAGGCUCAGACUUCUUGCUAUCUUCCCAAGCCAGUUAGUGGAUCGAGAGAGCUCCGCCCAAAGAGUGCCUACAGCCCGUGCUAGCCCAAGAUCCCUCCAACAUCUUGUGUUUUCGGUAUCUGCAUGCCACCACCACCACCUCCUACUUUGAAUUGCUUAUUUGGAGGAGAAGGGGAAGUUUCAUCUGCGCCGUCUCCUUGGCGGCCGCUUGAUCCUUCCUCUUUAAACAAAUCUUCCCUAUAUCUUUUCCUUAAAUAACUCUCUGUGGCAUCUUGCCCACCGCCGCCACCGCUAUCUCCGCCACCGUCUCCGCUGGGAAUCGCUUCCGUCAUUUGAUUUGCUGCUAACAAAUGCUGCUGCUGUUGCUGAAAACCCAACAUGUGGGAAAACCCUUCCUCAUAGGGGUGGUGAGCUAAGGCUAGCGCGCUGUGGAAAGAAUGAGGAGCUGAUUUUGAAGGAGGAGCAGAGAGAGUGGAGCCGUUGCUCCUGACGGAUAUGUUGAGGGUUGAAAUGUUAGCCGGGAUGGUUCCCGUGCCAGUGGCGGCGAUUAUGGCUGGCUCGGCUUGCUGUAGAAGCCACUCAAUUGUCUCGCCGUCGGACUUGUGACCUAGCUCUCGAGUCAACUGGAAAAUCCUAGCUGCACAGGCAGCCGGCAUUCGGAUACGCCUGCCUCGGCCAUCAACUUUGGUAUGGCGGUCCUUUGUGGAUCUCUUGGGUGGCUGCUGCUUAGGGUGGAUUGGUUUCAAUAGCCCUAUUGACUAGGAGAGUCAGCAUUCCGGCAGCUUUGACUCUGUUGCAGGAAGGACUACUUGGAGUUCCAUACCAUGACUUCCAUGGCAAUCUCCCAAUUGAUGUGGGUCUCACCCUACCAAAUCUGAAACUAAUACCUGUUACGGAAAACAAUUUCUCUGGAAUCUUUCCCACUUCAAUCACCAAUGCUUCUGGGCUUGAGGAAGGAACUUGAGGAACUUGCCCUAAAGAAGAAGAUGCUAUUUUUAAUUUCCUAAAUUAACCCUGCAUUUUGUUUUGAAAAUCGUGCAGACAGACAGAUCGGUGAAUUUAACGGCCAAAUCUAACAGAAUGGCUACGAGUUUUAACUUUAUGCAUUUAAGUGGCCAAAACCAGACUUUUAAUAGUUGAGUGACCAAAACUCAACGAUGGCAAAAGUUUAAUGGCCAGCCAGAUAAUUUGCUCUAAUAUUAAUAAUGAAAGUGAUGAGUGAGCUCUUCAUCUCUCUUUCUUCUUCUUUUUCUUUCUAACAUAAAAAGGUAUCUUAGCCUUUUUUUCAAACCCAAUUCAAGAUUUUAACUUAGUUUUCAAAAUUUAACGUGUUCAGAUGCAUUUUGAUAAACCAAAAUAAAAUAUAUGAGAUGGGGUGACAUUUUGAAUCUCUUAGGCAAAACUUAUUUCAAAAAAGAAAAAAAGCGAUCGUACUUUUCACUCGUUACUUAACAUGAUAAUAUACACUAAAAUGUAUCACCAUUUAACGGACUCGCACUUCAGAGUAUUAAAAAUUUAGUACUCCCUCCGUCCCAUUUUGAUAGUCUCAUUUCUUUCUUCACAUAGUUUAAAAAAAAAGUAGUUAAUUUUGUUUGAAAAGUAAAUUUAGAUUGCUAUUUUUCUAAAAUACCCUCACAUUAAAUAUGGUACAACUUUAUGGGAACUUGAAUUGAUGGUAAAAAAAGAAUCAACUCUCAUUAAAUGGGGUAGGUUUAUAGUAAUAAGGAUAUUUUAGGAAAAUUAAAAUAUAACUACAUUCUUAACAAUGAAAAAAUGGAUUACAUUUUGAGACAGACGAAAAAGGAAAACGGGACUAUCAAAGUGGGACGGAUGAAGUACUUAACAAUUCAACAAUUUAAUAAAUCCAAACUUCAUAUUCCGUAUUACGAUUUUCAAACUUCAAUUUUAUCGAACACGCUCCUUUUUUUUUUGUUUUUUUAGUAGUGUACAUAUUAUUAUUACCGAAACAGUAAAAGUAGGGAAUGUAGGUGUAAUUUUUAAAAUUAAAGGAAAACUUGGUGCUGUAGUCAGAAACCUUGAGUUACCACUAAAGAAAAGAUGAUUACUUUCCGCAGUCAAGGGGAACCCAUUCCCUCGUCCUCCGCCCUCGGCGCACAAUACAACAAAAGUAGAUCACAUCUCCAGCAGCCUCACCACAAAGCUCCCAUCCGUUGUUACUCUCCCCGCCGCUAAUAGCACACCACUCCCCACAAAACACAAAAACGCACCAUAUUCUCCAACUCAAAAACUGUUCGCUAUCCCCUUCCAUUCCCUCUCUUUUGUAGAUAGAAUAGAAGAAGAAAACUACUACAUCUAUCCAUUCAUCAUCCCAUCCUACCGCUCUACCCAUUCUUCAUAUACUGACCAGUGGCCUCUAUGUUCUUCCAGUAGCCUCAUCAUCAUAUUUUUAGUAGUCUUUAAUAGUGGUAUUGCACUGUCCUCCUACUAGGACUUAGGGGGGAGUUUUAGGACCCCAACAAUUCCAGCCAAAAAGCCCCCAAAAACAACAACAACUAAACGCCACUUCGCAAACUCAAACCCAAAGGUGGUGCAACUUAUCAUCAUCAGCAGCAGCUCUAAGUUCUAGCUAACUAAGGGAACCAAAAGCCAAAAGUAGUAUCCUCCAUGGAUCCCACUCCCCUCAAAAAGCACCCGACAAAAUCCACCACCGCCGCCGCCUCAAAAAUGCCUCCUCCGGAUCCCAUUCUUGCUGCCCCCCCUUCCUCCACCGCCACCACCAUCCAAAACAUAUCCAGCCACUUCGCCAAGUUGUAUGCGAAUCACAAGUUUCUUGCUGCUUCCUUAAAAGCCUCCUCACAUCCACACGCUCAUUCUCAUCAAGAAGAAGAAAAGGGUCUCAAAGAUGAUUCCUCUGCUUUAGACAACUCCUGCGUAGCUUUGACCAAGUCAAGUAGCCAGCACGGAAGAAUUCAUCGUGGAGCUGCACCGGCAGAUUUGGCCUCGGCAAAUGAAGAAAGCUACCGCACGAAAACCAAGGUUAAAGAAAAGGACGACAGGAAGUAUUCUCUGGUUAAUGUCAAGAAGAAAAAGCCCCUGCCUGAUGCUCCUCCAGCUCAGAAGGCUUUAUUAGACGGGCAUAAAUCUAAUCUUAGAAUCAAGAAAUCAUCGUCAGGAGCAAGAGGAGGAGCAGCCCAGAAAAAGGAGGAGGAGUUCUAUGACGGGAGGAGAGGCGUGAAGAAAGCGUAUGGCUUGAUGUCGAGGAGUCUUGAAUUGGAGAAACCUAAUCAAGCCACGCCGUCGUGUGAAAUGAAUAGACCAUGUAUUUCGCUUGCGGUGAAUGGCAGAAGGACGUCAUUUUGCUGCUCGCGAGCUGAGUUGGCUGACUUCUUUUGUUGCGCCGGCGUCAAGGUUGUGGCUGUUGACAUGCCGCCCUUUAUGCAGAUUCACGCUGUCGAUUGUGCUAGAAAAGCUCGUGAUAGCUUGGAAAAAUUCACUUCCAAGACUCUUGCUUUUACCCUCAAAAAGGUACUCCUGCCUGCUAUAGCAUCUGUCGAAAGAGCAAUCAGUGAUCAUUGUGGGCUUUUUGGUUUAGGUUCUGUGAUGCGAGGCUUUCCUUUUUUUUUUUGUUUUUUUUUCCGUUUUGGGGGAUCAAUUCGCUUGCUGAUCAGCAGGCACGCUGGUUCUUGAAUUGGUUAGUCUCAGUUCUGAUUUUCUUGCUUGCAGGAAUUUGAUGGGGUUUAUGGACCAGCCUGGCACUGCAUCGUAGGGACCAGUUUUGGUUCCUUCGUGACACACUCAGUAGGUGGCUUCAUGUACUUCUCAAUGGAUCAGAAACUAUACAUCCUCUUGUUCAAAACAACUGUACAGAGGGCUGAUUGAAUGAUUUGGAGGUUGAAAACUAUUCUUACUAUUAUAGGGGAAAUUAGGCACUCACAAAGGCAGGCCUUUUUCUCCCCCUUCCAACUUUGUACAAUGCCAGCAGCCUUUUUCUCCCAUGGAUAUUUCUCUCGUACUAGUUACCUUGUCGGUAGGCUCUUUUUUGAAGUAGUUACAGCACAAAAAAGAAAUACUUUCGACUCCACUAAACUUGUGGGGGGGUUUUUGUUUAGAUGUUAGUACAUUGCCUAGUAGUAUCUCAAGAAAACUUGUUAAGAUAGCCCAACAAUCAACAUAUAUAUAUAUAUAUAUAUAUACCUACCUCCUCUACUAUGCUUCUAUGUCGGUUUCGGUGAAACUGUUGAAGGUAGUGCUGAUUUUUGUGGAUAGCAUAUGGUGAUAUAAGUAAGUUCGAAGUGUAGGAUGAUGAUAUAUGAGGCUGCAUUUCUUGUUCUUGGUUCCAUGCCGGGUUGGCAACUUAGCAUCCCACCAUCAAAAAGAAUGAAUGAAGGGCUUGGAACAAACAAUUCUUGUAAGGUCAGCUAGGGUCCUCCCCUAUUCCCCUGCCUGCCCUGGUCUUUGGAGAUCAAUGAGUGGUGCUUUUCAUUUCUUAGUCUAAACAAUCAUUGCUUUAAGCAAAAAAUUUGACAUUAUUUUAGAGUUGAGAUAAAACGUACCAGUAGUACCUUCUGUUUUGCCGCAAACCAAACCACACCCCACCUUACCUUAAACAGCCCCAGUCCCACGAACCAAAAAAAAUCUCUCAUUGCUGAUCAUUUCUUUUCCAUAGAUUUAUUUUUGGAAAGGGAGUUGUUAUGUAUCCUUCCUGGGUUAAUCUCUUGCUAGUUGUUACCUCAUUUCAUCUAUGGUUCCCUGUUGGAAUGGCCCAACCACUAUUCUGAAUCCAUCCAAAGUAUCAUAUGAAGUUUUUUUUUUUUUUGGCAUUUUGGAACUUUGAUAAUAGAAUUGCUUAUCACUCAAUGUAAGCACUCCUUGAUUUGUCUUCAAAAUUUUUUUUAGUUCACUUGAUUUUCUAAAUUGACCAGACAUGUUAUUUUUCUUUCUUUUACAUGCAACACACACACAUAUAUCAAAGAAAAAUCGUUACGUUUUCUGUGAAUAUAUUUUUUAACCUCACAUAUAUCAAAUCGUUACAAUAAUUUUUGUUUUUACAAAAAAUCCAGAAAAAUGCAAUCCAAACAAAGCCUUAGGUUGCAUGGCGAUCUACUUUCGGGCAAAUAUUUCGAGUUGAGGCUUGGUUUGAUAAGGUUAAAAAUAAGAGAUUAGCAAAAAAAAAAAUCCCAAACCCCUACUCAUUUGGGAUUGUUUGGUGGUGUGAAAAAGUUUCCAUCUAAUUUCUAAUUUGAUGAGACUUUUAAUUGAGGUUUAUGUGGCAGGGUAUGCGUAGAGUCCGAAACCAGUAGGCACUUGGGAUCUUUAGCCCAAAAGCACAGCCAAAGAGCAUAGCAUCUGCUCUUUGGUUGGAAGCUAUUUAAAGUACCAACCACAGUAUAGAUGCCAAUUGGCAAGCAGAAGAAGCAUUUUAUUAUAUAAUCAUCUGUGAAUCUAAGCAAGCAGCCACUUUUAAGAUCUUUUUCCGAUAAGAGGAAUAUGUGUGAAAGAAUUGCCUGAUUUUUAAGAAAGUGCUUGCCAGGGAAUCCACUCUCUCUUUUGAGCUAUAUAUAUAUAUAUAUAUGUAUAUAUAGAAUUUUUGCUGUGACAAAAAGUAACUGGAGUAGCUAGCGCAUGCAUGCGUUAAGCUUUUACUACUUUGGAAGGCGAUGCUAUUGCUAUACGAUCACACUGUCAUCUGCAGCUUAACCACAAAAACAGUUCCAUCAGACCUCCAGAGUCCACACACACACACACACAAGGGUUGUUGUUGGUGGUGGUGCAUAUGUGUCGUCUUUCUUAAGGAAAAAAAAAGAGGUCGUGGACCAUAUUGCCAGCAAACAAGAGGAGGAUGCUCAAUAUUACCAUCUAUGGCAUGGUUCAAUUUGAAAUUUGCAGUGACUGAACAUGCUCCUGCUUCACUGCACAUCGAAUAGAAUCAUGUUGAAAUCAGGCAAUGCUAGGCAGCGCUGAUAAAAAAGAGCCCAUGAUGAAGGUCCACUUCAUGCACUAAUUUUAGCGAGUGUUAGAGAAUAAUCCAGUUGUAGGCAUUGAAAUUUCGUCUCCAGACUCUAGAAAAGCAUAAGCUGAAUGACAUGAAAAUUGCAUUGAACCAUUUUUUUGACAUCAACGCAACCAUUAUGAAUCUGCUAGCAAACGCCCUCAGUUGCACUAUCAAGAUGACCGGUUUACUAACAUCAAAAAAAUGGUAACAUGUCUCCUUCUUUAGGAAAAUCCAGUUAUAGAGUUCUUAUGAAUCGUUGGCUCGACUUCGAUCACCGUCAUAAAAUAUAAGUUGCUUGUAGAGUUUUCACGGAUAAUCCAUCAAUACAGCCAUUGCAUUAACAGCGAAUAUCAGUCAGUGCCGAAUGGCGAUGACACUACUCAACUAAAGCUGAUGGCCACCAUCAAGCUUUUAAUACUGCCUUCUAUCAAUUAUCAUAUUAAAAAUUCAGAUAGGUGUGUAAUGCGCCUGUUUGCUUCAAUUUUCUCUCCUCCUUACUAUUCAUGGACCUCUCUUCCCCUAGCAUAAAAUAGAUUAAAAUAUAUUACAGUUAUCGUCUCCCCGAAAAAAAAAAAAAAAAAUAGGAUGACACUACUCUCUCUCUCUCUCAAGUCCAAAGUCUCAAGUGUGUGCCCGUUAGUCGGUAGUUGAUCCACAAUCUCACCGGUCUCUCUCAAGUCUCACUUUCCCUUCUUCGGUCUGUCUUCAGUUUUGUAAAUUAGUAGCUUACCACUCCAUCUCCGUACACUACAGUCUCUACUCCUGCCUUUUGGGGGGUCAAAAUUACUCCUCACUCGCCCUUUCAUAGUUUUUUCAUUGAAUCAUUUUUAUUUAAUAUCACCAGACAACAGCCCCCGGGGGCCCCCAUCAUCUCCAUCUCUCUGACCUCCUCCUCCUCAAUUUCCACUCACUUCAGUCCGACUGCUACUACAUUUCCCCAUUUCACUUUCCAUCUUACUCCUGCGUCCUCCUCAACUACUGCUGCUGCUACUAGCACUACCAUUCAUGUUGCCCAUAUUUCUUUGACAUGUAUAUGUGCAAAAUUCUGCUGCUGCUGCUUUGUUAAGUUGAAGUUUUCAAUGAAUUAGAUCAGUAAAUGUUUGGUUAGGCCCCCUGGGGGGUGAAUGGAUCCGCCAAUCGUCAGCCACUCGUCUUUUUCACCUGCCCAUGCUUCCUCCUCCUACACUCUCACUGACCUUUGGCCUUUCCCCAUCGGACCUCCUGCCGUUUUGGGUCUCCCAAUGCCCCCCGCCUUGCCACCCCCACAUGGCACUCCUCCUCCUGUUGCUGCGCUUUCCCUUGAGGAAUCCACCGUCACCGACCUAAGUGCUUGCCGCACCAAUGCCACCAACAAGCGCAAGCAUGUCCUUUCUCAACAUCACCUUCUUGCUUCCGCUUCUUGUGCCGUUCAUUCCGUUAGUAUAUAAAUCCCUUUUUUCCCCCGGUUGAUGGAUAGAUUUCUCUGUUAUCUUGCUUUGCUCCACUUCAAUUCUACCUGCAACAAUUCUUCUUUUUUUCCCAUUUCUCAAGUUCAUUUUUUGAUGCUUGCUCUCAAUUUUGGUCAAUGGACACAUUUUUUUGCAUGUUGGAUUCUUAUACAAAAUGCUAGUAAAUCUUUUAGUAAAAAGAUUUCCACUUUUACUGUUGUUUCUUGAUGGGCAUUCCUAGAUUUCUACUUGCAAAAGAAAUACUUUUACUACGGAGAUAUUGAUCCCAUAACAUUUCCAAUCUUUUUUUUAAAAAGAAAUUGUAAUUUUUGUUUCAUCUCUAACUCUUUUAAGUGAUUGAGAUUUUGUUAUCUCCCCAUAACUAAGCCUAGAAGCCAGAUUUCUCUUCCACUGGUUGAGUGAUACUGAUUUUACUCGACAGAAUAAUGCAAAUGUAAAGCGGAUGAAGGCAUCAGAAGGAGGAAUCGGAGAACAAAUUGAUGAAUCCAAAGCAGAACCGCAGACCAGCUCAUACACUACUAACAAGCCUGCUGAUCAUGACGAUACUAACCCUCAGCCACCUAAAGACUAUAUCCAUGUCAGAGCCAGAAGGGGUCAAGCUACUGAUAGCCACAGUCUUGCCGAGAGAGUAAUUCUCGCCUUGCUUACCUUUCUUUUGUUGGCCAUUCAUUUCGAGUAUUAGUUCUGAUGAAUUAGCUCUGUUUUUCAUCAGGCUAGGAGAGAAAAGAUCAGUGAGCGGAUGAAAAUUCUUCAAGAUUUGGUUCCUGGCUGUAACAAGGUCCGCACCCGCACUCUUCUUGCGUAUCACACUAGACCAAAAAUUGUUGUGGAAUUUGUGCUUUAUUACUUCAGGAGAGUGUUGUCUUUUCUCAUUUUCACCAGCUUUUAGCUUUCAAAAAAUAUUUUGCAGCAUUUUCUCGAUGGAUUUUUAGCUUUUCUGCACUUUGGAAGUUGAAAUUUUGAUGUCAGUUGGACUAGCUAUCUGGAAUUUUGUUUUACCUAAGCUCUACAGUGCAAGAGGAAAAGAGAAGAGGCCCUUAGUUCACACUAAUCCUUCCAUGUUUUAGGGGUUCCACUUGAACUUUUUUGCUCUUUAAAAUAAUUCUGUCCAGUUAAUGCACUAUUAUGUAUUGAUCAGGUAAUUGGGAAAGCUCUAGUACUUGAUGAAAUUAUUAACUACAUCCAGUCACUUCAGCGACAAGUUGAGGUAGUUACUGAAGUCUUCCGUGUUUAAUUCACAUCCAAAAUUUUGAAUCUCAUUCUGUCCUUAAUAUAUUGCAUGUCAAAGUUUUUAUCCAUGAAGCUCGAAGCAGUUAAUUCAAGGAUGAACUCAGCCAUAGAAGGAUUUCCUUCCAAGGAAGUAAGUUACAGAGCUUGAAAUGCUAGCUAGUUUAACGCCUUUAAUCCUUUCUUGAUCAGUCAAUCUGUAUUGUCAGUUCUUUUCUGACUGUCAUUUUGGUGCUGCUGCUUUGUUUUUUUACUAGUUAUAAGUAUGAACAGAGAAACUGUUGAAAUCUGUUUCAUCGAGUGUUUGGGAGGACGUCCUUGGUAGUAAAUUACAUUAAAAAUGAAAUAUGUUGCCGUUAUAGGAUCAUGAAAUGGUACACUUUGUGGAGUUUUGACCUGAUGACUAGCUACUGACUGAAAACGAAAUAAAAUAUAGAUUCAUAUUUUGGAUCAAAAGCAGAGGUGACAAGUUAGUUAUGCUCCACGCUCCACCAAACAGUUCAGCAUCCUGUUGUAGUUUGACAGAAAGAUGCAUAUUCCUUUUGUUCCUUAUCUGUGUCUUUUAACAAAAAAUUAAAUUCAGUAUAAGUUCUUGUUUGUUUAUUCUUGUCCCUUUUUAUUCCAUAAUAGCAGUUUGCUUUUUCUUAUCUGCGAUCCCUUUUUCGUUUUUCGAUGAAGAGCUGCAUGCCAUUUUGCCUGUGGCAAUUUCUUAACUCUUUAUGGAGUGCAAGUACGCAUGGAAAAACUUGAAAGAUUUGAGGAAGCAUUUGACUCCAGAUUCACAUAUUCUAUGUCCUUUUGGGAAUCUGACGAGUUGGUGAACAUGUAAGAAAAAGAAAAGGAAACAGUUAAUUGCCUUUCACAGUGUGAGCGAUGUCUUACUGAAAUUCAAAUGACAAGGUAUAGUCCUUGUGUUAAUAUUACUCCUCUCGGAGCUCCUUUUCAGAAGAUGGAAAUGGCCCCAUGAUUGACACCGCGGUCACCAUGCCAGUGGUGAACUAGUAGUAGUUUUUAUAUCAGCAUAGUUAACUCUUUUCUUCCUGGAAUUCAUAUUUAACAAUCUUUCGCUACGACAUAUAGAUCUUAUGAAUGACUAAACAUGAUAUACUGGUGGUCCAACAUACCACGUGAAUUACAAGUGAUCAAGCUACAUAAAUAUACUAAAUUUCACAGAGUAAAGAUGUUGUAACAGUGGUAUUUCCUGAUCAAUUACUGUAGCUUCUUAGCUAAUUCUGUAACAUUUGGUUAUAAUUUGAAGGUGGAUAUUCACCUGUAGAUAAAGAAAAGUUCAUCUGUAUUUGGAUUUUGACUUAAAUUUGCAGUUUUAUCUUCUUAUGUUCUCGUAUUGGUGCCUAAAACUAUGUUUGACUGCUUAACUUUAAAACAAAUGAGUCGUGCCUUUUCUGCCAGGUCCUCCUCCUCCUCAUUUUUCAUCCCCUAUCAAGUAUAUGUGCCUGCAGCUUCCAUAUUAUCUCUCCUCUUGUUCCUUGUUUUGUGUAGUUAUCCUUGGUUUUUCUUUCAAUUCUGCUCUGUCCAAAGCAAGUACAUGCAUCAGAACUGCUCGUCAUUUCACAUGAGUGUAGAUGCAGUGACGUAUUUGCAUAACUAGUGCAAGAAUGGUGAUAUGGCUCUGUUGGAAGGAAUUUGCAGCAGUCAUUGUUUACAGCCUCUGGCUGAUUUUAUACAGUUACAGCUACCUCUUUUUUGUAUUGAGAUUAAGCACUGUUGCUAGCUUCAGUUUUGCUUCUGCCAGCUGAACAUGUGUUACAUCUCUCAUUUCCCCUUGUCUUGUGUAAAUAUAUGUGUUUUUAAGAUCUAUCAGUUGUAACCUUCGUUCUGGUUUAUGUGACUUACCCUAAAUAUGAUCCACGCGCAUUGUUGAUUAGUGAGUGAUUAUUAUUCAUGCAUUUAAAAGUUCAUGAUGUCCAGCAAUACCCAGAACUUUUUUUGAGUUAUUUCUUUGAUUCGGUUAUCCCGCUUUCCAGCUUGCAGCUCCACAAUUUGAUGCUACUGCAAUGAUCUUCGGCCAACAAGCACCAAGGGAAUAUGCUCCGGAUGAAUGGCUUCAUAUACAGGUCGGUAGCAGCUUAGAAAGAGCAACGUGACAAAUACAGCUGCUCUUCAGUGAAUAGGAAAGUUGAGCAGGCAUUUUAUUCCUCCAGCUCAUUCUCAUCGUCUUUGAUCAAAUCAAGGAGACUUUCAGUUAUUUAAUUUUACAUCUAAUGUAACCCUUUCGCAGAUUGAAGGACAUUCUUGAACUUGCUGUGAGUAUGCCCAUAUGUCCAAUUAGAAAACUGGAUCUCUGUCUGAUCUGACUAGUUCCUGUAUUGACGUCUAGGACAAAAUUGUAGCAAUAGUACGUGGUUUAAUUUAUGUGUUAUCCUUUGAAGAUGCAAUGGACUCUUACUGCAAUUCUUUCAUUAGUCGACGAAAGUUCAGCAUCUGAAGUGGCACAAUCCUAGAUCCCAAAUCCCCCUGAUGGAAGAAACAUUUCCUGGUACUCUGCCCCCUGGGAAUCACAAACAUGAAACGCCUGCCCUGAGGUCUAACACUUCUGAGUAGAAUACAUUUCCAGUGGUCACAAGACCUACAAGGACUUUCCCCUCAAUGACUACUACUCCAGGAGCAGAGUCAACUCGAUUCAUGGAGAUUCCCAGGGUGUUUAGCCCCGGAAACGCAAAAACAUUUCCUUGUGCGACGCUGACUCCAAAGGCAUUAGUAGUAUUUCCCUCUUUGCUGAGUCCAUCAACGAAGAAAUCCUCUGAAGUCACAUCAGAGACAGGCUUGCAAGAGAAACCAUUCACAGAGGUGGGGUCUUGGAUCCUGUAGUGGGUCGGGAUCAGCAGAUUGGGAAUAAGGCCACAAGAAAACUGAGAGAAACAGCAUUUGGUAGAACACCAGCUUAGCAGCCAUAGUCAGUCGAAUACAAUAGUGUUUGGAUAGAGUAUUAUUUGGAAUAAAUACUAAAUGUGUUUAUGAUACAAGCGAAAUAGGUAAACUUGAGCUGUCCAAACACAGUUGCCACUCUGAUGGUUAACCUUGCUGGAAUUAUUAGUUGAAAUACUUUGUCGCGGUGGUGAACAGGUUAAGAAGUAGUACCGUAUAAUUCUUCAAAUGACAUUUUUGGGGGGAUCAACUUUUCAAUUUUCAUUUCAUGAGGGAGAACAGGUGAAGAAAUCCCAAAAACAAGGAUUAACUGACGAGAGACAGAUGCAUGCAACAAGGACACUUUCAAAGAAUAUUAGUACUAGUAGACUAGCAUUAGCACUAGCACUAGCACUAGCAGAAUCUUAAUUUACCAGGUCUCCUAGUAUUGACCCCAAAAAACCACCGGCCCCCACCACCAAGCCUUUAAGGCUUUGGUGGGGGCGGGAGGCAAGGGUUCAAGGGACGAACCUUGCCUUCCACCAAAUUGUCACAUUGUGGUUCUUCAAAAAAUCCAGACGGGUGUGUGAUGUAUCUGUCUGGUCCGGUGGUGGUUUUGCUCCCAUCGAUUCUUCGUAGGUCCAGUUGGGCCUCCCCCUAGUUAGAUUAGAAUAGAGUAGGAGUAGUGAUGACGAUUGACCAAAAAAAAAAAAAGUAUUGACCCCAAUAAAAAAGAAGAAGAAGUUGAUGAUGUUGAAAAUUGUAAUCCAUUGUUCGUGAGUUAGAAAACUGUUAUAUAUAUAUAUAACAUAGGUGGACACUUGCACAUAGAGGAUACAUCAUGUUUGAAUUGAAAAAAGGUAUUACAUUAGGUUCUUGAACCUCAUGCUUAUGUAGACUGUGCUUCUUUCCAAAGACACAAACUUUUUCUUAUUUUUAUGCAGAGCAUAUGUGUUGCAAUGUUACACAAAGGUGUACUCCUAGUGGUCAAGGAGGGCCUUUUAGAGCUUCCUUUCGCUCGCCGCAAAACUUGAAUAGAAGGAAAAUAAAAAUGUUAGGAACAUGUACGACUCGGUUCGUUGACAGCCCUAUAGUGUUGAGGCCCGGAAACUCAUAAACAUCAGCAUGCAUGAGUGACAUUGAUCGACGCCGUAAACGUUGAAUGCUCCGAGACUUUGUUGGAACCCAUGAAAUUAAGAAGAAGUCCUGUGUGAAGAUGCAGUGGCGGGGUUCUUGCAGAGAAAACCGUUGAAUUGGUGGCAAAAGUUUAUGAUCCACCCACUCAAUGGUACAAAUAUACAGAUAGAUCAACAACAAACCUUACCAUACAUUAAUUGAAUUAAACUAAUUUUCACUAUGCUGGGAUGAUCAUGAAAUUUCUCCUUUAUUUUCGAAGCAGUACUUAUUUUUAGAAGAUCAUCUAUAAACUAAUCAUAUUAAGCAGGUAAAAGAUCACAUAUACCCUUGUACCAGGACGGUAUAGAAAGCGGGAUGAUCGGUUGUAAGGAGCUUGAUUUAGAAGUGAAGUAUAGCGGUGGAUGCAAUUGGCUGUAGUUGUGCUGACUACUGAACUUGGUCGAUCCACCGUAUAUUGGUAUGACCUUAAAGCUGACAAGAAGACGACGAUACAUUUAUCGAUGGAUAAGCACAAACAUGGUCCAAUACGAUUCCAGAUAUAAGUGAGUGAAAGUGAAAGAGCAAUUAUGCGUAAACUCAGCUGUAUACUUUUUUCCAAUUAUGAUAAUUUUGAGAUAGGUGAAAAAUAGAAUUAGUAACUUGUCUAGUAGAUACUAAACAUGAAAUAGUUGCUUUAUUUAUAUGGUAGAACUUUAUUGAUAGUGAUGUAUCAUAAAGCAUGAUUACUAGGAAUGUAAGUGAACCAAAUCUACUUGAAAGCAACUCGACGACGACGCUCAAUUCAGAAGAAACUCGACUCAUCUUGAUUUUAUCGAACUUGAGUUCAAGCUACUCAAGUAGCAAAUCAAGUCGAGUUCGAGUUCCAAGAUUACAAGUUCGAUUACUUUUGAGCCUAAUAGAGGAUUAUAAAAUGAAAUAUAUUGUAUAUAUUUUUUGAAUUUAUAAAAUUACUCAUGAUACGUGGCCCUUCUAAAAAACCCAAUGCCCUUAACCUUCUCCUAUCUGUCACCAUCUCAUCUUUUUCACACUUCUUUCUCCCUGAUGUUAAUUCAUCGAAACAAUGUCCUCUCCUUCUUCUUGGGACUCUUUCUCCCUUCUAUCUGGUGUUUGACCGUUUCUCUCUUCCCCUCUCCUUCAUGCUCUGUCUUCUUCUUUAAUCUAUUCCACAUUUUUCAUCUUUUCUAGACUCUAAAGCUAUCGCAAGGGAGAUAAAGGCAUACCCGUAAACGCAUCCACCAAUUUCAUCGGGUGGGAGACUCUGGAUUUAGACCUUACAAGACUCUAACCAAUAUUUCAUUCCUCUUACCAGCAUCGUGGAUAAUUGUCACCCAAUAAGAUUAUUGUAGCAGUACUACUGGUUCAUUUUUAGCUAGUCUUUUUAUUAGUAUAUGUUUAGUAACAAGAUCAUCUGGGGACCUCAUGAUGAGCUCGAUUGAUAGUUUCAUUCACGUGGAAUACUGCUUUAGCACAGCAGUUGAUCAGGAAUCAAAGGCAUAGACUCAAAUAGAGUUGGUGCAAUAAUCUGAUCAAUCCCAGGAUUCUGACUGUUAAAAGAAGUGAAGAAACGUACUGCAUUUUCUUUCCCGACUUUGAGUUGGAGGUGCAGCACUAAUCCUGGUGGGAUCACAAACUCUUCACCAGAAAGAUCACAACUUAAGUAAUUUCCACUACAAAACAUUCACCGUUGAUACCCAGCCAACUGAAAGUCUCCCCUCCAUGACGAGGGAUGACUCGGUUGACGGAGGAACUCGAUGCGAUUCAUUGACAUCCCUACGUUGAGACUGUCGAAUAUUUAGUUCGCUGCCCCAGUCUUGCAGCCUUCAAAGAAUUUUUUUUUUUUUUUUUUGGUUCUAAGGGGAACUACAAGCCUUAACAUAGGAAAGAAGUAAUAAUAAUAAUAAUAAUAAUAAAAAAAAGGGUAAAGAAACAAAAAAAAAAAAAAAAUCAUAGUAAACCUACUACACAGAAAAACUCCCUGUAAUUUCAAAACGCACAACAUGAUACCCGAUACUUUAAACUAAAUUAUAAAAGUGACGGAAUCCUUUAAAUUUGAUGGAAAUGGACGAAAUGACCCGAAUGUCCUGAUAUAAUUAAGCAAAAGACAGUUCAAAAAAAUCAUUUGUUUCAUUCUCUAGAUAGAGAGAAUUGAGGUUUAAGGGGUAGAACAGGUAUGUUUGUUAAAAAUUAAGUAUAAAAAAAUUUUUUUUUAGAUUCCAAUAAGUCAUUUCCGUUAAGUUUAACGAAUUCCGUCGUCUUUACAAUUUAGUUCAAAACAUGAGAUGUCAUGUUGUACGUUUUGAAACUACGGGGGCUUUUCAGUGUAUUAGGUUUACCCCAGGAGUUGCAGAUCCGCAACGCAGUAAUCCUGCACUGGACUUGGAUCAGAAGGCAAUAAUGACACGAGUGAGUGACAAAAUUACCAAAGCAGCUAAUAACAUUGUGGGAGACAACAGGCUGACUUCUUAGUUAAUUGCUAGUAAUAUUUAUACUAAAAGAAGUAGGCUUGCAAGAGAUCAAACAAGGGGAUGUAUUUAAAGGUGAUGUUGGCGGGUGAUCAUUCCAAUAUGAUCGGAAAAAAUGUUCAAGAAGGAGGCACAUCUGGUUCUGAGGUUGGUCAGUUUUUUGCCCAAAUAUUGAACCUCCUCCUUCAACUAAGGCUGUAUAAGUUCUGAGCUGGUAUACAAAUCCAGCCAUGCCAUGAUUUUGUUUUAAUUCAUUAAGAUCCAAAAGGGUUCAGGCUAAGCACUUGACUUUGCUGUUAAACAAUAAUGUAUUAGCUACUUAAUUAUCAUUGGGGGACAGUUCGUCGUCAUUUUGCAUCUUCAAGCACACAACAGUUUAUAUAUGUAUCUAUAUAUAUACCAAUGACAUAUGCCAUGACGCUGUCCACUAAGUACUUUCUGAUGGCUGCAUUUGUUAUUUCUUUUUUACUUUGAGGGAAAAUUCCGUCUAUAUAUGUCAUAAGAGAACUUCUCCCUCAAGAUAGAUUUGCUUUAAAAAAGGACAUGAAAUCAUUUUCAAGCUAUAUAUUAUUGAUCUGAUCAGAUCAGAUCAGCAAAGGAUUCACUAUCACAGCUUUCCACCGUACCGUUUGCCCUCCCGCAACUCCAACAUGUUCAGUUACUACUACAAGCCACACCAUUUUUUUUUUUAUCACCUCUGACGUCCUUUACCCUACUACUGAACUGAAGGGUCUAAAGAAGACUUAUCGCAAAUUGGUGACAACCUGCAAGAGCAUCAUCCAUCAUCUGCUAAUCGUUUGAGCAUGAUCAACAUCGAUUACAAUAACGAUUGCACCGGACCAGGAUUGAGCUCCCCUCUAAUGAAUAAUAUAAGCAAAAUGAGGAAUGAAGCCUUUGAGGCAAACAACCUUGUACCAAGGCACUUGCAAAUAAAAAUAAUCCCCCUUCAAUCAAAGCAUCAUAAGCACCUGUAUGUAUGCUAGGAGAUCUAUUAGCAGAAGACUUGUAUGUUUUUUUAUAAAUAAAGAGAUCAUGAAUGAAGAAUUUAAGACCAUUUCCAAUCCUUCAAUACAAGACUUUAUAAUGAUUCUUUCUUUUUUCUUUUUUUUUCUCAAUAGUAACUACUAGUGUUAUUUCUUAGUUCAUGCUCUAAAUUCUAACCCAAAAAAAAUUACAAAUGAUGGUAGCUAUGAUCUUCAAACCUAUUAGAAUGCAAGUGAUUUCUAUGCACUUGAGCAUGUUUGAAUUGACCGUGGACUCUUGAGAGAAAGAGCCAUAGUCAUUAUUUAACUGGCUAAUUUAGUGAUGAAACUGGCUAGUUUGCCAGAUAAAAUUGCUGGCUUCAUUUGGCAGCAAAAUUCGAGUUUUCUAUUGCUUUUGUUUUUUUCUCUAAAGGUUUGCAAGCUAAAGUAAAGUUUGAAGUUUUCUUCUGAUCUUGUCCCAUAUGCUGUCUAAUUUAUUGACUCUCCCCUUUCUAAUAAUUGAGCAUUUGCAAUUGCUUUUGUCAUGUUGGGUUUGGCUGUGUUGCAGCAAUAAUACCAGUAUGACGUAGUAAUUAAAAUAUUAUCUUCUUUUGUCUUGUUGUUGAGAACGGACUAGAAGAAGCUAGACAAAGCAAAUUUCUUGAAUAUUGGUGCAAUAAAAAUAAAAAUAAAAAGAUUGAGUAGAGGGGGUUUUCUUGUUAGUGGAUUUUUUUUUUUUUAAAUCUGAAAUAGCCUGCAGUGUCUUUUUUAUUUUUUUUAUUUUGGACAAGGUGGGCUGCCUUUGUUUUUUUCAGGUCCCUGCUACACCAGUUGGGAUCCUCUAUGCCACUAUUCGGUGCCAGCAGAGGCUAGUUUGUAAAUGAGGCGGCCAACUUUUAUUAGUAUUUUUUUAACAGGGCAUGGCGGCCUCCUUUUUUUUUUUUUUUCUUUUAAAUCCAUAGUGAUUACGGAGUAAAGCAGGAAAUGGCACUUGGGAUCCUCGGUGACAUGUUUUCUAUGCCAAUCCAAUGCCACCAAUAGUAUUGCGCCAAGUGUCAUGUUAUUAUUUACACUUGUGUUAAACUAAGCCAAAUUAAAUUAUUAGAAAAUUAAAGUGUAAACAAUAACAUGACACUUGGCACAAUACUAUUAGUGGCAUUGGAUUGGCAUAGAAAAUAUGUCACCGAGGAUCCCAAGUGAGGAAAUGGAGCUCCAAGUUACCACAUAGAAUCAAGUCUUUAGUUCGUUUAGAUAGCAUAGGUUACAAUAUAUCCGAGUUUCUAGGAUAAGGGAACAUUACUCCUUGUUUCCUUACUUAUAUCGGUUGUUUGAAGGUCAAGUUUAUGUUCCCUUCAAUUUCCUACUUUUUUUUAAAUUAAUAACAUAACUGGGCUGGCUGCCAACCCCCGUGUACGUGUUUGCAGUGUUGUUAGACCCGGAUCAAACCGGUCGGUUUGACCAGUCCGAUUGUGAAUUAGUCUUUUUUUUUAACAGAUUUGUAGUACAAAACUGUUAUGGUCAAAAAUCGGUUAAAUCAGUGAUCCAAUUUUAUUGGUUGAUCCGAUUCUCAAAAUUUUCUUUCUUUUUUUCCCCAAAUAUAAUCUGAAUUAGUUAAAUUGUAACACUUUCAUUUAUUAAUAGGAAUAAGAAAAUGCCACACAAUUAGUGUAAAUACUAAAAGCACUCGCUUUCUUGAAUGAUCUCUAAAUCAAGAUGUUUUCGUCCCUAUAAUCUUAUCAAUUUAGCAUCAGUGAUUUCAACUUGUAUUAAUUUGUUUUAAUUUUAGUUUUCCAAGUAGUUUUGGAGAAUUGACAUAUUUGGCCAUGAAUUUAGAUUUUUAUAUAAAAUUAUUAGAUGCAUAUUUGAUUGCAAGUCUAAUAUUUUUGAAACAUUUUCUAUAAUUGACGUAAUAUAACCGAGAAUUUAAUUUCAAUAUAAAAUAUAAAAUAAUUAUGACAUCAUGCCAAUAUCAGUGAAUUUUUUAGAACGAUCAGAUCGAUCCAACCAGUUGACUCUUAAUCUAGCAAUUUAGCCGAAUCGUUAUCCGAUUCGAGUUUAAUAACAAAUUUUAAAUUGGAGUGUUUGGAUAGCCAAAAUAUUUUAAAUAAUAUUUCGCUUGCAUCAUAAACACAUUUCUCAAUCCACUUUUUUAUAUUCUCAAUUAUCUUUUUAUUUCACAUACAUCACAUCACAAAAGUUCUACGGUAAUUAUUUCAAAUAAUACUCUAUCCAACCAAUUGCAUUUAAUAACGUUGCUGAUUGUGGAUGAUUUAAUAACAAUUUUUCGGCCAUCUUGUUGAAGAUUGUUAGCUUUUUUUAUCUAUAAAGUGGUUUUCCGUGUUGCAACUUAAUUGGUUUAUCUGCUCUGACCAUAAAAUUUUUAAGGAGGGGUAGCUUACAUAAAUAAAUGUUGUGUAAAAUUAUUCACAAAUAAUGCGGAGUCUCUUUUUCUGCUGUGAUUUGACGUGCGACGUUGCGAAGGAGCAGAAGUGUGGACCACAAAACAUCCAAUCAGUUAGGACACACAGCAGCCCAUGUUGAAAAUUCUACCUCCAAAUGCUAUCAUUGCCAGGGAGAGAAGAAUGCAAGUGAUGCAAGAAGUGGCACAAUCCUGGAAGAUAUUUUAUGAAUCUUAAUAAAUAAUUUUUUAACAAAUGUUUUUUUUUUUUUUUUUCGGUUAGAAGGGAGGGUAAUUCAUUCGGUCAUCAUUUGACAAAGUUUGCCGUUAGCUUGCUUGGUGAGAUUUCUUGUAAGCAAUCCCUUCUUCCUUUGGUUGGUUAGAUUAGCCAAAGAUGAUGUAGAAGCAAUUGGGUCCAAAUAUGUAGACCUUUCUUAUUUUAUGCAAUACAUACACCGUUACCGUUUGGCAAAGAAAAAAAAAUUAUAAUGUUGCUUGAGGUUCUCACCUCAUUAACUUGGUAUUUAACUGUUUGAAUAAGAAUAGUUAUUUGAAUAAUAGAUUAAAAUAUUACACAAGAGUUAGGAUCAACAACCGUUUGAAUUAGCUAUUUUUUGGGGUGUUUUUGAAAAAUUUUGCUGUAGCAAAAUUUUUAGAUUAUAUUUUGGGUUAUUUUCAGAAAAUAUUUUGGGAUAUUUAAGAGCAAAAGAGUUUCUAGAAUAUAUUUUAAGAUAUUUUUAAAAUUUUAAAAAAAUUUAAACUAAUUUUUAGAUUACCUUUUAGAGUAUUUUUUAAAAUUAUUUAUUGUAUUUGAAAAACUAGUUUUUGAAAAACAAAAGUCAAAAUUUUUGGUAUUUAUUUUAUUUUUACUAAUACUUCUAUUUUUUAGUUCACGUCAAUUUAUUAGCAAUAAAAUUGUAUCUCUGGUUGAAUUUUCUUUUGCCUAUUUGUGGUUUCUUUUAUUUGUGUUUUGUAUUCCUAUUGGUAUCGCGUUUGUCAUUUAUUUUUCCAAAGUUCUAAUAAUCACAUCUAAUGAAGAAAUUAGCAUUUUCUUAGUCGCUAUUUUAGAGUUAUACUAAGUAAUUGUAUACUAACAUUAUUGAAGUGAUACUAAUCCCCUAUACGAAUAAAAACUAAGAGUUGGAUUGCUAUAAAACGUUUUCACGAAGAGAAAUUAAACAAGAUUGCUUUGUCGAUACUUAGCAGUUAUACAAAAUGCUAAUUGCAUAACAAGAUUAAUUUUGUAUUAAUUGUAUAGCGUAUGCUAAUAUAAGGAAACUAAGAAUUAAAUUGAUAGAUUACAUGUUUUACAAAGAGAAAUUAAACGAGAUUCAUUAGUUGAUUCUUAAAAAUGGCAAUGAUAAACAUGUUGAUUUUAAAAUUAAGACCAUAUAAAUAUAUAUAUACAUAUAUAUAUAUAUAUAAGUUAAGGAAAUUUUUGCGAGACCUAAACCUUUUCAUUUUUUUUUUGGGGGGGCGGCUGCCCAUGCCCCCGUCCGCAAAAUCCCCAUCCCUAGGUAUGCCUAUUGCAGAGACAAAAUGAGUGGGCGCAUCUGCAUGGUUUUCCGAUCCUCCUUUUCAGUCAACUAACAGCUGCCGAGCACCGCGCAUGGAUGUGUCACUGGGUCCCCAACUCUAAGGGCUAGGGCUGAUCUCGAUGACACCAGAUUUGAAAUUAAAGUUGGCCCAGGAGCAGGGCAGUACACGAAUCGACUCGUUUGGUUAAUAUCGAAUUCGAUCUAAUUAAGUUGACCUCGAAUUUGAUUAUAUAUUUUUUUAUAUUUUAUUUUUAUAUAUCAAGCUUGAUUAUAUCGAGUUUGAUUAUUUAUUUUUAUUUUUAUUUUACAUAUAUAUAAUUCGAGUUCAAAAACAUUAAUUUCGUUGGACUUGCGAGCUCAAUUAUAUAUAAUUUUUUUAUUUUUAUUUUAAUAGUAAAAUUAUAAAUAUAUUUCUAAUAUUUUCUUAUUUGUUAAGAAGAAUUACUAUUUUACUUAUUAAAAUAAUUAUUUUUUUAUUUUUUAAAAAAUAAAAAUAUUAUUAUUUAUUAUUUUUUAAGUUCGAGGUCGAAUUUGACAUUUUGAACUCGUCGACCUCGAACUUAAAAUUAACUGAAGACUCGACUUGAUUAGAUCAAAAGUCGACUCGACUCGACUCGUUUACACCUCUACCUAGGAGUAUUGGUGCCAUGCAAUGCACGAGGGCUUCUUCUUCAGUUCUUCUAUAAAUACACCGCCAUACUCGUUCCUUGGGACAUCAAAGCGUACAAGCUAAUUCCUAGCAAGUAUACAUAACCUAAUUACCUUGGGCUACCUACCCUCUAGCUAGCAAAUGCAAAACAUGGCUUCCUACAAUGUUAUUCACCUCGUCAUUUGGCUGACAUUCUUGUCACUUGUGCAGCUACCAAUGCGUUCCCAUUGUGCUGAUCCUGGUCCAUUGCAGGAUUUCUGUGCUGCGGAUUUGAACUCCCCGGUGCUUGUCAAUGGGUUUCCGUGCAAAAACCCAGCGAAUGUAACUUCCAACGACUUCUUCUUUGAUGGGCUGCAAAAACUGGGAACAGUGUUCGAUGCCCUCAAUGUGAACCUCACCGAAGUAGACGUCUUCGCAUUUCCAGCGCUGAACACCUUGGGGAUGUCCAUGAACCGAGUUCAAUUUCAUCCCGGAGGAGAAAACCCGCCUCAUAUCCACCCUCGUGCUACCGAGUUGUCCCUGGUCACGGAGGGGAAACUGUUUGUGGGAUGGGUAUCAACUGCAUAUACCCUGAACUGGAAAAUUCUGACGGCAGGACAAGUGUUCGUGAUUCCUCCAGGCUUAGUGCACUUUCAGCUUAAUGUUGGAAAGGGAAACGCACUAUUUUAUGCCUUCUUUAACAGUCAGAAUCCAGGGAUUUCGAAAAUAGCCCCCGCUCUCUUUGCUUCCACGCCUUUGAUUCCAGAUCCAGUGCUCACAACAGCAUUCAAUGUGAAUAAAACUAUCAUCGACCUCAUCAAGUCCAGGGCUUCUGUGCUGAUUCCAUAAGCUCCAAAUAAUUAAUCCCCGUCGCUUCUUAUCAUCUACCAAACAAGAAUGAUACUCUGAUAUCAUUCACCCUAAAGUCUGGUCUUUUCUUUGCAAUGUAUAAACCAUCUGCAGAUGGAUAAAAUAAAACAUCCGAGGAGUCAGAUGUUCCUAGUCAUGAAAUAAUCCUCGUCUCACCACAUGAAAAAUGUGGAUAUAUUUGUUGUGAAGUUUGUACCUUUUUUCUUUUUUCUUGAAGUUGAAGAUGGAUGGAAUGAGUGUGCUUUACAUCAAAAGGGCAUGUGUUACUCUUAAUCUUCUUUGCAUGAGACCUAACAAGUCACUGCUAUAUAAACUAUGUAAAGGAUGCUAAUAUAUAUUAAGGGUUAAUUACAUUUACCUCCCCUGAGGUUUGAUACAUUUACCUCCCCUGAGGUUUGAUCAUAUUGCCAAUCAAUCCCUGUAAUUUGUCCAAAUAACAGUCUCACCCUUUGAAUGAUCAAACAUUUAACAAAAACCCCCCUUAAUGUCGAAAAUGCCCUUAUUGAGGCCAUAUUGCAUUAAAAAAAAGAACAUAUUUUUAUUUAUUAAACCUUUCAUCAUAUAAAGUAUUAAAUUAAUCCAUUACAUGUCUUAUUUUGUACAUAUAUAUAUUUAUAUAAAUAAUUUUUUAAAAAAUUCAUUGAACCGAGGUUGAACCGAUCCGACCGGUUGAACCUCGACCUUUUCACUUCACCGGUUCAAUGAACGGUCCGAUUUUUAAAACAUUGAGCAAGAGUGGACAUAGUCAUAGUAUCGACUUGGCACAGCUCUCAAAAAUACGUGUACGUGCGGGCGAAUGUGAUGAAUGACCUGCACCUGCCAGCCAUAAUACAUAGUUCUACCCUACGGGUUAAUGCUAUGCUAUAUAGUACUAUAUGCAUGGCUCCUCCUGGUUUUUCCAAUUACUGGAGCUGGCUAUAUAUGGGUCAAAACUAUUUGAUAAUUAAGUAGAAAGUAAAUCAGAAAGGGAUGAAAACUAUUUCAGAUUGUGACUCAGUGAUGGAACAACAUAUUUAAGAUUUUGGAGUCACGGGGCAAACAGUUUAAAGAUUAAGACUGUGAAUCCGUGAUAAUUAAUAAUGAGGUUUUUGAUUGUGACAGAGCAACAGAAGUGGAAUUGAAACCAAUACUCUGAUUAAGACCAUACAAAAGUAAAAUUUUCAUUUAAUUUCAAGGUGUGACCAUAUCCUUUUUUACCACUACGUACCAGGAUUAAUUAGUUGUCACAGUACUCAUUAGUUUGCCUUCCGCUUCUACCUUUCCCUUCUAAGGAAGGAAACACAUUCUUGUUGAAGUUGAUCAGCCCUCACUAUUAAUUGCAUGAUCAGGAGGCACUGAUCAAGACACAGGUGAACGAAGUUUACAAAUUUUGUGGUGUGCUAUAUAUAUAUAUAUAUAUAUAUAUAUCAAACAAGAAGGGAAAAGGUAAUUGACGAGUAGAUGCUGAUAUAUAGUUUAUGGGGGUCGAUAUAGAAGUUUUAUUCUUGGAGGGGAUGAAUGAAAUAUCUGAUUUGUGUCAUUGACUAUGGAAGCUAUGAAUGACAAUGGGACAUUAAUUAGCAGCCCCCUCAGUCUAUAUAGUACGUAUUAAUUAUCCGGGACUAUCACUAUUGGCGAAGAACUUGUCCUUUUCACAAAUUGUUGUGGUAUAUAUAUAUGAUCAAUUUUCUUUUGCUAUGCUGCCGAUUCGUGGUUCUUCUCAAUUCUUCAUGUCUUUGUCAGUCCUCUGCCAUACCUCACUCUAAGAAGAAUAUAAAGAAAGAAAAGAAAAAGGAGUACUACAAAUGUCGCGACUGACGAUCAGCAGCCUUCUAAUCUUCAGAAAAAAGACAAAAGUUUCCUUCUCGUUCUUACUUCUUGCUCUCUCUAUGUCAAUAACUAUGGAGUUAACCUCCACCAGAUGGUACUGACUGUAGCUUCUUUCUCUUUGUUUUUUUUAACCAGUUUGACGAGUAUAAUUUAUGUACAUGCUCUCAUCUUAUUCCUACACCUCGGAUACCAUUUUCUACACUUCUUCACAAGAUUAUGUAUGUGCAUAUAUAUAUAUAUAUAUAUAUAUAUUUGGUGCUGACGGAAUUGCACACACUGCAAGAGAAAGCUUAUUCUAUCAUUUUUUUUUUUUUAAACGUCACUAUUUUGUAUAUGGCUAAUACUUGAUAUUACAAGAGAGAAGCUUAUAGUAAUACAUGUAUUUUCAUUUAUUGGGAAGGGAUAUGAUUAUUUUAAAUUUAACUAAUCAUUACCUUCGUUAAUAAAUGAAGAUACGUGUGGAGGAAGUGAUGAUGGUCAUCUUGGACAUGAAUAGUAGGAUUAUUAUCUAACUUGUAUAUAAGAUAAGAAAAAGCCAAUUUACUGUAGCAACCCGUCUUGGACUUGGAGGCCUGGGAACGAAAGCACAUUCACCUGAGUGAGAAUCACUUCACUUUGAGAGAAUUGAAGAUUGCUCCCCUUAAUUUCCUUGAGACCAUCGCUGAAGAAGUCGUCUGAAGUUGUUACAUGAGCAGGGUUUUUGCAGGGAAAGCCAUUUACGUGCAAAGGAGAUUUCAGAUCAGCAAUAAUGCAGAAAUCCUGCAAUGGACCAGGCUCAGCACAAUGGGAAGGCAAUGGCAUGGUAGCUGGCUGGCUAGCAGAACUGAUGACAAAACUGCACAGGACAAAAUCAGAUGAAUAUUAACAUCGCAGGAAGAAGCCAUGCAUAUGUGCUCAAAUUUGCUAAGGAAGCCACCGAAUGAUAUAUAGCUUCGUAGUUUGCCAGACAAAUUAGACUUAAAGUUGUGUGCUUAUCGAGCAGUCUGAUGUUUCGCUUGCCUGUGCAUGGGGAAGGCACGACUAGUUCCUUGUUGACGGCAGUAUUAGUGAUUAAUUUGCUGCCAACCUACUCCGUAUGAUACAAAAUGACAAUGCUUAAAAUGAAGGAAGCUUUUAGAAAGCUAUGUAGGGAAGGAAGUUAGAAAAGGUAUAAAAUGAAGAUAUAUUUCAGAGAUUAUUAGUUCAAAUUUCCUAACAGUACUGUGGCAAAUCGUACACCUAAUAUCCCUUAUUUUGAAUAGGUCUAUGACAUUCAGUACAAUUUUGAGUUAUAUCAUCGUAGAAGGUAUACACCACAUCCUGUGCCGCCACCAUAAAUCUUCCUUCCUCUUGGUGUAAAAAUUAUUUAAAGGGAAACCACCACCAGCAACACCCCCCCCCCUCCCCCCAACAGUACUGUGGCAAAUCGUACACCUAAUAUCCCUUAUUUUGAAUAGGUCUAUGACAUUCAGUACAAUUUUGAGUUAUAUCAUCGUAGAAGGUAUACACCACAUCCUGUGCCGCCACCAUAAAUCUUCCUUCCUCUUGGUGUAAAAAUUAUUUAAAGGGAAACCACCACCAGCAACACAGCCCCCCCCCUCCCCCCAACAAAUAUUCAGGGGCCUAAACAUGCUAGAGUACAUGUGCAUAAUAAACUUGAGACCUAUCUAAUUCUAUAAUCAUUUCUUAUCACAUGCACAAUCACAAACAGGAUAUAUAUACGUGUUGACCUAACUUUUGAUGUCCCAUAAUUCCCUCAAGAACAGUUGAUCAGAGAAAACAGGAUAACUUUCACAUGAUUACCUCAUUAUCAGGCUCUGGAUGAUAUGUGAUUUCUUCUGAGAAUCCAAUGUAGGAUCACGGGACACUCUUCUUAUUGCAGUUUCCAGCUCCUUUUGAUUUAAUUCCAGUGGAUGCUCAUCAUGGCACGCCUGAAUGUUUUGUCCAGCUUUAUCAGCUUGAUCAUCAACAAUUUGCUGAUCAGUUUUCUUAUCAAGUUCUUCACCACAGUUGACUAGAUCUUCAUAUUUAUCAUUGUUUUGACCGCCUUUGAAAUCUUUUGAAUAUGGACAUAUAUACCCAGAAUGCUCAGCAUUGUUAUCAGAAACUUCUUUUCCUGAAAGUUUGCUUUCUCUGCAUGUUUGUUCCCCAGAUACACUGAGACAACUUCCAGAGGGUUAGCAGCCAAGGAAGGAAAAGAGGAUUCUUCUUCAUCCUUAGCAACACAAUAAUCUUUCAUAUCUUCCCACCAUUCUCCUAACCAUUGUUCAAAAUUGGUAUUUUUUGUAGCCCUACGCCACAGAGAAAUCAGGGCAUGUUGUUCAUCUUGGGUUAAAGCUGACAUCAACCAGGGUAUCAUUUCUUGUAGAGUUUCAGCUCUAGUUCUGCCAAGCAUACACCCUAACAUCUUUUCUUGUUCCUCAGUGGAAAAGUAUUCUCCAAAUAAAGGCCAAAGUUGAAUUUCUUCACGAUGAAUAUGCCCCGAGAUUAUUUUCUGCAUAGACAGGCAAGUCUCAUGGAGCUUCAAACACAUCUGUCGAUAUUGUAGACUUCCCUCACCCGGUUUGUCUAGAUCAUCAUGCAGGGUGGCAAUGUCAUUUAGCAGAGAUGAAACUUUGGCAAAGUUUUCCUCCUCCAAUUUAUGGUCAAUGGUGUAAGACUGGGUAAUGUUUUUGAGUUUCCCCUUUGAUUCUAGAGCCGGAAAGACAACCUCAUCCUCUGAAGCACUGUGAAUGUCAUACAGAAACUUUAGAAGUUCAAAAUGUCUACGUAAAUCAGGGAUAAACUGAAAGCUUUUGGCCAUGUUAGCUGAAAGAAAGACAAUGUAGUCCAGAUCUCUUAUGAGAGCUUUGUGAAAGCACACAAAAUGAUCCAUUGGUCUUGAUUCUAGAGCCAAAACUUUUUUGGCAAUGCCAUUCUCAGCAGGAUGUCUCACAACGAAAGAAUAUUGCUCCACAUUUGAGGGGAGAAUUUAUGAAGAGUCAUUCCACCAGAUUCAAGCUUCUCAUUGGUUUUGGAAUGAGAAGAUGAGGGGUUCCAGACCAUCUUGUUAUCUUUUACAGCAGGGCUCGGCUCAGAUUCUAUGGUGUUAAAUAUAGUGCAGGCUUGCAUAUCAAACUUUAAAUUAGAAAACCCAACAUCCUCCCCAAUUCGAUCAGAUGUGAAAUAGAUUCCUCUGAUAAAAUUUUCUUGCAGAUCUUUUGCAAACCUUUCCAUGGAUAUUUUACCUAAAUAACCCAUGCGAACCCAACUAUGCAACAGAAUUAAAAUUGGCUUGUUGCCUAAAGGGCAUGCAUCUGUCAUGGCAUCCAGCAUGGUCUUGAACUGCUCAUCCAAUAAAGUAGCAGAAAACCAAAGAACAGCGCAUUUUAACAACCCAAGAGGCAUAGUUUUGAGACCUGCAUAUAACAGCCACAGCAGCAUAUUAUGGCUGCACUUCUUGCCAAUAGAAGAAUAUACCUGUAUGUGACUAAAAACAAGGUUAAAUUCAUAAAGGAGGAAACAUAUUUCUUACAAAUAAAAGCAGGCAGAAGUUUAUUGGUUGUCCAAAAAGAUAUGGUUUAGUACAGUCUGUUAUCUGAUGCCCUAAUCUGCCAGUGCUAGAAAUAAGUGGAGAAGAUGAAUAUUAUUUUCCAAGAUUUUUUUUCCUGCAUCUUCAGGGUUUUACAUUAGAGGAACUGACACAACAUCAUACCUCUGUUUCUAUAUGUGUCAGGUUUUGGCUAAUUCCUCUCACAAGCAACUCCACUUCCCUGCAAAGGCCCUUCAGGAAAUUGCUUGGUUGUGCUCCAUCUUGAAGCACUCCGUACAGCAAGAAUUGAAGUCUUUCGACUUGACCUUUCUCCACAAGUCGUGUGCAAGAUAAUGGUAGGACAUUCUUGGAAAGGUCAUUUACCAGGGGAAAAAAUAUUUGAUUCAAUGCGUUGCUGCAGAUUAAACUCUAGUAUUAGAAAAAUAUCUGGUCAUUGAAGAUUAAAAGGUAUUUCUGAACAUGCGUCAAACCUUCAGCAAACAAUUUUAGUUUUGUCACAAUGCAAAAGAAUAUUUUCAUCUCAUUGUUUUUCAUGAAAAGUUUCAGCAACUAAAAAGGCCUCUGAGGUAAAUGGGGCAUUUCAGCAUAACUUCAAUUCAGAAAGAAUAUAUACUGCAUGUGACAGUUACUACAGCUUCUCACGCUGCUGAGUAGAAUAUUUGAAGCAAAGGACUGACAUACUUUUGGAACAGCCAACAACAUCCAAACUUAAGCUUAUCUUCUUGGUCUAAUUGAUUUAAAGAAGAUAUAACAAUAACUUGGAGACCACUCCUGAUUGAGCAGAAUUGCUUAUUGGGAACUAUCAAUUAAUAUGGAGGUUACCUGUAGGAGAUAAGGACAUCUAAAAGGAAUUGUAGCUGAACUACUAUGGAAGACAAGUUUGACAUGUUGUUCGAGCUUCUUAUUUGGUAUAACUCAUCCAGAACUUUCCUGAAAUCUCUUGCAAGAGCAGUAUUCCAAAUGUAAAUGCCAUCAAGUGGGUUUGGUCCUAUAGAUGUGUAAAAGGAACAGAGCUUUGAUUUUUCUUCUUCACCAAAAUCAAAUGUAUUUGGAUGUAUCUUGAGUAUCUCCAUGGAGCUAACGUGUCCACUGUAAAAUUGAGCUCCUUGUCCAUAGACAUUGCAGGCUUCAGGAGGAGAAGGUUUCUUAUUAUUAAGCCAAGAGAUGACCACCUUUAAGAUGGAAAUCAAUACAUCAAGUUGGGAUUAUAGACUAUGAUCUUGAAGCUAAAUGUUAUUGUCUACCUCUUCAAGCACUUCCUCCUUGGAUACAACAAUCUUCAUGCAAUCCAGAAGGUCUAGUUGCUCAUCUGGAGGAAGAGAACAAGCCAUCCACGGCAGAAAAUCUUCCAAUAAAGCAAUAGGAACACUGCAGAUAUACUGCCAAACAAGCUUAGCCUGUUCUUCAGAAGGGAAUUGUCCUAUCAGCAAAGGAAAAACCUGCAACCAUUAUGCGGCUAAUUCAGUGUAGUUAAACUGCAGCUGCAAGAAACCAAGGAACUGAGAUAUUUGACUGUAAUAAGACUAAUUUACUGAUAAGUUGAUUAGUCAAAAACUUUCUGGGGGCUAAAAGAACCUUCAAAUUAAAACUAUUAUUAAACUGCAUCUAGUAGAGUAAAACAAGCGAAAUAACACUCUGCAGAGGCCAUCUAUUCCUGCAACCCACAACUCAAACACUCUACCUUAGCUUUCAUUUCAUUUGUCUGAAUAUAUAAGAAUAUUAAGCUGGAUGUAGUUUAGCAUAGAUAAAGACAGCAGAUCAUGUUAAGAUUUCUUUAUGUUGGUUAAAAUCAAGCAUCGGCUCAGCUAAAAAGGGGUGAAGAUGGUGUUUAAGUCUCAUCAGUCACCCAGAUAUUGCAUAAUUCUCACAUAUCACUUCCUCCUGGUUUUCUUUAAAAUUAUGCACAUACAAGUCAGUGCAUUCAAAAAUUGUUUAAAUACCUUUCAGAGACAACAUCAUCAUAACUCCAAUGCAAUAUAAAAUAAUCUUCAUCUCACCAAUUAUGUACUCCUUUAAUUUUCAUUUAUACUAAAGAACAUGUUUUAAUUACUGUUUAAUUUUGAUGGUCUUUCCUAUUUUAUGGCUUACUUGAUAAAGUUGUGUGCUCUCAUAUAUGUUUUCAGAUACAGCUAGGUUGCAUCAUGUCGAGUAUCCCACAAAGUUCUGCAUGAAGUGGACCAUUAGCAAGUUGUAAUGGGGUUUAUCUUAGCCAAAGAUAGCCUAAAUUUUCUAUUUUAUCUCUGCUAUGGAUCUCAAGGAGCAUGGGGAGAGAGUAGUGAAACAUAUGUUCUUCUUUUUUUCUUGUUUCAAGUCCUAACUGAGUUUGGAGCUCUCUUUGAUGGGAGACAACAAAGAGAAUGUCUCGUUAUCCUUCUUAAAUCUAGCCAUGCUGAAGAAAUUUCGUAUGACCUUGCCAAUCUUUUGGUUAGAAUGGUAUCGAUUGCGAGUCAUUUUGCGUGACUAUGCUUAUGGUUUAAUAAUUUCCAGAAAUUCAAAAUGUAGGAGUAUCAUAGUGGAAGGAAAGGAAAAGAAAAAGGAAAGAGCAAGGAGAAACAGAAUCCAGUUGAUCAAAGCAUAAAAAUCAGAGAAGUAACAACAUGUAAAUUGGAAGUAUACAAAGGAGAAGUAGUAAAUACCAAUUUUUCUUCCUUCAGCAUAUGCUCGCAGAUAGCGGACUUUAUAGAGCUGAUGCAGAAGAUGAGUUUUUGAAACAGAUGGGUAAAAUCUUCACACUCUUUUCUUAAAAGAUCCAAGCACUGGACUGUGGAGCAGAAGUCAUCAUUGAUGCACUUAUGUUCUAAUGCAGAUGUAGUCACCACGUUCUUUACUUUGCUAUUUAGAGCUGGAAAUACAAUCUGCCAAAAAUUUCAGAUAAAAAUUUCCACAGUAAUUGAUGAACUCAACGUUUAACAAAUUUAUUUCUUGCAUGAUAAGGAAAAAGAAUAGAAACAGAUCAAGUUGAUCAGGAGAAUCUCACCAGCUUAGUGCUAAUAAAGUAAAAGAAAGGGAAAUGUACUCAUUAUUUGAUGCUUGCUGUAUCUAGCUCAAUAUAUUUCCAGUCAAAAUUGUGUUCAGCUUCUCAGUAAGACAAUACAUUUCAGGACAGAUCUAAAAUGUUUUGGUAAAUUUUCUUCCAAUAUUUCACAAGUGAGCAAAACACUGAAAUAGUCUAAAUCCUCUGGGGAAACUUUGUGUGCCUCAGUAAGUUUGGUACAUAGGUUAGGAAUGAGGACUAAAUGCGUAAUAGAGGACGCCCUGAUGCUAUCCUUUGACGUUAUAUUGAAGAUGGUUUCAAAUCUUCCAUGUUGUUACGAUUUCCUUGUACCGGCUACGCCAAUCAUUCUAUUACCAGGUUAAGGAAUUGAAGUUCGUUCGGCGAGUAUUGUCAUAUAGAAGCCAGUUUCGAGGACUCUCGAGGGAAGCCUUAAGCAAACCCUGCGUCUUAAUUGCCAAUGAUGUGAGAAUUUCUGCCUAAUGACCUGAUGGCAUUUCUGAUAAAAUAACAGGGAAGGAGCUGAAGCAACUUAAUUGGCAUUUUUGAUAGUACAUCAAAUUGCCCCCCCUGGGAUCCUAAACAUUGAUUCUCCAUCACCAAAAACUAAAGUUUUAAUCUUUACAGCUACUACCAAAAUCAAGCAUAGUCACCACAUUUUCACCUCAAUCCUGUCUAAAGAACCAAAACCCUGUGCUACAAUCACAUCCGACAUUCUUAUGAAGUAAUGAUACAACAACAAAAAGGGAAAACAACACACGCCAUUUGUUCAAUGACAACAAAUCCCACAAUAUAAUUUUGCUCAAUAAAAAGAAACGAGAAAAGAAAUUAAUAGAAACACCUCCUCAGUCCUCACCUCAUCUUCCGCUGCAGCGUGUACUUAUAAACAAGCUUAAAGAAGUCAAACCUCCGGCCAAGAUCAUCCACAAACUGGCGAUCAGGGGACCCAAUGUCAGCCACCUCCAGGGCGGAGCGGUGGAGCUGCUCAAGCUCCCUGACAAAAGCCUUGUGAGAAAGAACAAAGAAAAGAAUAGGUGCAUCAACCAGUUUCGCACCAUCCAGGCAAGGUAAUAAGGCCUCUGUUACUGUUAUUGCAUCCUCCUCCCCAUCCUCCUUUUCGGGUUCUUCGCCGGCCAUUGACUAAAACAGUUCCACCUCCACAGCCACCACCUAUCAUUAAUGGUGAAAGGGGCCAAAGGGGAAGCUCAAUCAUCAAAGUUCGAGUUACUUAUACUAUUUGAUUGAUUGAUUGAUGCCACUGUCUUUCUUUGCCUGUUGGUUCGAGGGAGGCCUGUUUCUUGCCACUUCGAUGUUCAAACUUCAAACCGUGCUCGGCCUUUUUUAAUGCUCUGUUCAAACAACUACUAAUCUAAUAGUAGUAAUGGAGUAGGGGUGGAAUUUGCACUUAUCUAAUAAAUAUUACUGUAUUAUGACAAACUUAUUUAACUAGUGUGAAUGGUCCACAUAAUUAGCAUAAUCUGUGAAAAAAAAAAUUGAAUAUUAUUCAACUGGCAUCAUAAAUAUAAUUUUUCAAUCAUUUUUUUUAAUGAAAGAAUUGUGAAAAAUGCCCCUAGGCAUUUGUGGUGUUCUGCAAGUUACUCCCUCCGUCCCACUUUAAUAGUCCUGUAUUUCUUUUUCAUCUGUUCCAAACUGUAAUCUACUUUCCAAUUGAAGAAUGUAGUUGUAUUUUAAUUUUUUUAAAAUACCCUUAUUCAAUGUAAGCAGUUGUUACUAUAAACUUACCCCAUUUAACGAGAGUUGAUUCUUUUUUUACUAUCAAUUCAAGUUCCCAUAAAGUUAUACCAUAUUUAAUGUGAGGGUAUUUUAGAAAAAUAACAAUUUAAAUUUACUUUUUCAAUAAAAUUAACUACUUUUUUUUAAAUUGUGUGUAAAAAGAAACAGGACUAUUGAUAGUGGGACGGGGAGAAUAUUUCCUAACAUUUUCUUUUUGACAAUUCAUCCCAUUAACUCGUAGUAGUAGUAAUAAUGGUGACAGUUAACGGGUAAAGGACAAUAGUAUCACUGGUAAAAAAAAUGAAAUGACCACAUACCAUUUCCCAGCCGCUCUAAACUUGUCGGCAUUCUGUUUGGCAGUAUUUUGCUGUGGGGUGACAUAGGAUUAGCGUGGGAGGGAUUAAAGAAAGAUGGGCACGCCUGCACCAAUGGAUUCUUGCCACAUCAAUGUCCACUGCACUUAGUUUUGCGGUGAAAGUUCCCCACUGUUUUAAUCUAAGCCGUGCACACACGCUCCAGUCAUUUCCGUUUUCCACCUUCGUUUGGGGAAACAUAAAUUAUGCGGAGGAGAUUAUCAGAAUAGGAUCAAUAUGACAAUUUUAACAUUUCACUCAACUGUUUCUUCAAAAUUAUAUGGACAAGCAAUAGUAAAUAUUUGAUAAUUAAUGUUAAUAUUUUGUUCAUUAUCAAGAUGUGAACUUUCUUUUUUAAAACAAGGACGGAAAAAGAACAAAAAGAAAGGGAGGUGAUAAAAGAGCUAAACAUAAGUUUUUAUGCUAACUUGAUAAACACAGGUAAUAUAAUUUAGAUUGAUGCCAUUUCACUAAUUUUUCUGUAAAUUGUUUGGUUUAUUAUUUGAACAAACACAAGAGACCUGAGAUUUUAAAUGAGUGAUUAAUUAGAAAAGUUUAAAAUCAAUAGCAUUUCGUUAAUUUUAGGAUUUUUGUUAUUACAGAGGAGGUAAUCAUUAAUUUCUUCUAUUUUUAUUUACAAGACAAGACUAAUUGUUUCAGAUAAUGCGUGUCUGAAUAAGAAUAUCCUUGUGAACAAAAAUAAAAUUGACAAUUUGGGCAAAGCAAAAGCAACAAGGGAAAAUAGGAAUAUAAAUGAUAAGAUUUUUGUAAGUAAUGUUGAAAAUAUGUAUUUGAGUUAUAUAUGGAUUCUUUGACAAAAUUUGUACUAGCGAACAGCAUUAUACAUAAUGACGUCCAAAAUUAAUAAAAUGCAAGUUUCACAGUAUGAAUAAAAUAUAUAAUAUUCAAGUCUAUCAAUGAGAAAAUUGUUCUUGGCUAGUUAAUUAGAUAAUGUCUGUCAAAAGCAUUGAUUCAGCUAGUAUACUUUUUAAUCAAUUUGCAAAUCUUCUUAAUUAACUAAAUAACAUUAGAUCAAUUCCCCUCAAAAUUGAAAGAAUUUUCAUUGGAUUCUGAGCGUUGCACCAAUUGAAAAAAUUGCCUUUUAUUUAAAUGGUGUAAUCCUUUUAUCUUGAAUCUUGUACUACAUCUCAAGCAAAGCUAGUAUUUUGACGGUGACCUUGAGAAAUAUAUAACUCGAUUUGAUUGUAACCCUCAAAAUGUGAGCAAUGGAUCAUAUGACAGGAAUUAUGAAGGAAUUAUCAAAAAAAAAAAAAAAAAAGAAUGAUGGAGAGUUAGAGGGGCGUGGGUGGAGCGUCCAAGUAACAUGCUCCUCUGGCAAGUGGAACUUGAAGUAAGAAUUAGAGCAGAAAUUCAGAUAGUUAAAGCUCUCCUGACCGUAUGUGCAGAAAUUCAGAACUCCUGACUUGGGACUUGAGAGUUAGGUUUAACUACUUAUUUCUAAAUUUCUGAAAAAAAAAAAAAAAAAAAAAAAAAGCUCUCCUGACCGUAUGUGCACCUCACAACAGGCACGCGCAAUCGUCGCAUAUGCGCGUUCUGGCACGUGUCCCAUAUACUUUAACUUUCACCUUCCAAUUUUGCUUCUUAUAAUUAUUAUGACCUUCUUCUCAAUUAAUACAACUUUAAAGCAAAUACUUGGACUUUGACCGUCUACUAAUUUAUUAGUAGUUCGUUAAAGCAGCUGACUCUUAUUUCUGGUUAAUAAGAAGCAAGAACAAAGUCAACGUAAUAAUUAAGUCAAAUUAAAUACAAGAAAGGGGAAGUACAAACAACUUGGAGUAUCUUUUAGUUAAUAUUGCUUAAUAUUAGACUUUUACAUAUCUUUAUAAAAAUUUACAUGAGAGAAAUCUCAUGGUUCACAUUAGUCUAGUUAAAAAAUACUACAAUUUUGACUGCAAUCAUUCGUUAUGCUAUUAACAAUCAAACACUGUGUAAAAUCAUCCGUUUCUAGAUUUAUUCAUCAUCUAAUCGAGGUACGUUAAUUCGAUAAUUGCUGAAUAUCAACACUGGAUUAAGUUUUGAAUAACGUCUGAAUGCAACGAAAUGAUAAAUACAAAAGGACCGCCUUUAAAUGAAAACCUAAAUGUAAAUUACAUUCACUAAACACCUCUCAUCGAACAUCUAUUGAAAAAACUCGUGAAGUAAAGUUGAACGUCGAUCGCAAUUAAACUACUCGAUACUUUAAAAUAGGUGCUCACAAUGUGUCACGAACUUGUCGUAUUACGUUAGGGGUUCUGUGAUUACGCCCCAUGGUCAUUGUCAUCGUGAUAUUCAUAUCAGAUUUGCCAAUUUAAAUAUUUAUAAGCCGUACAAAAUCUAAAACCGUGAUGAUCUCUCGAGUUUUAUUAUGAUAACCAUGCUUUGUAGUUUAUUCAGCUCCACGCAUGCUGAUGGAAUAAUAAUUAGUGAUCACUGGCAGAAACAAAUUAAGGGGUGGGGCAGCGACAGGCAGCUGCCCCGGAGACUCCAGAAAUAUAUUCCCUUAAAAAUUACUAAUAGUUAUCUUUUAUAGCGUUGUAAAAAUUAAAUUUUGCUCCUCCCAAAAUUGUCGAGAUCAUUUAUGUUAGCUUAAAAGUUAAAAGUUUUCACUUAUAUACCUGUAAAUAUUAGACUCUACACUGAAAUAUUCCGCAAAAAUGUAAGGUUGCCCGGCCCCUUAAUAUAUUUUUUUUCCCCUGAUCAUUAGUUUUGCUCCCUCAAACUCCAACCUCUGGUUCUGCCAGCAUUGCUGUGAACGAUCCAAAUCAUCAUAUAUACUUGGAUAGAGGAUUAUUUGUCAAAAUUUAUUUGCUUACAUGUGAGAACCCUAACUUCCCUCAAUUUUCUUGGCCUUUGGCUUACUUUCUUUGCCCCAUUUUAGUGAAAAUUUGUCAACCCCUUUUGGUUUAAAGUAUGAAAGGUCGUGGAUAUGUGCAAUCAUGUAUGAGAUAUGUAUGGAUGUGUAUGUGGUAGAAAUACGUUUGAGCACGACAAUCGAAUUCGGAAGAAAAAAAAAAAAAAAAAAUUUUGGAAAGCUGAAGUGGCCAAAUCCGGCCGGAAAUCCGGCCAGUUUCUGGCCGGAUAGCUGGCCGGAUUGCCCUGCGUUUUUGAAAAAAAAAAUGUUUCCUCUCGGCCUCAUAUCCGGCCAGGAAUCCGGCCAGAAUCCGGCCGGAUUCUGAUGUGACACAGCCGGUCAGCAGCUUUGACCGGCUGUUUCUUCCUUCUUAUCCCCUUGGUUCACCAAAAUAUCUUCAUUUCCUCUUCUUGUCCAGCCGUGAGCUUUGAGAGCAAAGAGAGAAAAACUCUUCAAUCUCCAUCUUUGAUUUUUGCUUCAAUCUUGAAACUUCACCAAUGGAUUUUUAAUUCCCUCCAUACAAGUGAUCUUCUUGGAAGGUUAAAGCUUUUGGGUGGAGUGUUUUGGCAAGGGAAGCUUUGAAUUGCUAGUCUUCUUGAGUUGUGAGGUAAGAUGCUUAAGAAAGUUCUCUUUUACAUUGAUAAUGGUUAAGUUGUGAAUUAUAAGGGUUGGAAAUGUCAUUUUGUGAGUGAUAUUGUGAUUUGGGUUGAUUUAUGGUGACAUUUUAUUUUUUUAUUAUGAUUUUUCUAUUUGAAUUUGAUGUUGUCUAUGUGGCCAUGUAAGAUGAAGGGGAAUGAUAUAGAAUGAGGCUAGUUAAUGUAAAUGAUGGUUUAAUGCAAGGAAUUCUUGUUUGAAAGGAAAUUUGGAAAAGUUAGGGUGUCACACCCUUCAAUUCUGGCCGGCCCUGUUUAGCAUAGUUAGAGGCCGAAUUGGCCUUUGCUUAAAACAUGAAAGUUGUAGGUAUUGAUGUGUUAGAGGUGUCUGUAAAAUUUCAGGUCAAUCGGAGUAAUGUAGAGUGAGAAAAGUCGAAUUUACCCCUGCUGCUCUGGUUUCAUCCUAACUUGGGAAUUGUUGCAGUAAUUAGCUAUUUUGGCUAGGAAAACUUCUGAACUGGUUGUAGAGGUCUUCUAAUGAAAUGUAGCCUGAUGUCCUAGCUAUCAUUUGGCUUUGGAAUCAAUGGAUUUGGACCUAAGUAGACCGAAUUAUAGUUCGUUAACCAGAACGUGGUUUGUCCACCUGUAUUUUGCAGUUCUGAACUAGUGUCUUGUAUUUUUGACCUAGUUUCACUACAAACUGGAUUAAGUGACCUUCUACAUUGUUGUAGCCCUGCCUCUUAGUUUCGAAACGGUGGGUCUUACACCCUAAACCAAUAAUCGUAGUGCCUUUAGUGCUAUUUCCGCAAAAUGUUGUCACGCAUUGUUUUAUCUGAAAGUGUUUCUAGCUCGCUUUUCGUAUUUAUUGUUGUAUUUAUAUGAAUUUAAGCCUAGUGAUCGGCUUUUGGACAUGAGGUUAUUCUAUAUGACAUGUUGGGACUGAGUUGAGAAAAUAAUGAAGCCAUUAAUGGCUGGAAAAUAGGUAAACACAAGGGACAUGCCGUCCGUUUGUUUUCUUGGAAAUUGAAUGAGUUAAAGUGGUUUUUGGAAAUGUAUUUUGUAUCAAGUUGGGUGUAUUUCCUAGAGAAUUUCAUUGGGUCUUUCAAAUAGGGAUUCGAGGGCUAAGUUCUAGUUAAACUUGUAUAUUUCUGCAAGGCAACUAAUGUGACCCUUUUACCGUUCGAAAACAUGUUACCUCUUCGAUUUGAACCACCAAAUGUUUACUUACCCCGUAUUCAAAAUAAAGAGGUAUGAAUUAGGGGUUUUAUCGGCCAAGUUAGGGUUUUCUCGGCCACAAGUGAACUACUUUCAAGUAAGGUUUUAAGAGUCCUCUUUUCCAUAUGAUUCUCAUCAAAACCCUUAUUAUAUAACUGCUACUUGAAUAUAUAGUGGCUUGUAGCUGCACGAAUGAUUCUUUAUAAUUCCAAGAGAAUAUUUCCUUAGCCUAUCUAUUGGGAUUUUAAUUUGUUAUAGUUAAGUGUUUCUUUUAGAGACUUUAUAACCCUCUCGGUUUGGGUCGCAUUAGGGUUAUUCUUGUCUACGGAUCCAAGUGCGCUCUUUACAUUUUGAAGGUCUUUUAUACGUCUACUCGCGAAUAGUCGGGUAUUUCUUAAUUGCAUCUAAAUCAUGUUAGAUGGAUUGUAAUGCGAUCUUUGUGAAAUUUUAGGUUUCAUUGGUGAUUGAGAAUUGGGCGUUGUUUUGCGGUUAUAGGUGAGUGUUCCUUAUUUGUUAUAUUUCCUGAUUAUCUGGCUUGUUUGAAUGAUUGAUAACAUGUUAAACGCUUUCAAUGAUUGCUAAAACGAUUUUCGAGGCGAGUGUGUACUUUACCGCACUUAGCCUAAAUGAUUGUGAAAUUUUAAUGAUUGAGCGAUUGAAAUGUUAAUUGUGCAUGAAUGUAGGCCUUCGGGCUGAACUGGCCAUAGCCCCUUGUUACCGGUCGUCUCGAGCCAGUCGGACUCGGUCGAGCGAUUAGGAACUUGGGUGAACGAUCCGGUAUACUCGAGUAUUACCCUGUAGGUUGGUGGAGCCUGGCCAAAAGCCAGGGACGGGGAGAAUGAAUGAAUGAAUGAAUGAACGAGGGGUUUUAUUUAUACAAAAAUGCAUUUUCAAAUGAUUGAAGGUUGGAGAAUGGAAGGAGAAUGAAUGAAUGAUUGGCUCCUUGUGAGCCCGUAUCCUUUUAAUGAAUGUGUUUAUCGCUUUAUUGUACUUGUAUCGUGAAUUGUGGUUUACAUGCAUUUGUUUCUCUUGUUGCCUAUGUGUACGGAACCUCACUGAGCUUUCCAGCUCAUCCCUUUAGUUUUGUUUUCCUUAGCAGGGGAAGACGUGCGAGGACGGAAGCUACGAAUAGAUUAGCCGUUUUAGUACUUUUGAUUCUUUUGUUUGGUUCUCGCCCCAAUGUUUGGUGGGCUGGUUGUAUGGAGAAUGGGGAACCUUUGUACAAAAGUUGUUUUGCUUUUGGAAUAAAUAUGUAUAUAAGUUUACGUUAAGUUUGAAAUUUUUGUUAUUUCGAUUGUUUUGUGGAUUUUCUUGCCUUCUCUUAUAGCAACUGACUGAGUCCCGGCGAGAGCUGGGCAGACGGUCCGCCGAUACCCUGGGGUACGCCCUAGGGAGAAGUGGGACCGUCACAUUACAUCAUCAUUACAAUUUUCAACACACCUUUUUAUCUUCUCAAUUACUUUUUUAUCUCACAUACAUCACAUCACAAAAAGUGUUACAGUAAAAAUAUCUCAAAUAAUUUACAAUGCAAAUAGAUUCAUGGGCUGCAUCCUGUUAUGCUUCCCUGUGGGAUCUUUAAUUAGUUGAGCUUAAUUACUUUAUCAUAUAUCCAGGGUGGCAAUGUAUUUUCAGCAAUGUCACUAGUCUAUAUAUAUUUUAAGAUUCAUGGCAGUUCGAUUUCGUCCAACAUGGGUUUUCUGCUCAAAUAUUGAAGCAGAUGCUUCAGAUUCAGGUGUAAAUGAGGCACAGCUAUUCAUAUAUACAAUCAAUCUUCGCCGGGGGGGGGUAAUAGAAGUAUGUAAGAUUUCCUAAAAACUUUUUAUUUUUAAUUUCAAUUUUUGUCAAGUGAAUUUUUAUUUCUUUCAGAAGCAGUUGUAGAUAUGCAUGUAAAUUUUUAGCCACGAAUCUUGAUACUUAAUAGAGAGAUUAACUACAGCAAGUCAUUCAUGUUAAUUUUGCCAAUGUGUUGAGCACCUCAGAAUAUUGUUCUAUUUUUGGAUUGUUGUAUUUUUUAAAAACAAGUUUUUCAAAUAUAAUAUUACAGUAAUAUACAAAUAAAAACAAUUCAGAAAACAUUUCAUCCAUACAAUAUAUCAAAAAUAACUCACAAAUAUACACAAAAAAUAAAAAAUAAAUAAAUUCUACAACAUUUUAUUUCUAUCACCACCACCCCUCCCUCUUCCCUCUUCCUCCUCCUCCCCUCCCGCUCUCUUCUUCCUCCUCCCUCUUCCCCUUCUUCCUCCUCCCAUCCCCUACACCCAAGCCCUUCCAUUCCCUUCCCUUCUCGAUGUGGUCACGCCGUGACCACAUCAAAGGGGCAAGAGGAGGGUUGGGAGAAAGAGAGAAGGAGAGUUGGAGGGGAAGAGGAUGGGUGGAGGAAGAAUGAAGGGGAAGAGGGAAGGGGAGUUGGAGAAAGGAGGAGGGAGAAGGUGGUGACGGCGGUGGGUGGGGGUGGUGUUGGUAGUGAUUGUAGUUGUGGUAGUAUUAUUUUUUAGAAAGGAUCCUACAAAUAUUUUAGUUUUAAAAGGUAUCUCAAAAUAUAUUUUAAAAACAUCACAAAAAGCAUCUACAAUAAAAGUUUUUUCAUAUACAUUGCUAUGAUAAAAUAUUUCAAAAAUAUUCCAAAAAAUAACUAAUCCAAAUGGAGCAAAUUCUAGCCCAAAGGAACCCUUAAAACCUGUAACGUCCUAGCAAAUUGUUAUUGCGGCCAGAAGGAAGCCUUAAAACCUGUUACGUUCCUAUUGCAUGAAUCUAUCUCCCAUGCAUCAUAUCCCCAGCCAGAGGAGGUUCAACCACGUCCGAAGAAGAAUAGAUUAAGACUAGUUUGGGGCUAGAAUACUUGCAUAAAAAUUUCCAUCCUCUUCGAAAGUGAAAAUGACAUAUAAAUUUGCAUUCUUGGCUCUAAUGUCAGUCUAUCAAAUGUUUUACUUUUAUCAUUGUGAGUUCCUGAUAAUUCAAUUAAAACAAAAAAAAUCGCACCACUUAUAUGUGUUACCAUACCAAUGUUUGCAUGGAGAAGCCAAAAAUUAAAAGGCCCUGAUCAGACCACCCCAGCUUGGCUGAUGAUUUUGGAGGGGUUUGUAUGAAUAUCUUCUUGUUUGUCAAAAAGUAUUUGAUUGCAUCAAAAAAAUGUUUCUAAUUGCCUUUUUUUUUAAUUUUGCAUAUAUCACAUUAUGAAAAAAAUUCAAUAUCAUUCAAAAUAAUCUUCUAUGCAAACAUAAUCCAAUUUGACACAACCCACCUGCGGGAAUUUCCAACCAUAGAGGCAGUGCAACUAUCUGGUAAACAUGCCCGAUAUGUUGUGUCCAUGGAUGCUUUAGAGUUAAAUGUGAUAGUAUAAGUUUUUGGAUUAAAUUAGAAUUAAUUUUUGCUACACUGAUAGCGUAUACAGUAGUCCAUAAUAGGACUCCCUUAUUUGUUAAUCACAUUUUUUUUUUGUUUUACUUGCGAAGAAGAAUAAAAACAGUUUUAUUCUUCAUUUCAAUCACAACUUUAAAAAAUGGAUGGUUAAUAAUUCAAUGAAAUAUACGAGUAUUGUGUAUAAUCCGCAUGGUCAAAAUGUCAAAGAGAGUACUAUUAACUUCUUUCCUUGAAAAUUUUGUGCAUUAAGAUGAAACUAUUAUCAAUAAGUAAACAAUUAUUUCAUAAUGCUUCGUUCAUUUUUAAUAACAUAGAACCUCUGACUCUCUGAGGUUCUAAGAAUUAGAAAAUCUAUAAGUUCAAUUCUCCCUUCUUCUUCUUCUUUACUUCUUAAAUUUUACACCUCCCUUGUUAAAAAAAAAAAAAAGGUCACGUCGAAUCUAUUGACCUCAUGUAAUAAAGUAAUGAUCCCAAAUUUUAUUGGGAGUCACUUUUUGCCUAAAAACAUAAUGCUCACUACAUGCUAAAGAAAAGCAUAAUUACUUAUAUUCCACGUUCAUUUUAGAAGUUAGAAAUUGAAAAGAGGGUAAGAUACACAUAAAUGUCCUUUUUUUCCUUUUAGAUUAAAAAAAAAAGUUGUCUCCGGUUGUUAGCACUUGAUAGAGCAUGACAGACUCCAUAUGUUUGGAUAGUAAAUUUUUUCAAAAAAAAAAAAUUCGCUUGUAUUAUAAAUACAUUUUUCAAUUCAUUUUUUUAUCCAAUCACUUUUUUAUCUCACAUACAUUACAUCACAAAAAGUGUUAUAGUAAUUAUUUGGAAUAAUACUCUAUCCAAACAAAGCUAGUUACACCAAAGCAAUGACUACGAGGAAAGGGAUUGAGGACGAAAAUGUUGAUGGCCUUUUACUUUGAAUUAGGCAUGGCCACGGUUCCAGAACCGUCGGUUCUAGUUCUUCAAAGAGGUAGAACCAGAACUGCAUAGUUCUGAUUUUGGUUCCUUAUGGUUCUGAUUCUGGUUUCCGGUUUUGUAUGAUUGUAUACAAUUUUAUUUAAUUCCUUAUCCUUACCAAAUUUAAUACGGAUAUAACAAUAUAUUUAAAAUUUCAAAUAAAAUGUAAAAAAAUAUAUACAAAAUAAAGAUCAUAUAUUAAUUUUAUUAUUAUUCUACAAAGUAAGAAGUAAUAAAUAGAUAAUAUAAAUUUUAUGAAAAGUACAUUACAUUGUCAAAUUAAAAAAUACAUUACACUAUCAAAUGGUUGCCAUGUGUUGACUUUCUUGAGUUGGACAAUCAUCAAUGUUGAGGAUUCCAUUUGAAGAAAUAUUGCAAAAAAUAUUUUUUUGCUUGCUUGAUUUUGAAGAUGAAUUACUACCAUCAAAACUUGUCAUUUGAUAGCAAAUAAGCCAAAAAAAAAAUUUUGUAAGUAAUAAUUUAAUACUUACAAAUUAUAAUGAUAGAUAUUAGAUGAAUAGAAAGAAUUAAAUAAUUAAUAAAAUAUAUAGAAAGUCCAUAAAAUUUAAAUUUUCUUAAAACCUAUUAAACACAACUAAUUUUUUUUUGAAUUAUCUCACUACUUAUAUUAAUUAUUUUUAACGGUUCUGGAACCGACGAUUCUAGUUCUGGUUCUAUCUUUUAGAGAACCAGAACCGGAACCUUUAUCCAAGGUUCUACCACGGUUCUAGUUCCAUAGUUUUGGUUCCGGUUUCAAACGGUCCGAUUCCGACGAUUCCAAAUGGAACCAUGGUCAUGCCUACUUUGAAAAUAACAAUGACCAAGUUUAAACAAAAAAAGAAGGCAUGGGACACAAUUUGUAGAGGGAGGCCCGCCCAACUCUUGCUUUGGAGGUCAUAAACCUCUUAAAUUGCAUCAUUGCCUGCCAGCUAAAAAACGAAGGAAAAGUUUCACUUUCGCUACCUCCGAUGAAGGAAGGACCCCAGAUGGAGUCUGGUUGACUGAAUUGAUGAUGAAGGUUAGGUUAAUCAUCUGGCGUGUAACGGUCAAUGACUGAAUGUUAGAUCACUGUACUACGAAUAAUAAAUAUCAAUCGGCUUUUCACCCUACCAGUCCCAAAAGCACCAACAAAACUUGUCAAAAAAAUUUUAAGAAAGCGAAAAAAAAAAGAAAACAACAAGGAACUAAAUAGGUGAUGUGGCAUCACCACUGGUCAUAAAACUUUACUGUAAUUUUCUGUAAAAAUUAUAGAAAAAAUUUUUGGAACGUGUAAAUUUUUAGGUAUUUUAAAGUGUAUAGUUUAACAAUUUUAAAAUUUUUUUUGAGAUUAUUAUAGAUAAAAUUAUUUAUAAAAUUUAUAAAACACAAACUUGACAAAAAAUUUAUUUGCUAAACAAGCCCAAAGAUUGACCGGAUGGUGCAAAGUUGUGACUUUACAACUAACGGGGAAUCUCAAGAUCUUCAGUAAACUAAUUAAAAAGAGAAAGGAUAUAUAGAAGUUGACCUUUGACAAAAAAAUAAAAUAAAAUAAAAAGAGAAAGGAAAAACCGAUGCAGACAACCUACUUGAGAUCUCAAUAUCUUCAUUCGAUCCAAUAUACAAUUAAUUAAAGACAAAGAAAGGGUAGAUAGUAGGGUAUCCGUGGUCAAUGAAGAUCGUCACAUAUUGUGACAAAUUUUAUGAGAGGUAAGAUUCGAACUCUUGACCUUCCGCACCACCAAGUCUAAGAAGGCUUGGGAUGAGCGAGAGAAUCAAAAUAUUCGAUAUAUAUAUAUAUAUAUAUAUAUAUAUUUAUUUAUAUUUUCCGGUAUCUCUCAAUCUUAUUCCAAGCUCCUAAUAUUUCCAGUUAUAGUAACUAGUUUUUAGUCUCCAAUGUUUAGUACCUAUAUAGAAUUGGUUCUUAAAAUUUUGGCAAAAAUAAGUCUGGUCCUAAUGUUUAGCACCUUUUGGUUUUUAGUCCCUAAAAUUUUGGCAAGAACAAAUCUAGUCCAAAAUAUACACAAUUUAAAGCAAAUCUAGAACAUUUGAAGAAUUUUCUUAAUUAUAGAUAGAAUUUAAUCACGUACAAUCAUUUGUCCAUAAAGUCAAUUAUAAAAGUAAAGAAGCAAAAUAGCCGCUAUUUUUAAAAAAAAAAAGAGAUGAAGGACUAAUAACUCAAAUGCUAAUUGAUUAACCAGCUCAAAAAAAAAUGAAUUUUGUUAUGUUACAAAAUGGAAACCAAUUAGAGCGCCUAAUUCAUCAUUCCAAACUUGUUUUCACUCUCCCUCCGUCUCCAAGCAGAAGACCCUAACACCCAAUUUUCGGGUAUAAUUUAACCAAAAAAGUUUUUUAGUUUCUUAGUUAAUUAAUUACUCAAGUGGAGUUAUUCUUAUUUUUCUAAGUUAGUCACUUCUUUAAAAAAAAAUAAAAUAAAUUAACGAACACGUGACUGCACGUGACCAAUUUCGUCGGUAACUAAGAAAACUCGUCAAAUGUCAUAAAUCGGUUCCAAAUUGAAAAAAUGAGGACUAAAUUUGUUUUUACAGAAAUUUUAAAGACUAAAAUGCUUAAGAUGCCAAACAUUGGUGGCCAGAUUUAUUUUUUAUCAAAAUUUCAGGGAUUAGAAUGCUGUAGAGAUUAAACAUUGGGUGGGGACCAACGCUGCAUUUCUCCGCCAGAAACUAAUGCAAUCAUUCCUCAUAACCUUUCUACUACCGGAGUAAAGAGUAUAGACCUGCACAAAAAUUCCAAGAGUCCAGGACCACAUAUUUAAACUUUUAGACUGCCCUUUCAAAAUUUUCAGAAUUCAGAAGCAGAAGCCCGAAUUGAAUGGAGAAUAGCCACCGCCAUCAGCACCGCGGCAGCGGCAGCAAAUGGAUAGCGGCGUGGCGAGCAUAUGGAUACAGUGCAGCUGCGGAGCAUCGUACGCCUUCGGAAUCUACUCACCAAUCCUGAAAUCAAGCCAAGGCUACGAUCAGGCCACGUUGGACACCGUGUCAGUGUUCAAGGACAUCGGGGCCAACGUCGGGAUCAUCUCCGGAUUCCUUUACUCCGCCGUGGUACCCGACCGGAGAGGGAGAGGGCAAGGGCGGAGCUGGUUACGGCAGCCCUGGGUGGUGAUCCUGGCGGGCGUAAUCCAAUGCUUUUUGGGCUACAUCAUGAUGUGGGCUUCGGUGACCGGAAUCAUUGACCGGCCGGGGGUGGGAUUGAUGUGUUUGUUCAUGUUCUUAGCAGCUCACGCUCAGACUUUCUUCAACACCGCUAACGUCGUGACCGCUGUUCAUAAUUUCCAGGAUUACAGUGGGACCAUUGUUGGUAUCAUGAAGGUAAAUGUCUUUCUUACGUCUUCAAUUAUUGUUAAUUUAUUACUACUACUACUACUACAUUUUACCUCUGCAUGGUUAAUUCUACUACUAGUAUUUAUGUUUGCCUAAUAUUCCGUCUACAUUAAAAUGGAGGUUUUUACUUCUUAUUAGAGGUUUGUGACCCAAAUGCACCAGUAUGAUUUUUUUUUUUUUUUUUUUUUGGGGUACAAGGCAAUGUUUUGAAACUCGUACAGUUGAUUGAACCGGUAAUGUGUUCGGAUCGAGGUUUAACCAGUCGGAUCGAUUCAAUCCUGGUUCAAUAAAUUUUUUUAAAAAAUAAUAAUGUAUAUAAAUAUAUAUGUAUAAAAUAAGACAUGCAAUGGACUAAUUUAAGACUUUAUGGGGUGAAAAGUUUAAUAUUUUCAAAGAAUUUGGAUUUUCACAAGUAAAAAUUUUAAAUUAUAAGUUGCAACAAAUAAAUUUCAUCUCAGCAUAAAUUGUGUCUACCAAAUAAUCUUAAAUUCAACCCAAAAUUGUCACAAUAUUCUAAAAUUAUACAAAAUUCACGUCCAUGGGAAUUAGAUAUUAUGAGUUUAAAUUUUUAAUUCACGUUUUUAGAAUUUAGAGAUUGCAAUUAUAUAUAUAUAUAUAUAUAUAUAUAUAUAUAUAUAUAGAAGUUUGGAAUCUGGAGGAAGUCAGGAUAAUAGAAAACAGAGAUGUAAACUUGAUGAAAGGCAAAAAAUGAGAAAAAAGUGAGUGGACGUGGCAUUUAAUAAUUAGUCUUUAGAAUUAAGAAAAAUCUAUUCUUUUUUUUCAAUUUAAUAGACAAAAACAAAAAAAUGCCGGUUCAAUGGUUCAAUCCAAUUUACAUGGUUUUUACCAGUUUUAUCCCUUGCCUUUUUUUUUUUUUUCCUAGUUAUUUUUUGCUGGAUAGUUACGCGCGAAACUGAAAUUUGGUCUCAACAAAGUUUUGUUUAUAGGACAAACUAUUGGAAAUGUUUAUUAAGUUCUGGAAUUUUGUCAAGACGAAUCAAUUUGCGGCAUGCCUAAUCAAAAUCGGUCCAUAUCCACGUGUAUAUAUAUAUAUAUUAUAUAUAUAUAUAUAUUUAAUGCCAUUGCUAUUGUGACAAAAUGCUAAGUUAAGUUUUACAGCUCCUUUUUUUUUGUGUCUAAACCCAAUUUUUUAAAAAGUUUUUCUUAAAACUACAAUAGGCUUGGAAGACCAUGGCAUCUAUUAUGCCCUAGUGAUCCUCAACCAACGUGUAAAAUAUAUGUAGCAUUGACAGAAAUUUGAGGAACUAACGUGUAGAAUAAAGGCAGUACUCGAAGGAAAUUUGAGGAACUAAUAUAUGUACAUAUUACUUCUCAGCUAACUACCAAAACGUUAAAAAGAAGUAUAAAAGUUACUCUCCUAUUCUUCCAAAACGUUAAAAAGAAACAAAAGUUAAUGUUCUCCUAUUCGUCUUUUUUGGGGGUUUUUGGGUUAAUUGUUGUCAAGUUGUACAUGCAUGAUCGGAGCUACACAGAGGGUGUAUUGAAGAGUCAUCAUACUCUUGCAUUCUUGUCUGGGCAGGGAUUUUAGGUUUGAGCGGAGCAGUUGUAAUUCAAGUGUACGACACUUUGUUUGAAGGCAAUCCUAGCACUUUCUUGUUAAUCCUCGCACUGCUUCCUAGUCUCAUUUCCAUCUUGCUUAUGUGGUUGGUCAAGAUUGAUGCAGCGCGCACCAAAGAUGAGAAGAAAAAUAUUUGAAUGGUUUCUCUGUAGUUUCCCUGGUCGUUGCUGCCUACCUUAUGAUCCUAAUAAUCUUGGAAAGUGCCAUCACUUUGCACUAUGGUCUCGAAUCAUUACCUUUCUUGUCCUCCUUUCUCUGCUGUCUUCGCCCCUGGGCGUUGCAUGUAAAGCUCAGAGUGAUAGCUCGUUGAACCUCGCGUACUACACAUCGUCCGUUGGACUCCUUUGAUGGAUGAGGCUGAGCCAAUUAAGCAGGAGACAACGUCGUCUCGAGCUGCAAAUCCGUGGAUAUUCAUCCUGAUGAUGAUGAAGUUCAAAGCAAAUCCGGCUCUGAGGAUAUGCUCGACCUUGGAGCGGAGUUAAACCUCUUCCAAGCAAUGAGAACUGUCAACUUCUGGUUGCUGUUCGUUGCUAUGAUAUGUGGGAUGGGUUCAGGGCUGGCCACAAUAAACAACAUCAGCCAAAUAGGGCAAUCUCUUGGCUACUCUACUGUUGAGAGGAGUACUCUGGUUUCGUUGUGGAGCAUCUGGAACUUUUUAGGCCGCUUUGGAGCUGGAUAUGCAUCGGAUAUAUUCCUCCACAGAAGAGGCUGGGCAAGGCCUUUGCUCAUGGCUCUUACGCUAGCAGCCAUGACUGCUGGCCAUGUGGUUAUUGCUUCCGGAUUUUCUGGGAACUUGUUUAUCGGUUCAGUGUUAGUCGGCGUAUGCUAUGGCUCUCAAUGGUCCUUGAUGCCUACCAUUACCUCCGAGAUAUUUGGAGUACGACAUUUGGGUACCAUAUUCAACACGAUUGCUGUGGCCAGUCCUAUUGGAUCUUACGUCCUCUCCGUUAGAGUCAUUGGCUACAUUUAUGACAGACAUGCUACAGGCGAAGAAAAUACAUGCUACGGCAAGUACUGCUUCAUGUCAUCUUUCUUCAUCUUGGCAUCUGUUACUGUCCUCGGAUUCCUCGUUGCACUGGCACUAUUUUUCAGGACGAGAAGGUUUUAUUCCCAGCUUCUGGUUCGAUGGUUGAGGCACACUGCAAUAGAGUUAGAUUCUUCUGUCUCGGGUAUUGGACAAGAAUCCCUGGUCUUCGUUGAAUUCUACUCAGGGAUUGGAGUGAAUAAUAUACGGAGUUGAGCAGGGCUUAGCAGCAGCCCAGUUUUGACUAAGGCUGUUUCAAUGAAUGUUUCCUGUACACAACCUUUAAGAGUUUCAAGAAUGGCUUACAGCAGCAAUUCGCCUGGCACUUCAACGCUUACAAUCAGGUUUCUGUGGCAAAUAUGUGAAUCCUCACGCCUCAGUGUUUUCAUAGAAUCAUGUAUAUUUUCUCCCCUUUUUCACAUUGAAUGGUUUUUUGUGGGUGAUAUUUUUUUUUCUAUAUAUAAUUAAUGUAUUAUACUCCAAUUGUACUACACAUAUUUGUUGCAUUAAAGCAUUUUAUCCAGAAAUGUCUCACAAAGCUUACCUGCUGUGCUUUUCAAUCUAUUAACAAAAUGACCCACAAUCCAGAAAUGGCUUUGAAGGUAAAAUUGGGGGAAAAAAAACAAGUGCCAACAACUAGUCCUCCCAACGCACUCCCCUACAUCACUUUUCAGUCAACUCAUGUGCAACUCUGACGGUAUUAGUACAUUCCUCCUCCUUCCUUUUUUUUCCUUGGGCCUCCGUUCAUUUAUUAAAACUCUCGAGUUUCAGCAACAAUACAUUCUCCAGUAAUCUCCACUCCAAAUAAAGAAGCUCGCAUGGAUUUGGAUCGAAAAAUUUAAGCUUCUCAAAACGGGCAAGGGAAAAUUAACCCAAAAAAAAAAAAAGUAUGGAGCUUGAUUACAAUCCGAGUUACAAAACCAUAAUCAAGAAGAAUAAAUGGGUUUCCACGGCGGCCAGCAUCUGGAUUCAAUCCACCAGUGGCUCAGCCUACACCUUCGCCAUCUACUCUCAAGUCUUGAAAACUAGUCAGGCUAUAAUCAGUCGACCCUCGACACUAUUUCUGUUUUCAAGGAUUUUGGUGCCAACGUCGGGGUGCUCUCCGGCCUCCUAUACUCCGCCGUCACCAACCCCCGCCGCAGCAGCAGAAUUGGGGGCCCUGGGUGGUUUUGGCAGCUGGGGCGGCCCUUGUGUUUGUGGGCUACUUCUUCAUGUGGAUGAGUGUUGUGGGGAAUCUGCCGAGGCCGCCGGUGCUGCUCAUGGGCUUGUACAUGUUGUUAGCUUCUAAUGCAACGACGUGUUUUAAUACGGCUAAUGUGGUUACUGCUGUUCAUAAUUUUCCUGAUUAUAAAGGGACUGUUGUUGGCAUCAUGAAGGUAACAAUUUUCUUCUUUCACCUUCAUUGUUACCAGCUUUAUUUUUUCUUGGUAUUGGUUUGGGGUAAUUCAUGGAGCUUAUCAUUCAAAAUGUUUGGUUACCUCUGCAGUAGUAUGCAAUUUUGUGUUUGUUACUGGAAUUGGAUUUUUACAAUGAUGGAGUAAGUGAUCAUGAUGCUUUUGUGCCCAAGCUACUGAUGGAUACCUGCCUAAGCUCAUCGAAUGGAUUAGGGGCCUUGCUGCUGCUUGUUUCUUAUUAAAAAAAAAAAAGAGCUUUAUGAAUGCAGUUUGCUGAUAAGUUAACGUUCAAUGUGCUAAUGAAUAUUGUUGUACACAGAGGUUGAGAAAAAAGGAUGAUUUUUUCUGAACAAUCUUUUCUGGCCAUCUCUGGUUUGUGUAAGUAGUCAGCCCUAGUUCCAUAGACGGAUGGAAAAAAAAUGGUAGAAGGUCUUUGACUUUGAGCUUCGAGGAGAUACAGAGCUUCAAGCCUAUACCCCAUUACAUCAGGAAUCUAGAAAUGCAGAUUUUACUCAUAUCUGAGAGUGAUUUUAGAUGCAAAUUUAUGUCUGUAUAGGGCAUAUAAAUCUUAUACUGUUUUAGUUUGUGGAACACUGGCGUAGUUUCCCAUUGCUUAUAUCUGGCCUUGGAGAUUUUACCAAUACAACUCUCGGUGAAAUGGUUUGUAUCCAAGCUUGUGAUUCCUAAAAUUUGAUGGAGAGUAAGCACAAAAUGAACGGACAAAUAGCCAGAGUUACUAAUCUAGCUUGAGUCUGUGUGUUAAGGACCGCAUUUCUAGUUUGAGUUUGUAUUUUAAGCAAACAAAAGAAUAAUUCCCAUGGUAGAUUUAGCUGAUAUGGUGGCAACUACAAGACUAUACAGUGUUUAGAUAAGAAUCGAAGGUAUCUGUCGAUAAUGAAACAUACCAAUGUAUUAAAAGCUAUUUGCAUCAUUCUGUUGAAUGAGACCAGACUGCUUGGGGUGGAGGGAUUUAGCAUUAAGCCCUGAAUGCAUGCUUAUAUCGAAUUGGAAAAUCAGUUGCAAAAUUUCAAUUCUGAAGGUACUCAUCCACUGAGGAGUGGGUAGCUUUUGGCUAAAAUCUCUAGAUUUGAGGACUUCAAGUGUCUAUAUUUUAUGCCCCAAAUCACGGGCAAAUGCACCAUUAUGCUUGGUUAAUAUUAUGAUUUUUUCCCCUUUUCCCCAUUUUUUCCCACUUUUUCUGCAUUUUACGGAUAGUUUGGAUUUAUAAUUUUAGGCAUGGUUAAUGUUUAGUUGAGUGCGGUACUUCUUUUCUCAAAGGGGUAGUUGGUAUUAUGACACUAAAUUAAGAAGUAUUAAAAAAAAAGGGUCGGGACUUGGGGCCUUCCACGGGUGUAGGCAGUCCGUAGGGUAAUGGUGGUAUAACUUUCAGACUCUAUCUAUGCCUUAUCAUCAAUUUUGAUCUAAUCAAAAUUUAGUGAAGUGUCAAGAUGGGGAUAUGUUUGAAAAAAGAAAAAGAAAUUCCUAAAGUAGGCCCUCAUCUCUAAGUUGUUUGUUACUGAUAAUGAGCCAAAUGAAGGGAUGAAUUUGCUCCAUCGUUAACCCAAUAUUUUCUGUAAAAAAAAUGGAAUUGAUAUAUUAAAAUUUCUGUAUACUCUUCAAAAGUAAGAGUUCAUUUUGAAAUGAGCCAUUGAUUUUAUUUAUUUAUCUUUUGGUUUACUUCUUGUCGAUGGAACAUCUUAAGGAGUUGCAUUUCACCUAAACACAAUUAGAAAUUCCCUCAUACAAAUCAUCAUUUUUUGCUGAUGGAAACUUGGUUUAGAAACAAAAAUGAAUGAGAUUAAAGUUCCCAAUUCUGAUGCUGCUUAUAAUGCUUUUGGCUAUUGCAUUUUGAUUGGGAAAUUUUACAAAUGUUAAUUUGGUUGUAUAUUUCAAAACAAAAUAUGAAAAUUUUCUAAUUAUUUUCACUUUUUGAGGUAAAACGAAUUAAUCAAUAAUGAUUAGUGCUUUCUUAUUGUAUUUAGAUACAUACAAGGUUGUCUCCUUUAUGUGAAAACGUCAACUUCAAAUAUUUAUUUCCUUGCUUGCACUUGUUGAUGUCCACCCACCGAUUUCAUGUGAAGCAUAUUUAUUUCGGAGGUCAAAUUCACAAACAAGAUGUAACUCUAAGCCCAUUAUCAUGAAUUGAAAUUUUUAAAGGUGCUUGGGAUAAAUUUGCAAGAUAAAUUUGAUUGAAUAAGGCAUCCUUGUUCAUGAAAAGGAUUUUAAUAUUUCAGCAAUAUCUGAAAAUAUUAGGACUAUUUAGGCAAUUCGAAUGCUAUAUUUCUGAUUUGGAACAAGUGUUUAGCUACGUUUACAAUGUACAUGAGCUGACAUCCUGUAUAGAUACAUCUAUUUGGACAGACUUUCUGGUUUUAUUGGUAAUUGAAUUGGAUUCUGUUGAAAGCAAUGAUUAUGUGGGUGGAAUCUACUAUUGUGAUAUGUCUGCUUUGCUUAUAUUUUGUUGUCUCCUUUUUCUAGUUAUUUUUUGUUGACAACUACCUAAUAGCUGAAACUACAUCUGAAAAAUGUUUUGUUUAUUGACCAAACUAUUAGAAAUGUUUAUUAGGGUCUUGAAUUUUGUCGUUCCCAAUUUGCAUAAUAUCUCAAUUUUUAGUUUGAGUAAAUUUUUUUUUAAUCCAACAGGAUUUUCUUGUCGAUUAUUUACCAGAGAUAGAAAUUAAUAAGGUGGAUUGCAGACCUAUUCAACUUCUUCUCUUUGGUAUUAGUAAAGCUAAUGAAAGUCAUUUAGGGCAGAAACCAAAAGUGGCUGUUAAUCGAUAUCGACACUUGAUCUUUAACAGAGUACCAUAACUAUAUCUUUAUAGUUAUCAUUAUUAUUUUUUAAUGAAACAAGCCACUGCAAUAUAAAAUGUUAAAAUUAUUUGAAAAUUUGCUUCUGCAAGUGUCCAUUAACUUAAGCCAUGUGUGGACAUUAUUUUUGGUUUACUUUAACAUCUGCAAUUAACAAGAAGGCCAGAAACAUAUACUUUGUGAAAGUUUGGUGGUCUAUCUGAUGGAAAGAAGUUGACUCGCCAAUGGUCUCUAAACCUUGAUUUACUUUUUCGCGUCCCUUUCCUUCUCUCUCUCUCUCUUCCUUUUUUCCUUUUUGUUUGUUUGCUAUAUUUUUUCCAACUUGCAAGACAAUACUCUGCUCUCAUAUUUUCUUUGUAGGGCUUUCUUGGCUUGAGCGGUGCAAUAUUGAUUCAGGUGUACCAUACAAUUCUCAACGAGAAGCCAACCACAUUUAUUUUGAUGUUGGCACUCUUGCCCUCCAUAACUGCCCUUCUGCUAAUGUGGUUUGUAAGAAUCACUCCAACUAAUGAAGUAGGCGAAAAGAAAUACCUUAAUGUUUUCUCGUUGGCUGCUGUAGUUCUUGCUGGUUAUCUAAUGGCAGUAAUAGUCCUAGAGAAUGUCCUUACAUUUCGUUCAGCAGUACGAAUUUCUACUUUUGUCAUACUUAUUUUGUUGCUAGUGCCACCUAUAUACAUAGCAAUUAAAGCCGAAAAGGAGAAGGCAAGGAGGAUUAUAAGAUCCUUGCUUGAGCAGAACCAAUUGGUUUAUGAUGGAAACCAGUUGGGCAACAAUUUCGUGCAGACCAGACAAGAUCCUGAGGGCCAUCAAGAGAUUUCGUGCGAUGCUGAUGAAGAGAUGAAUAUAAAUAAUGAAAGGACUGUUCCAGAACGGGGAGAAAAUCUGAAUCUUUUGCAAUCUAUCUGCACCAUCGAUUUUUGGUUGCUUUUUUUUGUUUCAGCAUGUGGUAUGGGCUCAGGACUAGCUACUGUUAAUAAUGUCAGCCAAAUAGGAGAAUCUUUUGGCUACUCCACUAUAGCAACAAGUACAUUAACUUCUUUGUGGAGCAUCUGGAAUUUCAUUGGGCGGUUGGAUCUGGGUUUGUGUCUGAUUACUUUUUGCAUGCACAAGGUUGGUCAAGGCCACUGUUCAUAACCAUCACUCUGGCAACUAUGAGCAUUGGUCAUGCUGUGAUUGCUUCUGGUUUGCCUGGUGCCCUAUAUGCGGGUUUGGUUCUUGUUGGUAUCGGCUAUGGCUCACAGUGGUCACUGAUGCCUACAAUUGUUUCAGAGAUAUUUGGUCCAGCACAUAUGGGAGCAAUAUUUAACACUGUCAGUAUUGCAAAUCCUGUUGGAACUUAUAUUCUCUCAGUUAGAGUAGUUGGUUACAUCUAUGACAAAGAAGCGACAGGGAGUGACAACACUUGCAUUGGAACUCACUGCUUCAUGUUAUCGUUCCUUAUUAUGGCAUCAACUACUGUUCUGGCGUCUCUUGUUGGUUUAAUAUUAUUCUUUCGGACAAGAAACUUCUAUAGACAAGUUAUACUGAGAAGACUUUAUAUUCCCAUCAGGAAUCUGGAGUAAGAAUUGAUGUUCUUUGGCAUGUCAAGUUGAUGUCUCAAAUGAUCCAUCACUUGGAUUUGGUGUCAUUGUUGCUGUCCACUGAUAAAAGGUACUGUGCCAGAUCUCCUUGGUUCAUCUAUAGACUAGAAGAAAUUCACGUUCUCUGAGUUCGAGAAAAAUUUAGCAUCAUCCUUGAAAUAUUGGUGAUUAUAAAUUCAUAGACCUGACCCAAAAUUUUCACCAAGCAAUUAAGGGCAUUCCUGGGCACCUGUCUUUGAUGAGGUUGAAGUGCUCAUUCGUCGACAGAGCUCGGUUGCAGCAGCUACGCUGGGGGCUGUUCUGCGUGCAUGAUCAGUUGAUGAUGUGAAUUUGUUCAAGGCGUACGUAUGUGCAUCAAUGAGGUAAACUGCUUCAAGAACCUGGUUCCAUCUUCCAGCAAAAUUUGAAAGUCCCAAGUAGAAGCGGAUCAUCUUUGCUAGCACCAUCAUAAAUGAAAUUGUGGGAUGGAUCAGAUGCAUUCAUUCUCUUUGAACUGAAUUCCGUCUUCGGUCCGAGACGAGAGGCAUCUAGACGAUGUUGGGGCAAUCCAAUGAUGAAUGAGUUGAUUUGGUAGUGCUUGAACAUUGCUUGCUGCAAAGUUUGCACGGGUUUCACAGGGAGAGCAGUGUAUUCGAUUGGAUGAGAUAAGCCUCUGCAUGGAAUGUUGCUAGGCUUAGACCAUCAUUGCAUGAUGAGCUUGAAAAUUGACUGACUGUAUUAUCAUAUUUGCUAAGCUUAAACCAUCAUUUUUAUUUUCUUUCUGUAUGUUUAACGGACCUCCCAAUUAUACUUAAAAAAAAUGAAAAAAAUGAAAAAAAAAAAAUUGCCUAUCCGUUUAAUGACAUGUGUUGUGUUGGGCCACUAAUCAUGAAUAAGAGAGACCAUUCGUUGAUCAAAAGACCAACAGCCUGACCUAACCGGCCCAAGACACAUACCCGUCCGUCCACGGUCAAACCCACUGCUUUUCUUUUUCCUAAAUUUUUUUGAAACACUGUCCAAGCCCACUUUAAGUCGGCAUUCUACAGAACAUGGACUGGACCUCUCUAUCUGGGCAGGCAAAGUGAAUUAUUAGUACUGAAUUAAUGUUCCGAUCAGAAUCGCAGAAGCAGAAUUUAAGAGAGAGAGAGAGAGAGAGAAAGUGGCAGCGAAGAGGAAGAAGAAGAAGAAGAAGGCUUUGCAACUUUCAUGCUCUGAAGCGACGUCGUCUGGGCAGUGUAUACAUAUACCAGUAGCAAGGAAACUCGCAGAAUAAAUAUACAGAGAGAGAGAGAGAGAGAGAAGGGGGCGCCGGCGCGUAACAAUGAAGACGACAAAAGGAGGCAAGGUUAUGAACCCUACCGAUGCUUACCGGAAAGAGCUUCGCAAGAAGGAGUUAAAACGGGUAUGCUAUACUAUUUAUCUCAUUCUCUGUAUUUGGUUUCAUGUAAUUCGUUUGUGUAAUUUUGAUAUAGUUUCCUGUGUAUUAAAUGUUGUCCGCUCUUGUCUUGUAUGCAUCAAAUUUAGAUUUUUGUGCUUACUUAGGGUUUUGGUGAUUUAUGCUGAAUUUUUAUUUUGAAUGAGGAUAUGAAUUGGCAAACAAAGAGUAAAAAAAAAUAUAAUAAAAGCUACCUUUUUAAUUAUUAUUAUUUUUUUAUUCUUAAUUUUUUUUGGGAAGUUGUGGUUAAUUUGAGUUUAGGAGGUGAUAGUGCAUUUGGUUUGGUAUGAAAAUUGAAUUAUGACUAGAGAAGAAAAGCUGUAAAUGGCCGUGUUGUUUAGAAAAAUGUGAUAAAAGUGGGACUCUAGUAUUGUACGGCUGCUUAAUCACUGUUGUAUAGGAUUAUAGAAUGACAGCAACUUACUAUUUUCAUCUUUGUAGACGUUUAUGGGGCAUAAAUCAAGCUAAAAUAUUCCUUAGAUAUUUGGGAGAGGUGUAGAAGGUGUGAGGAGGGAGGGUAUGUUUUGUAGUUGAUCAUCCUGGAAACAGUACAUAUUAUUUAGUGGCCAGGCAGGGCGGACUGCUGCUUGUGGAGAGUAUCGACAAGCCGGCCUUUUAGACUAUCACUAGCAUCUAAUUGUUGUGCACUGCUAAAGGGUGAUGUGAAGACCAACAGUAGAUAUGAUGUCCCAGAAUCUUGAUAGAAAGGAUAGCAAAGGAGUAAUCAGAGUUCAGGGAUAGAAGACAAGUUGGGUUCAAUUUUCUAGAGGUGCAUUUCAUUAGGCAGUUUGAUAGGUUCACGAACUACAUGAGCGAGAGGUAAUUAGUUUGAAGUGCAAGAUUUAGUGGUCAAAACAACUAAGCAGCAGGAUGCAGUGGAUUGUUUUGCCGCUAGAAGCUAACUGUAAUGUUCUGGCAUAGUGUUCCUUCAACUUUUUCUAAAGUUCAGUUUUAUGCGGUACAAUGUUGCAUUCUAGUUUUAUUCAAGACCUCAUAGGAUUCGCUAUAGAUUAUGAACACCUGUUAAUUGCAUGCAUAAUAAUGGCCAUCUAUGUGCUGGCGCACAAAUUCUUCUCUGUAACUUGUCUUUUAAAUAUUUUAUCUUCUGAAACUCAUGUGCUAAUUUUGAUGCCUAUGUAGAACAAAAAAGAAAGGAAAAAGGUGCGGGAGGUGGGGAUUUUGAAGAAGAUCCUGAGACACUAAGGGAGCAGAUAUCGAAGCUGGAAGCCAUGAGUAAGUUUGACUGUUCUUGAAAUGGAAUUGAUCUUGAGGAGUGAGACUUUCUUAUUUUCUGUGCAAUUCAUCUGGGAUUUUAGUGUCAUGUCUUUUCUUCUUUUUUUGCAGCAAAUUUUAAUGGAUGUGGGAAUACUGCAUUUAGUUUUCCAUGUUGUUUAGUCCUUAAAAUGACUAUCCAGAAGAAGUCAAAUUAUAGUAAAUACUAAUGCAAUCCUCUCAAUAAAAUUGAAAUUAUUGUGACUUGAGGGGCUUUUGUUUGCAAGUAACUUUUCCUGCAAAAUUGUGUUGAUGUAGAAACAAAGAACAUUGCAGGUGCUUGGUUCCUCACAGACAAUACAUGCUGAGUUAUUAGUUUCUUUUAUUUUAAUCAUUUCGAAGGUUUUUUUUCCCCUUUCAACAUCUUCGGUUGAGUGGUGGUUGGAACUUCUGAGCUUUUGAUAACCAUCAGUCGAAGUUUUAGUUGCAAUUUAAAUACUUCGGCUGUUUAAAUCUUUCAAAUGGAUAAGUUAGACCAAGUUUAUACUCCUAUGCAUGUCAGGAAGAUGAAGAAAGGAAAGUGCUGUCAUAAAUUUACAAACACGCCCUAAUUUUAACAUCAAGAACAUAUUAAGUGCACCUUUGAGUUGUCAGAUGCAGGUUAUUUGGAAGAGUAGAACAUAUCUAUUGACUACUUAGGUCAUAGUUCUUAGUUAAGAUAUUCACUUCUUCUUCAAGGUCUUCCAAUCUCUAGUUCAUGUAGGGUGCUGCAGUAAUGCAGAGCAUGAUGCCAUACUGUCAUUGUCUGGGAAAAGUUGGAGAGUGGCGGAAGGAUGAGAGGGAAUAAAUUUUAUUUGUGUGACUAUUACUCGGCAAAUUUCUUUAAAUAAUACUAAAAAAAUAAAAAGUCCCUCAAAUGAGGCAAAUGUGAAGGUUGUUCUCCAAAUAAAGUUGCUACACCCCUGGUGUGCGGCAACAAAGGAAAAUCUUUUUUUAAUAUAUAUAUUUUUUGAAAUAGACACUAAGGAAACAUAUUUUUGCAUUUCGGUCCUUCAAGAAAUGCAAUUAAAUUAUUAAAAAACUUAAUGUGAGAGUAGCGUGCAGCAACUCUCACUAUUUAAAAAAAAAUAUCUAUGUUAGAGUUUUUCCAAAUACCAAUAAAGGUUCAUUGAUUUUCUAUCUUUUAUGGUUCUUUGAUUUUACAUUUUUACCUUGAUUCAACCUGUAGCAACAUGGUACUAUAUGUCUUUAACAGCAAACAAGACCUCAGCCCCGCUUUAUAUAUAUUUAUUAUUAUUAUUUUUGGGUCCAAAGUCAGCUGUUAGCUUCUAGCCAGUUGAGAUACAUAUGGAUCAUUUUGUCAUUCAAUUUUACCCAGGCUCAAAAGCUCUGGUUCUUGUUAAUUAGUUGAUAACCAAUUGUUAAUCCGUUUUACUUGUUACAUGUUACAACAUGGAUAUCAGAUAUUUCCAAUCUGAGUUCUUAUGUGGAUUAAAAGUGGACGAGAUAAACCUACACAGACACACUAGAAUAGAGUUCAUUAUUCAGGGUUGAUAGUUUUGCUGCAGGCCGUCUUCCAAUUUUUGAUCAAUACAUAAAUUCUCUUUUAAACCACACAAACACACUAGAACAGAGCUCAUUAUUCAGAGUUCGUGCAGUAAUUUUGCUGAGCAUUUCUUGCUCAUAUUUGAUUUCUUUUUGCAGGAUGAGAGGUCUGUAAGGUAAGGCUUAAAUUGUGAUAGGGUCGUCAAAAAAUAUCACAAUUAGAGUUCUUUUUUUUUUUUUCAGUUUUCAUGGAUGGGAAUAGUCCUCAAUUGUUGAUGCUCGAAUAUUUUUUAAGUAUUUAUUUUUUGUAAAUUCAGUGUUAUAAUCAUAGUAUAUACCCUAUUUUUCGUAUUUCCAAAUUAGAUAAGCCUUAACAAGAUUUGGGCUCAGGCCAACGGCAACCAGAGCAAGAUCUAAACUCUUUCACAUACUUUCGUUUUUUAUGAAAAUGUAUUAUGGCAGAAACUUAGGAGGAUUAUUUCUCAUUUCAAAUUUCCCCAACAUUAUUCAGUCACUGGUUGUUUAACACAAAAAAGAAAAGAAAAAACAGUAAGAUUUUUUUUAAAAUUGUGAAAGUUUCUAACAUAGAUUUUUUAAAAAAAAAUUGUGAGAUAGUUUGCAGCAGCUCUCACAUUAAAUAUUUUAAGUUAAGGACUGAAAUGCAAAAAUAAGUUUUAUUAUUUCCAAAAAAAAUUAAAAAAAAAGAAGAUUUUCCUCUGUUGCUGCACACCUGAUGUGUGGCAACUUUAUUUGGAGAACGACCUCCACAUUUGCCUCAUUUGGAACUUUUUAUAUUUUUAGUAUUAUUUAAAGAAACUUGCCACUAUUACUCAUUCAAAGAAAAGCCAGACGAUACAAGUUUGAUCAUAUCUAGUUUACAAGCUUCAUUGGGUUUCCUACUAAAGCCCUUUGAUAAAGACUUGCUGUUUAGAAAUAUCUGUUUCUGCAACUAUGAAACAAUAUUGGGCUACACUUGUUGGUUCAUACUUGGAUUUAAUAUCUUCUACUCCCAAAUCAAAAACGCAUUUUUCAGUGGCUGUGGUGGUUUAGUACUUUGUGUUUCUUUCGGUCCUAUGUGCUUCUUGUUUUGAAGUUAUAUCCUUCUUAAACUCUUGGCAAUUUCUAGUUGAUAUUCUUUUCCAUGCCUUUUCCUUUUUGGAUUUCUGGGGUUUUCAGUGUUUGUCUUGAAAAAGUAUGCAGUGUUGGUCUUUGUUUUAGCCAUGUCAGUGUAUUUCAAGUCCUAAUAGCUUUUAAUUGAUUAAGUGCCUUGGCAGUGCCCUAAAAUGCUUUACUGUACUCAAUGCAGAAGCAGAAGGUGCUCUGGAUAAAGCAAGAAAACACAAGAAGAGACAACUUGAAGAUACACUAAAUCUUGUUCUGAAGAAGAGAAAGGUGAUGUUUCCUUAGGCAUAGCAUAUGUAGUUUUCCAUUAUUCUGUUCAUUGGAGCAUUUAUCUUGUCUCCGAGCAAUAAAUCUUCUUCUUUGACAGAAGAUGGUAUAUUUAUUUGAAACAUGGAUACGAAGUAAAGUGCUUCAGUAUGUAAAUAUUGAUUUUUGAUAUAGUCAUUACAUGAUAAAUUCUAUAGCUAUGUUUUCAUUCAAUUGCUUGGCCGGGUUUCUUUUGCCCUUCCUUUUGCCUCCAACUCUCCGCCCACAAUGAUAAAGCAAAUAACAAAUUUUUGGUCAAAAGAAAAAAAAAAAGGAAGCCUGGCAGGGGUGCUAGGCACCACUUCUCUUGCAGCCUGUCCUGCCCAGCACUCUCCUUCCAGAAAAGAAUGACAAAAGGAAGGCUGAGAUAACUAAAUCCUAAUGAGGUCAGUCUCUAGGCAAGUGUUGUCAAUGUUCCUUUAAGUUGUUCUUACACUCUUUGAGCAGCACAAGUUUAGGGGACGCGAGAAUAUAAAAUGGAGAAGAAAGUAUAACAAAAGAAGCCCCCUGUUAUGCUCCUGACCGUUUACUCAAGAUAAGAAAAUGGUCAUCUACGGAUUUGUUGCACUACUUCAUUGGUUUGUUAUUUAUUUUGCACUGCAUUUGAAACUGUCAAUUCGUUCCAUGUCAAGCAGAUGUUGCUGAGUAGUUUGUUUAACUUUUUUGUUUGACUGGUGAUUUACAUAUAUUGAAGAGUGUUUUUUACAUUCUUGGGCAGGAAUAUGAGGAUAAAGCAAAGGAUAAGGGUGAAACGCCAGUGAUGUUCAGGUGAAGACAUUUUUCUCGUGACCUAACAUUCAAGUUGUGAAGUUUGAAUUUUUCCUGAAUGCUAAACUAUUCAAACUAAUCCCUUGAAUUAUCUCUGCUGCAGCCAUUUGGGACCUCCUCCUCGUAGGCGCUCCGCUGCAGAAGAGGAAGAAAGAGCGAAGCACCCGAAAGCUGAAGUAGUUUCUUUCUUGAACCAAAAUAUCUUAUAUGUUAAAAUUUAGCUCUUCAUCUGUCUCAUUUGGCUGUCAAUUGGUGCAGGAUUCAGUUUACUAUCACCCUACACUAAAUCCUACAGGAGCUCCUCCGCCUGGAAAACCUCCCAUGUUUAAAUCAUCUGUAGGUGUGUAUUUCAGUUUCUAUUUUCUUAUGAACAUGCUGUUGCUCUGUCUGUCUGUGUGCAUCUAAUAGUUAUAUAUUUUGAACUACAGGACCUAGAAUACCAUUGUCUGCAGCCACAUCAAGUGGUGCUGCAUCUUCUUCAAAAUCAGACUUGGAUGAUGCUGCUUUACCCAUUCCUCCUCCACCUCCACCUCCACCUCUGCCUCGUACUGGUGACAUGGACUCUGGUGAUGCCUCCGAAUUGCCUGCAUCUUUGCCAUUGCCACCUCCCCCACCUGUACCACCAAAGCCUCCAGUAACAGACUCCGGUACUUUGUUGCCGCCUCCACCUUUGCCACCACCACCACCUCCUCCUGGACCCCCUCCAAAGGACCAAAUGGCUAUCCGUUCAUCACUCCCUCCACCCCCAUCUCUCCAUCAAUCUGCUCAACCUCCACCUCCUGGAACUGGUGGAAGUGAGACGGAGAAAAGCCAGUUUGCAAAAUCUGAUGAUCAAGCUUCACGGGAUCCAUUUCAGGUAUGUUCUCUCUCAAUCUCUCAGAAUAUGUAUUGGGGAAGUAUUAGAAACAUAAUCAAACCAUUAUCUUUGAAAUUUGUGAAAAGCAUUGAUAAAGAGUUUUGGCGUGCUUGUCCGAUUUCAUUGAGAAACGUGAAAUGGAAGAAGAAAAAUUUGUAAAUUGUAAUCUUUUACUUGAACUUUUGUCACACUGGACAUUACAUUCAUUUUCCUGAUAGCUGAUGUUCAUGGACUGCUUUCUUGUGGUUUAUGUCUAUUGACUUGAAGUAUUUGUUUCCUUUUGCAGGCAACAGCAACACUUCCCCCACCUCCCCCUCCUCCACCAAUGGGUUUGGCACCAAAGAUGGUCAAUAAUCAGUUGGAAGGCAUAUCUUCUGAAUCUGAUGCUAAUAAUCCUGGUUACGAUCUGUCAAAAAUGAUUCCACCUCCACCUCCACCUCUGAGGCAACAGCCUCCACUGCCAGGACCUGCCAUGGCUCCACCAUUGCAGCCUGAUGUUUUACCUCCAGGAAUUUCACGAUUUCCCCCACCCCCACCUCCAACAGAUAUGAGGCCUGCAUUGCCUGGCAGCGGAAUUGUUGGGCAAC